GCCGUUCGGGGUGUGCUACGACACGAAGACGCUGGGCAACAACCUCGGCGGGUACUCGGUGCCCAACGUCCAGCUGGCGCUCGAUGGCGGGAGUGACACCUGGACGAUGACCGGGAAGAACUCGAUGGUGGACGUCAAGCCGGGGACGGCGUGCGUUGCGUUCGUGGAGAUGAAGGGGGUGGAGGCCGGCGACGGCAGGGCGCCGGCGGUGAUCCUCGGAGGGGCCCAGAUGGAGGACUUCGUGCUCGACUUCGACAUGGAGAAGAAGCGGCUCGGGUUUAGCAGGCUGCCGCACUUUACGGGUUGCGGCGGCCUGUAAUAAUAAGUCUGUUUAACGACAGUGUAUUCGUCGACUACUGCAUGUAAUAAAUAAGGGAAACACUCUCUUCCAUCAAUGGUCUGAUAAAAAGCAGUUAUCAGACCUAUCAGCGUCCGUCAAUUCUGGUUGAAUCUCACGGUCAAGAUACCUCUUAUCCGGUCGCCCUUUAAAACAAUCAUGUCAUUCGUAAUGACCCGCAUUGGUCGCCCAUAACCCCCUCCAAAAUCUCCCGCACGAAUAUCCUUCCGAGGCUCCGACCCUCCCCACUUCGUAUCUCUUGCCUCACGCACCUCCCUAAUCUCGCCGCCAACUGCACCGACCCCGUCCUAUGCGAUUGCGUUCCCCAUUGCAUGCUUCAUCCACGCGUCCUCGUCAACCCCGUACUACGCCGUCACUAGGGCAUUUUUAACCGAUCCCCUAAAAACACCCCCCCCCUCCCCCCCCCGCAUCGUCUCCUCUGAGGCAACUCGGGGGACAACCCUAGCCGCUGCAUUUAGCCCCUUUCCCUCCCUUCCUCACCCCUUCACUGUCGCUAGAGGAGCCCAUCGGCACGCCCGCGAGGCUCCGAUGAAGGUGGCUGCGGGGAUCCCGGUGGAUCCACCCCGUGUGAAGGGCCUUGGCUUCCGGGGCGGCGGCCCUGGGUGGCGGUGCGCGACAUGGCCUGUGCGGCGGGCGGCGGCGGCGGGUGCAGGUGGGCUGCCUCCCUGGCCGUGCGGGUAGCGCGAAGGUGUCGGGUGUCAUCUGCUGCGGCAGCCCCUCGGGGUCUGUGUGCCAUGGAGAAGAGGCGUCCUCAACUUCGAGCGCGUUACCCAUGCCACGUCGACAGAGGGCCCAACCGGCUGGCAAGAAAAAUACAUUGGUGGUCCUAAAAGUUUCUGAGCAGUGUCACUUUAGUCCUACUUCUUUCAACCUGCACGUUUAGGUCCUAAUUCUACAGUAAGUGGCUCACCCAACAUCCUUUUUCGCACAAUCAUUCACAGACCUGCUUGGUUGCAUGUUGACCCAUGCCACGUCCAUUUAGGGUCAUUAGCAGAUGAGGAACAUUGCAAAAAAUCCUAUUUUUUCGCCGUUAUCGUCCCGUAGCUAUGUGAUUUCCUCUAUCUGCCACAAUCACUAGCUGUAGGCAUUGAUUUAGUUCGAUUUGCACUAUUUUAUUAGUUUCCUCAAAUCGCUUGCUUCGAUUUGGGGUUAGGCAGUAGGAGCAUGUGGAGGAGGCAGCGUUGCCGACGCUGCUGCAACACUCCUCUUCGUCACUCAUUUCUUUGCCGAGGACCUUGCUGCCCCAGCCAUGGCGACGGUGUGGGCACGAGAGAGAGAGAGAGAGAAAGAAAGAGAGAGAGAGAUUCGGUAGGGGUUGGGAAAUGUCAAGAGGGAGGGUUACAAGGGGCUUUCCGUAAAAAAAAAGGAGCAACCACAAUUGCCUCUAAGUUGACGUGGCCUGGGUCAACGCGUCACCCAAGCAGGUCAGCGAAAGAUCGUGCAAAAAAGGACCUCGUGUGAACCACUUACUAUAAAAUUAGGAUCUAAACAUGCAUUUUUAAAGAUGUAGGACUAAAGUGACACUGGCGAGAAGCUUUUAGGACCUCCGGUGUAUUUUUCUCGCCUGGCGAUUGGGCCCUCGACAUGGCGUGGGUCAACGCGCCACGCGGGUAGGUCAACGAGCGCUCGUGAAAAAAGGACCUCGCAUGAACCACUUGUUGGGGAACGUAGCAAUUUCAAAAAAAAAUUCCUACGCACACGCAAGAUCAUGGUGAUGCAUAGCAACGAGAGGGGAGAGUGUUGUCCACGAACCCUCGUAGACCGAAAGCGGAAGCGUUAGCACAACGCGGUUAUGUAGUCGUACGUCUUCACGAUCCGACCGAUCCAAGUACCGAACGUACGGCACCUCCGAGUUCAGCACAUGUUCAGCUCGACGACGUCCCGCGAACUCCUAUCCAGCAGAGCUUCACGGGAGAGUUCCGUCAGCACGACGGUGUGAUGACGGUGAUGAUGUUGCUACCGACGCAGGGCUUCGCCUAAGCACCGCUACGAUAUGACCGAGGUGGAAUAUGGUGGAGGGGGGCACCGCACACGGCUGAGAGAGAUCAACAGAUCAACCUAUGUGUUCUAGGGUGCCCCCUGCCCCCGUAUAUAAAGGAGCAAGGGGGGAGGCCGGCCGGCCCCUGUAGGGCGCGCCAGGAGGAGGAGUCAUCCUCCUGGUAGGAGUAGGACUCCCCUUUCCUACUCCUACUAGGAGGAGGAAAGGAAGGAGGAGAGGGAGAAGGAAGGAGAGGGAGGAAAAGGAGGAAAGGGGGGCCGGCCCCCUAGUCCAAUUCGGUUUGGGCUAGGGGGGCCGAGCGCCCUGCCUCCUCUCUUCCACCACUUGGCCCAUGAGGCCCAUUACUUCUUCCUCGUAUUCCCGUAACUCCCAUGUACCCCGAAAAAUACCCGAAUCACUCGGAACCUUUCCGAUGUCCGAAUAUAGUUGUCCAAUAUAUUGAUCUUUACGUCUCGACCAUUUCGAGACUCCUCGUCAUGUCCCCGAUCUCAUCCGGGACUCCGAACUACCUUCGGUACAUCAAAUCACAUAAAUGCAUAAUACCGAUCGUCACAGAACUUUAAGCGUGCGGACCCUGCGGGUUCGAGAACUAUGUAGACAUGACCGAGACACGACUCCGGUCAAUAACCAAUAGCGGAACCUGGAUGCUCAUAUUGGCUCCCACAUAUUCUACGAAGUUUUUUGUCGGUCAAACCGCAUAAAAGCAUACGUUGUUCCCUUUGUCAUCGGUAUGUUACUUGCCCGAGAUUCGAUCGUCGGUAUCUCAAUACCUAGCUCAAUCUCAUUACCGGCAAGUUUCUUUACUCGUUCCGUAAUACAUCAUCCCAUAACUAACUCAUUAGUCACAUUGCUUGCAAGGCUUAUAGUGAUGUGCAUUAUCGAGAGGGCCCAGAGAUACCUCUCCGACAAUCGGAGUGACAAAUCCUAAUCUCGAUCUAUGCCAACUCAACAAGUACCAUCGGAGACACCUGUAGAGCACCUUUAUAAUCACCCAGUUACGUUGUGACGUUUGGUAGCACACAAAGUGUUCCUCCGGUAUUCGGGAGUUGCAUAAUCUCAUAGUCAUAGGAACAUGUAUAAGUCAUGAAGAAAGCAAUGGCAACAUAUUAAACGAUCAAGUGCUAAGCUAAUGGAAUGGGUCAAGUCAAUCACAUCAUUCUCUAAUGAUGUGAUCUCGUUAAUCAAAUGACAACUCAUGUCUAUGGCUAGGAAAUUUAACCAUCUUUGAUUCAACGAGCUAGUCAAGUAGAGGCAUACUAGUGACACUCUGUUUGUCUAUGUAUUCACACAUGUAUCAAGUUUACGGUUAAUACAAUUCUAGCAUGAAUAAUAAACAUUUAUCAUGAAAUAAGGAAAUAAAUAAUAACUUUAUUAUUGCCUCUAGGGCAUAUUUCCUUCAGUCUCCCACUUGCACUAGAGUCAAUAAUCUAGUUCACAUCGCCAUGUGAUUUAACACCAAUAGUUCACACAACCAUGUGAUUAACACCCAUAGUUCACAUCGUCAUGUGACCAACACCCAAAGGGUUUACUAGAGUCAAUAAUCUAGUUCACAUCGCUAUGUGAUUAACACCGAAAGAGUACUAAGGUGUGAUCAUGUUUUGCUUGUGAGAGUAGUUUAGUCAACGGGUCUGCAACAUUCAAAUCCGUAUGUAUUUUGCAAAUUUCUAUGUCAACAAUGCUCUGCACGGAGCUACUCUAGCUAAUUGCUCCCACUUUCAAUAUGUACCCAGAUUGAGACUUAGAGUUAUCUGGAUCAGUGUCAAAAAUUGCAUCGAUGUAACCCUUUACGACGAACCUUUUGUCACCUCCAUAAUCGAGAAACAUAUCCUUAUUCCACUAAGGAUAAUUUUGACCGCUGUCCAGUGAUCUACUCCUAGAUUACUAUUGUACUCCCUUGCUAAACUCAGUGUAGGGUAUACAAUAGAUCUGGUACACAGCAUGGCAUACUUUAUAGAACCUAUGGCUGAGGCAUAGGGAAUGACUUUCAUUCUCUUUCUAUCUUCUGCUGUGGUCGGGCUUUGAGUCUUACUCAAUUUCACACCUUGUAACACAGGCAAGAACUCUUUCUUUGACUGUUCCAUUUUGAACUACUUCAAAAUCUUGUUAAGGUAUGUACUCAUUGAAAAAACUUAUCAAGCGUCUUGAUCUAUCUCUAUAGAUCUUGAUGCUCAAUAUGUAAGCAGCUUCACCGAGGUCUUUAUUUGAAAAACUCCUUUCAAAUACUCCUUUAUGCUUUAUAGAAAAAUUCUACAUUAUUUCCGAUUAACAAUAUGUCAUUCACAUAUACUUAUCAGAAAUGUUGUAGUGCUCCCACUCAUUUUCUUGUAAAUACAGGCUUCACUGCAAGUCUGUAUAAAACUAUAUGCUUUAAUCAACUCAUCAAAGCGUAUAUUCCUGUUGGAAAUAUGCCCUAGAGGCAAUAAUAAAAUGGUUAUUAUUAUAUUUCCUUGUUCAUGAUAAUUGUCUAUUGUUCAUGCUAUAAUUGUGUUAUCCGGAAAUCGUAAUACAUGUGUGAACACAUAGACCAUAACAUGUCCCUAGUGAGCCUCUAGUUGACUAGCUCGUUGAUCAAUAGAUGGUUACGGUUUCCUGACCAUGCACAUUGGAUGUCAUUGAUACCGGGAUCACAUCAUUAGGAGAAUGAUGUGAUGGACAAGACCCAAUCCUAAGCAUAGCACUAGAUCGUGUAGUUCGUCUGCUAAAGCUUUUCUAAUGUCAAGUAGCAUUUCCUUAGACCAUGAGAUCGUGCAACUCCCGGAUACCGUAGGAAUGCUUUGGGUGUACCAAACGUCACAACGUAACUGGGUGGCUAUAAAGGUGCACUACAGGUAUCUCCGAAAGUGUCUGUUGGGUUGGCACAGAUCGAGACUGGGAUUUGUCACUCCGUAUGACGGAGAGGUAUCUCUGGGCCCACUCGGUAUAGCAUCAUCAUAAUGAGCUCAAUGUGACUAAGUAGUUAGUCACGGGAUCAUGCAUUACGGAACGAGUAAAGUGACUUACCGGUAACGAGAUUGAACGAGGUAUUGGGAUACCGACGAUCGAAUCUCGGGUAAGUAAAGUACCGAUUGACAAAGGGAAUUGUAUACGGGAUUACUUGAAUCCUCGACAUCGUGGUUCAUCCGAUGAGAUCAUCGUGGAACAUGUGGGAGCCAACAUGGGUAUCCAGAUCCCGCUGUUGGUUAUUGACCGGGGAGUCGUCUCGGUCAUGUCUGCAUGUCUCCCGAACCCGUAGGGUCUACACACUUAAGGUUCGGUGACGCUAGGGUUGUAUAGAUAUUAGUAUGCGGAAAUCCAAAAGUUGUUCGGAGUCCUGGAUGAGAUCCCGGACGUCACGAGGAGUUCCGGAAUGGUCCGGAGGUGAAACAUUAUAUAUAGGAAGUCCAGUUUCGGCCACCGGGAAAGUUUCGGGGGUCACCGGUAUUGUACCGGGACCACCGGAAGGGUCCCGGGCGUCCACCGGGUGGGGCCACCUAUCCCGGAGGGCCCCAUGGGCUGAAGAGGGAGGGGAACCAGCCCCUGGUGGGCUGGUGCACCCCCCUUGGGCCUCCCCCUGCGCCUAGGGUUGGAAACCCUAGGGGUGGGGGGCGCCCCACUUGGCUUGGGGGCAAGCCACCCCCCUUGGCCGCCGCCCCCCUUGGAGAUUGGAUCUCCCAGGGGCCCUAUAUAUAGUGGGGGGAGGGAGGGCAGCCGCACCUGAAGCCCUGGAGCCUCCCUCUCCCUCCCGUGACACCUCUUCCUCCCCGCUUGCGCUUGGCGAAGCCCUGCCGGGAUCCCGCUACUUCCACGAGGCCGUCGUGCUGCUGGAUCUCCAUCAACUUCUCCUCCCCCCUUGCUGGAUCAAGAAGGAGGAGACGUCCCCGCUCCGUACGUGUGUUGAACGCGGAGGUGCCGUCCGUUCGGCGCUAGGAUCAUCGGUGAUUUGGAUCACGACGAGUACGACUCCAUCAUCCCCGUUCUCUUGAACGCUUCCGCUCGUGAUCUACAAGGGUAUGUAGAUGCACUCCUCCCCUCUCGUUGCUAGUAAACUCCAUAGAUUGAUCUUGGUGAUGCGUAGAAAUAUUUUAAUUUCUGCAACGAUCCCCAACAGUGGCAUCAUGAGCUAGGUCUAUGCGUAGUUACUAUGCACGAGUAGAACACAAGAUUGUUGUGGGCGUAGAUCAUGUCAAUUUACUUGCCGCUACUAGUCUUAUCUUGAUUCGGUGGCAUCGUGGGAUGAAGCGGCCCGGAUCGACCUUACACGUACGCUUACGUGAGACAGGUUCCACCGACUGACAUGCACUAGUUGCAUAAGGUGGCUAGCGGGUGUCUGUCUCUCCCACUUUAGUCGGAUCGGAUUCGAUGAAAAGGGUCCUUAUGAAGGGUAAAUAGUAAUUGGCAUAUCACGUUGUGGUUUUACGUAGGUAAGAAACGUUCUUGCUAGAAACCUAUAGAAGCCACGUAAAAACAUGCAACAACAAUUAGAGGACGUCUAACUUGUUUUUGCAGCAUAUGCCUUGUGAUGUGAUAUGGCCAGAAGAUGUGAUGAAUGAUAUAUGUGAUGUAUGAGAUUGAUCAUGUUCUUGUAAUAGGAAUCACGACUUGCAUGUCGAUGAGUAUGACAACCGGCAGGAGCCAUAGGAGUUGUCUUUAUUUUUUGUAUGACCUGCGUGUCAUUGAAUAACGCCAUGUAAAUUACUUUACUUUAUUGCUAAACAUGUUAGCCAUAGAAGUAGAAGUAAUCGUUGGCGUGACAACUUCAUGAAGACACGAUGAUGGAGAUCAUGAUGAUGGAGAUCAUGGUGUCAUGCCGGUGACGAAGAUGAUCAUGGCGCCCCGAAGAUGGAGAUCAAAAGGAGCAAAAUGAUAUUGGCCAUAUCAUGUCACUAUUUGAUUGCAUGUGGUGUUUAUCAUGUUUUUACUUCUUAUUUGCUUAGUACGACGGUAGUAAAUAAGAUGAUCCCUUAUAAUAAUUUCUAGAAAGUGUUCCCCCUAACUGUGCGCCGUUGCGAAAGUUCGUUGUUUCGAAGCACGACAUGAUGACCGGGUGUGAUAGAUUCCAACGUUCACAUACACGGGUGUAAGACAGAUUUACACAUGCAAAACACUUAGGUUGACUUGACGAGCCUAGCAUGUACAGACAUGGCCUCGGAACACAAGAGACCAAAAGGUCGAACAUGAGUCGUAUGGAAGAUACGAUCAACAUGGAGAUGUUCACCGAUGAUGACUAGUCCGUCUCACGUGAUGAUCGGACACGGCCUAGUUGACUCGGAUCAUGUAUCACUUAGAUGACUAGAGGGAUGUCUGUCUGAGUGGGAGUUCAUUAAAUAAUUUGAUUAGAUGAACUUAAUUAUCAUGAACUUAGUCUAAAAUCUUUACAAUAUGUCUUGCAGAUCAAAUGGCCCACGCUAAUGUCAACCUCAACUUCAACGCGUUCCUAGAGAAAACCAAGCUGAAAGACGAUGGUAGCAACUGUACGGACUGGGUCCGGAACUUGAGGAUCAUCCUCAUAGCUACCAAGAAAGCAUAUGUCCUUGAAGCACCGCUAGGUGAAGCACCCGUCCCAGCACACCCAGACGUUAUGAACGCCUGGCAAACACGUGUUGAUGAUUACUCCCUGGUUCAGUGCGGCAUGCUUUACAACUUAGAACCGGGGCUCCAAAAGCGUUUUGAGCAGCACGGAGCAUAUGAGAUGUUCCAAGAGCUGAAAAUGGUUUUCCAAGCUCAUGCCCGGGUCGAGAGAUAUGAAGUCUCCGACAAGUUCUACAGUUGUAAGAUGGAGGAGAAUAGUUCCGUCAGCGAACACAUACUCAAAAUGUCUGACUUGCACAACCGCUUGUCUCAGCUGGGAGUUAAUCUCCCAGAUGACGCGGUCGUUGACAGAAUCCUUCAGUCGCUCCCACCUAGCUACAAGAGCUUUGUGAUGAACUUCAAUAUGCAGGGGAUGGAAAAGACCAUCCCUGAGGUAUAUUCAAUGCUGAAAUCAGCGGAGGUGGAGAUCAAAAAGGAACAUCAAGUGUUGAUGGUGAAUAAAACCACAAAGUUCAAGAAAGGCAAGGGUAAGAAGAACUUCAAGAAGGACGGCAAAGGAGUUGCCGCGCCCGGUAAGCCAGUUGCCGGGAAGAAGACAAAGAAUGGACCUAAGCCUAAGACUGAGUGCUUUUAUUGCAAGGGAAACAGUCACUGGAAGCGGAACUGGCCCAAGUACUUAGCGGAUAAGAAGGCCGGCAAUACCAAAGGUAUAUGUGAUAUACAUGUUAUUGAUGUGUACCUAACCAGCUCUCGUAGUAGCUCCUGGGUAUUUGAUACCGGUGUGGUUGCUCAUAUUUGUAACUCAAAGUAGGAGCUGCGGAAUAAGCGGAAACUGGCGAAGGACGAGGUGACGAUGCGCGUCGGGAAUGGUUCCAAGGUCGAUGUGAUCGCCGUCGGCACGCUACCUCUACAUUUACCUAAGGGAUUAGUUUUAGACCUCAAUAAUUGUUAUUUAGUGCCAGCUUUGAGCAUGAACAUUGUAUCUGGAUCUCGUUUAAUGCGAGAUGGCUAAUCAUUUAAAUCCGAGAAUAAUGGUUGUUCUAUUUAUAUGAGAGAUAUGUUUUAUGGUCAUGCCCCGCUGGUCAAUGGUUUAUUCUUGAUGAAUCUCGAACGUGAUGUUACACAUAUUCAUAGUGUGAAUGCCAAGAAAUGUAAGGUUGAUAAUGAUGGUCCCACAUAUUUGUGGCACUGCCGCCUUGGUCACAUUGGUGUCAAACGCAUGAAGAAACUCCAUGCAGAUGGACUUUUGGAGUCUCUUGAUUAUGAAUCAUUUGACACGUGCGAACCAUGCCUCAUGGGCAAAAUGACCAAGACUCCGUUCUCCGGAAUAAUGGAGCGAGCAACCAACUUAUUGGAAAUCAUACAUACUGAUGUGUGCGGUCCAAUGAGCGUUGAGGCUCGCGGUGGCUAUCAUUAUGUUCUCACCCUCACUGAUGACUUGAGUAGAUAUGGGUAUGUCUACUUAAUGAAACACAAGUCUGAGACCUUCGAAAAGUUCAAGGAAUUUCAGAGUGAGGUUGAGAAUCAACGUGAUAGGAAAAUAAAGUUCUUACGAUCAGAUCGUGGAGGGGAAUAUUUGAGUCACGAAUUUGGCACACACUUAAGGAAAUGUGGAAUUGUUUCACAACUCACGCCGCCUGGAACACCUCAGCGUAAUGGUGUGUCCGAACGUCGUAAUCGCACUCUAUUGGAUAUGGUGCGAUCUAUGAUGUCUCUUACCGAUCUAUCGUUAUCUUUCUGGGGUUAUGCUUUAGAGACUGCCGCAUUCACUUUAAAUAGGGCUCCGUCUAAAUCCGUUGAGACGACACCGUAUGAAUUAUGGUUUGGAAAGAAAUCUAAGCUGUCGUUUCUUAAAGUUUGGGGAUGCGAUGCUUAUGUCAAGAAACUUCAACCUGAAAAGCUCGAACCCAAGUCGGAAAAAUGCGUCUUCAUAGGAUACCCUAAGGAAACCAUUGGGUAUACCUUCUACCUCAGAUCCGAAGGCAAGAUCUUCGUUGCCAAGAAUGGGUCCUUUCUGGAGAAAGAGUUUCUCUCAAAAGAAGUAAGUGGGAGGAAAGUGGAACUUGAUGAGAUGACCCCUCUCGAACCAGAAAGUAGCACAGCACAAGAAAAUGUUUCUAUGGUGCCUACACCGACUAGAAAGGAAGUUAAUGAUGACGAUCAUGAUCAAGUUGCCACAGAACUUCGUAGGUCCACAAGGACACGUUUCGCACCAGAGUGGUACGGCAACCCUGUUCUGGAAAUCAUGUUGUUGGACAACGGUGAACCUUCGAACUAUGAAGAAGCAAUGGCGGGUCCAGAUUCCAACAAAUGGCUUGAAGCCAUGCAAUCCGAGAUAGGAUCCAUGUAUGAAAACAAAGUAUGGACUUUGACAGACUUGCCCGAUGAUCGGCGAGCGAUAGAAAAUAAAUGGAUCUUUAAGAAGAAGACGGACGUGGAUGAAAAUGUUACCAUCUAUAAAGCUCGACUUAUCGCUAAGGGUUAUCGACAAGUUCAAGGUGUUGACUACGAUGAGACCUUCUCACCCGUAGCGAAACUGAAGUCCGUCCAAAUCAUGUUAGCAAUUGCCGCAUUCUACGAUUAUGAGAUAUGGCAAAUGGACGUCAAAACGACAUUCCUUAACGGCUUCCUUAAGGAAGAAUUGUAUAUGAUGCAGCCGGAAGGUUUUGUCGAUCCUAAGAAUGCUAACGAAGUAUGCAAGCUCCAACGCUCAAUCUAUGGGCUGGUGCAGGCAUCUCGGAGUUGGAACAUUCGCUUUGAUGAGAUGAUCAAAGCGUUUGGGUUUACGCAGACUUAUGGAGAAGCCUGUGUUUACAAGAAAGUGAGUGGGAGCUCUGUACCAUUUCUCAUAUUAUAUGUGGAUGACAUACUAUUGAUGGGAAAUGAUAUAGAAUUCUUGGAAAGUAUAAAGGCCUACUUGAAUAAGUGUUUUUCAAUGAAGGACCUUGGAGAAGCUGCUUACAUAUUAGGCAUCAAGAUCUAUAGAGAUAGAUCGAGACGCCUCAUAGGUCUUUCACAAAGCACAUACCUUGACAAGAUAUUGAAGAAGUUCAAUAUGGGUCAGUCCAAGAAGGGGUUCUUGCCUGUAUUGCAAGGUGUGAGAUUGAGCACGGCUCAAUGCCCGACCACGGCAGAAGAUAGAGAAAAGAUGAGUGUCGUCCCCUAUGCCUCGGCCAUAGGGUCUAUUAUGUAUGCCAUGCUGUGUACCAGACCUGAUGUAAACCUUGCCGUAAGUUUGGUAGGAAGGUACCAAAGUAAUCCCGGCAUGGAACACUGGAUAGCGGUCAAGUACCUGAAAAGGACUAAGGAUAUGAUUCUCGUUUAUGGAGGUGACGAAGAGCUCGUCGUAAAGGGUUACGUCGAUGCUAGCUUCGACACAGAUCUGGAUGACUCUAAGUCACAAACCGGAUACGUGUAUAUUUUGAAUGGUGGGGCAGUCAGCUGGUGCAGUUGCAAGCAAAGCGUCGUGGCGGGAUCUACAUGUGAAGCGGAGUACAUGGCAGCCUCGGAGGCAGCACAUGAAGCAAUCUGGAUGAAGGAGUUCAUUGCCGACCUAGGAGUUAUUCCCAAUGCAUCGGGGCCGAUGACUCUCUUCUGUGACAACACUGGAGCUAUUGCCCUUGCCAAGGAGCCUAGGUUUCACAAGAAGACUAGGCACAUCAAGCGUCGCUUCAACUCCAUUCGCGAAAAUGUUCAAAAUGGAGACAUAGAUAUUUGUAAAGUGCAUACGGAUUUGAAUGUCGCAGAUCCGUUGACUAAACCUCUUCCACGAGCGAAACAUGAUCAACACCAGAACGCUAUGGGUGUACGAUUCAUCACAAUGUAACUAGAUUAUUGACUCUAGUGCAAGUGGGAGACUGUUGGAAAUAUGCCCUAGAGGCAAUAAUAAAAUGGUUAUUAUUAUAUUUCCUUGUUCAUGAUAAUUGUCUAUUGUUCAUGCUAUAAUUGUGUUAUCCGGAAAUCGUAAUACAUGUGUGAACACAUAGACCAUAACAUGUCCCUAGUGAGCCUCUAGUUGACUAGCUCGUUGAUCAAUAGAUGGUUACGGUUUCCUGACCAUGGACAUUGGAUGUCAUUGAUAACGGGAUCACAUUAUUAGGAGAAUGAUGUGAUGGACAAGACCCAAUCCUAAGCAUAGCACUAGAUCGUGUAGUUCGUCUGCUAAAGCUUUUCUAAUGUCAAGUAGCAUUUCCUUAGACCAUGAGAUCGUGCAACUCCCGGAUACCGUAGGAAUGCUUUGGGUGUACCAAACGUCACAACGUAACUGGGUGGCUAUAAAGGUGCACUACAGGUAUCUCCGAAAGUGUCUGUUGGGUUGGCACGGAUCGAGACUGGGAUCUGUCACUCCGUAUGACGGAGAGGUAUCUCUGGGCCCACUCGGUAUUGCAUCAUCAUAAUGAGCUCAAGUAGUUAGUCACGGGAUCAUGCAUUACGGAACGAGUAGAGUGACUUACCGGUAAUGAGAUUGAGCGAGGUAUUGGGAUACCGACGAUCGAAUCUCGGGUAAGUAAAGUACAGAUUGACAAAGGGAAUUGUAUACGGGAUUACUUGAAUCCUCGACAUCGUGGUUCAUCCGAUGAGAUCAUCGUGGAACAUGUGGGAGACAACAUGGGUAUCCAGAUCCCGCUGUUGGUUAUUGACCGGAGAGUCGUCUCGGUCAUGUCUGCAUGUCUCCCGAACCCGUAGGGUCUACACACUUAAGGUUCGGUGACGCUAGGGUUGUAGAGAUAUUAGUAUGCGGAAAUCCCAAAGUUGUUCGGAGUCCCAGAUGAGAUCCCGGACGUCACGAGGAGUUCCGGAAUGGUCCGGAGGUGAAGAAUUAUAUAUAGGAAGUCCAGUUUCGGCCACCGAGAAAGUUUCGGGGGUCACCGGUAUUGUACCGGGACCACCGGAAGGGUCCCGGGGGUCCACCGGGUGGGGCCACCUAUCCCGGAGGGCCCCAUGGGCUGAAGAGGGAGGGGAACCAGCCCCUGGUGGGCUGGUGCGCCCCCUUGGGCCCCCACCUGCGCCUAGGGUUGGAAACCCUAGGGGUGGGGGGCGCCCCACUUGGCCUGGGCGGCAAGCCACCCCCCUUGGCCGCCGCCCCCUUGGAGAUUGGAUCUCCCAGGGCCGGCGCCCCCCCAGGGGCCCUAUAUAUAGUGGGGGGGAGGGAGGGCAGCCGCACCUGAAGCCCUGGCGCCUCCCUCUCCCUCCCGUGACACCUCUUCCUCCCCGCUUGCGCUUGGCGAAGCCCUGCCGGGAUCCGGCUACUUCCACCACCACGCCGUCGUGCUGCUGGAUCUCCAUCAACCUCUCCUUCCCCCUUGCUGGAUCAAGAAGGAGGAGACGUCGCUGCUCCGUACGUGUGUUGAACGCGGAGGUGCCGUCCGUUCGGCGCUAGGAUCAUCGGUGAUUUGGAUCACGACGAGUACGACUCCAUCAUCCCCGUUCUCUUGAACGCUUCCGCUCGCGAUCUACAAGGGUAUGUAGAUGCACUCCUCCCCUCUCGUUGCUAGUAAACUCCAUAGAUUGAUCUUGGUGAUGCGUAGAAUUUUUUUAAUUUCUGCAACGAUCCCCAACAAUUCCAACUCCGAGAUGCUUGCACCAGUCCAUAGAUGGAUCGCUGGAGCUUGCUCAUUUUGUUAGCACCUUUAGGAUCGGCAAAACCUUCUGGUUGCAUCAUAUACAACUCUUCUUUAAGAAAUCCAUUAAGGAAUGUAGUUUUGUCAACCAUUUGCCAGAUUUUAUAAAAUAUGGCAAUUUGCUAACAUGAUUUGGACAGAGUUAAGCAUCGCUACGAGUGAGAUAAUCUCAUCGUAGUCAACACCUUGAACUUUGUCAAAAACCUUUUUCGACAAGUCUAGCUUUGUAGAUAGUAACACUAAUAUCAGCGUCUGUCUUCCUCUUGAAGAUCCAUUUAUUAUCAAUGGCUCACCGAUCAUCGGGCAAGUCAAUCAAAGUCCAUACUUUGUUCUCAUACAUGGAACCCAUCUCAGAUUUCAUGGCCUCAAGCCAUUUCGCGGAAUCUGGGCUUAUCAUCGCUUCCUCAUAGUUCGUAGGUUCGUCAUGGUCAAGUAACAUGACCUCCAGAACAGGACUACCAUACCACUCUGGUGCGGAUCUUACUCUGGUUGACCUACGAGGUUCAGUAGUAACUUGAUCUGAAGUUACAUGAUCAUCAUCAUUAGCUUCCUCACUAAUUGGUGUAGGAGUCACAGGAACAGAUUUCUUGUGAUGAACUACUUUCCAAUAAGGGAGUAGGUACAGUUACCUCCUCAAGUUCUACUUUCCUCCCACUCACUUCUUUCGAGAGAAAACUCCUUCUCUAGAAAGGAUCCAUUCUUAGCAACGAAUGUCUUGACUUCGGAUCUGUGGUAGAAGGUGUACCCAACUGUCUCCUUUGGGUAUCCUAUGAAAACACAUUUCUCCGAUUUAGGUUUGAGCUCAUCAGGAUGAAACUUUUUCACGUAAGCAUCACAACCCCAAACUUUAAGAAACGACAACUUUGGUUUCUUGCCAAACCACAGUUCAUAAGGCGUCGUCUCAACGGAUUUUGAUGGUGCCCUAUUUAAAGUGAAUGCAGCUGUCUCUAAUGCAUAACCCCAAAACGAUAGUGGUAAAUCGGUAAGAUACAUCAUAGAUCGCACCAUAUCCAAUAAAGUGCGGUUACGACGUUCGGACACACCAUUACGCUGUGGUGUCCCAUGUGGCGUGAGCUGUGAAACUAUUCCACAUUGUUUUUAAAUGAAGGCCAAACUCGUAACUCAAAUACUCUCCUCUACGAUCAGAUUGUAGAAACUUUAUUUUCUUGUUACGAUGAUUCUCCACUUCACUCUGAAAUUCUUUGAACUUUUCAAAUGUUUCAGACUUGUGCUUCAUUAAGUAGAUAUACUCAUAUCUUCUCAAAUCAUCUGUGAAGGUCAAAAAAUAACGAUACCCGCCACGAGCAACAAUACUCAUUGCACCGCAUACAUCGGUAUGUAUUAUUUCCAACAAGUCAGUAGCUCGUUCCAUUGUUCCGGAGAAUGGAGUUUUAGUCAUCUUGCCCAAAAGCCACGGUUCGCAAGCAUGAAAUGAUUCAUAACCAAGUGAUUCCAAAAGUCCAUCUUUAUGGAGUUUCUUCAUGCGCUUUACACCGAUAUGACCCAAACGGCAGUGCCACAAAUAAGUUGCACUAUCAUUAUCAACUUUACAUCUUUUGGCAUCAAUAUUAUGAAUAUGUGUAUCACUACGAUCGAGAUCCAACAAACUAUUUUCAUUGGGUGUAUGACCAUCGAAGGUUUUAUUCAUGUAAACAGAACAACAAUUAUUCUCUGACUUUAAAUGAAUAACCGUAUUGCAAUAAACAUGAUCAAAUCAUAUUCAUGCUCAACGCAAACGCCAAAUAACAUUUAUUUAGGUUUAACACUAAUCCCGAAAGUAUAGGGAGUGUGCGAUGAUGAUUAUAUCAAUCUUGAAACCACUUCCAACACACAUCGUCAUUUCACCCUCAACUAGUCUUUGUUUAUUCUGUAACUCCUGUUUCGAGUUACUAAUUUUUAGCAACCGAACAAGUAUCAAAUACCAAGGGGCUACUAUAAACACUAGUAAGGUACACAUCAAUAACCUGUAUAUCAAAUAUACCCUUGUUCACUUUGCCAUCCUUCUUAUUCACCAAAUAUUCAGGACAUUUCCGCUUCCAGUGACCAUUUCUUUUGCAGUAGAAGCACUCAGUUUCAGGCUUUAGUCUAGCUUUGGGCUUCUUCACAGAAGUGACAACUUGCUUGCCAUUCUACAUGAAGUUCCCUUUCUUUCCCUUUGCCCUUUUCUUGAAACUAGUGGUCUUGUUAAUCAUCAACACUUGAUGCUCUUUCUUGAUUUCUACCUUCAUCGAUUUCAUCAUCAUGAAAAGCUCGGGAAUCGUUUUCGCCAUCCCUUGCAUACUAUAGUUCAUCACGAAGUUCUACUAACUUGGUGAUGGUGACUAGAGAAUUCUGUCAAUCACUAUCUUAUCUGGAAGAUUAACUCCCACUUGAUUCAAGCGAUUGUAGUACCCAGACAAUCUGAGCACAUGCUCACUGCUUGAGCUAUUCUCCUCCAUCUUUUAGCCAUAGAACUUGUUGGAGACUUCAUAUCUCUCAGCUCGGGUAUUUGCUUGAAAUAUUAACUUCAACUCCUGGAACAUCUCAUAUGGUCCAUGACGUUCAAAACGUCUUUGAAGUCCCGAUUCUAAGCCGUUAAGCAUGGUGCACUAAACUAUCAAGUAGUCAUCAUAUUGAGCUAGCCAAACGUUCAUAACGUCUGCAUCUGCUCCUGCAAUAGGUCUGUCACCUAGCGGUGCAUCAAGGACAUAAUUCUUCUGUGCAGCAAUGAGGAUAAACCUUAGAUCACGGACCCAGUCCGCAUCAUUGCUACUAUCAUCUUUCAACUUAGUUUUCUCUAGGAACACAUAUAAAACAUAGGGAAGCAACAACGCGAGCUAUUGAUCUACAACAUUAUUUGCAAAAUACUAUCAGGACUAAGUUCAUGAUAAAUUAAAGUUCAAUUAAUCAUAUUACUUAAGAACUCCCACUUAGAUAGACAUCCCUCUAAUCAUCUAAGUGAUCACGUGAUCCAAAUCAACUAAACCAUGUCCGAUCAUCACGUGAGAUGGAGUAGUUUUCAAUGAUGAACAUCACUAUGUUGAUCAUAUCUACUAUAUGAUUCACGCUCGACCUUUCCGUCUCCAGUGUUCCGAGGCCAUAUCUGCAUAUGCUAGGCUCGUCAAGUUUAACCCGAGUAUUCUGCGUGUGCAAAACUGGCUUACACCCGUUGUAUGUGAACAUAGAGCUUAUCACACCCGAUCAUCACGUGGUGUCUCAGCACGAAGAACUGUCGCAACGGUGCAUACUCAGGGAGAGUACCUUGAAAUUUUAGUAAGGAAUCAUCUUAUAAAGCUACCGCCGAACUAAGCAAAAAAAGAUGUAUAAAAGAUAAACAUCACAUGCAAUCAAAAUAUGUGACAUGAUAUGGCCAUCAACAUCUUGUGCCUUUGAUCUCCAUCUCCAAAGAAUCGUCAUGAUCUCCAUCGUCACCGGCAUGACACCAUGAUCUCCAUCAUCUUGAUCUAUAUCAAUGUGUCGUCACAUGGUCGUCUCGCCAACUAUUGCUCUUGCAACUAUUGCUAUCGCAUAGCGAUAAAGUAAAGCAAUUAUUUGGCGCUUGCAUCUUAUGCAAUAAAAAGACAACCAUAAGGAUUCUGCCGGUUGCCGAUAACUUCAACAAAACAUGAUCAUCUCAUACAACAACUUAUAUCUCAUCACGUCUUGACCAUAUCACAUCACAACAUGCCCUGCAAAAACAAGUUAGACGUCCUCUACUUUGUUGUUGCAAGUUUUACGUCGCUGCUACGGGCUGAGCAAGAACCGUUCUUACCUUCGCAUCAAAACCACAACGAUAUUUCGUCAAGUUAGUGCUGUUUUAACCUUCUCAAGGACCGGGCGUAGCCACACUCGGUACAACUAAAGUUGGAGAAACUGACAGCCGCCAGCCACCUGUGUGCAAAGCACGUCGGUAGAACCAGUCUCGCGUAAGCGUACGCGUAAUGUCGGUCCGGGCCGCUUCAUCCAACAAUACCGCCGAACCAAAGUAUGACAUGCUGGUAAGCAGUAUGACUUGUAUCGCCCACAACUCACUUGUGUUCUACUCGUGCAUAUAACAUCUACGCAUAAACCAGGCUCGGAUGCCACUGUUGGGGAACGUAGUAAUUUCAAAAAAAAUUCCUACGCACACGCAAGAUCAUGGUGAUGCAUAGCAACGAGAGGGGAGAGUGUUGUCCACGUACCCUCGUAGACCGAAAACGGAAGCGUUAGCACAACGCGGUUGAUGUAGUCGUACGUCUUCAUGAUCCGACCGAUCCAAGUACCGAACGUACGGCACCUCCGAGUUCAGCACACGUUCAGCUCGAUGACGUCCUGCGAAUUCCGAUCCAGCAGAGCUUCACGGGAGAGUUCCGUCAGCACGACGGCGUGAUGACGGUGAUGAUGUUGCUAUCAACGCAGGGCUUCACCUAAGCACCGCUACGAUAUGACCGAGGUGGAAUAUGGUGAAGGGGGGCACCGCACACGGCUGGGAGAGAUCAACAGGUCAACUUGUGUGUUCUAGGGUGCCCCCCUGCCCCCGUAUAUAAAGGAGCAAGGGGGGAGGCCGGCUGGCCCCUGUAGGGCGCGCUAGGAGGAGUCCUCCUCCUAGUAGGAGUAGGACUCCCCUUUCCUACUCCUACUAGGAGGAGGAAAGGAAGGAGGAGAGGGAGAAGGAAGGAGAGGGAGGAAAAGGAGGAAAGAGGGGCCGGCCCCCUAGUCCAAUUCGGUUUGGGCUAGGGGGGCCGCGCACCCUGCCUCCUCUCUUCCACCACUUGGCCAUGAGGCCCAUUACUUCUUCCUCGUAUUCCCGUAACUUCCCGGUACCCCGAAAAAUACCCGAAUCACUCGGAACCUUUCCGAUGUCCGAAUAUAGUCGUCCAAUAUAUCGAUCUUUACGUCUCGACCAUUUCGAGACUCCUCGUCAUGUCCUCGAUCUCAUUCGGGACUUCGAACAACCUUCGGUACAUCAAAUCACAUAAACUCAUAAUACCGAUCGUCACAGAACUUUAAGCGUGCGGACCCUAUGGGUUCGAGAACUAUGUAGACAUGACCGAGACACGUCUCCGGUCAAUAACCAAUAGCGGAACCUGGAUGCUCAUAUUGGCUCCCACAUAUUCUACGAAGAUCUUUAUCGGUCAAACCGCAUAACAGCAUACGUUGUUCCCUUUGUCAUCGGUAUGUUACUUGCCCGAGAUUCGAUCGUCGGUAUCUCAAUACCUAGCUCAGUCUCGUUACCGGCAAGUUUCUUUACUCGUUCCGCAAUACAUCAUCUUGUAACUAACUCAUUAGUCACAUUGCUUGCAAGGCUUACAGUGAUGUGCAUUAUCGAGCGGGCCCAGAGAUACCUCUCCGAUAAUCGGAGUGACAAAUCCUAAUCUCGAUCUAUGCCAACUCAACAAGUACCAUCGGAGACACCUGUAGAGCACCUUUAUAAUCACCCAGUUACAUUGUGACGUUUGGUAGCACACAAAGUGUUCCUCCGGUAUUCGGGAGUUGCAUAAUCUCAUAGUCAUAGGAACAUGUAUAAGUCAUGAAGAAAGCAAUAGCAACAUAUUAAACGAUCAAGUGCUAAGCUAACAGAAUGGGUCAAGUCAAUCACAUCAUUCUCUAAUGAUGUGAUCUCGUUAAUGAAAUGACAACUCAUGUCUAUGGCUAGGAAACUUAACCAUCUUUGAUUCAACGAGCUAGUCAAAUAGAGGCAUACUAGUGAAACUCUGUUUGUCUAUGUAUUCACACAUGUAUCAAGUUUCUGGUUAAUAUAAUUCUAGCAUGAAUAAUAAACAUUUAUCAUGAAAUAAGGAAAUAAAUAAUAACUUUAUUAUUGCCUCUAGGGCAUAUUUCCUUCACCACUUACUAAAGAAUUAGGACCUAAAGGUGCAUUUUGAAAGAAUUAGGACUAAAGUGACACCCCGAUGAAACUUUUAGGACCUCCAGUGCAUUUAACUCUUUUUAGAUCUGUUCGCUUCAUUUAAGUCAUUCAAUACAUAUCUACAAAUUUAGUUAUGUUGAUAAAAAUUUAAAUUGUAAAUGCAUGAAAAAAAGAAACAAUUGAGUUAAAAAAAUCAUAUUUGUGUUCUCGUGUCCAUGUUUAGUCCUUAUCAAAGAAUGAAAAUGAAUUCCAAACAUGAGGGUGCCAGGAGACAACCCCGAACAUUAAGUUUUUUUUAGUUGUGAAAAAUGGAAACGAAGUCAGAAAAAAGAAUGAAACUUGGCAUGAUGCCCACAUAUCACACCUAGAGGCUAAAUUAAAUGUUUGAGAAUGUUCUCAAGAGUUGUGCCGUACAUUACUUAGAAAGCGGACAAUCUUCAAGAAAAGAUCAUGGUUUCGAAAUGGAACAUGUAAUAUUUGAAGGCAAAGCGGCUGCUGCUUCAUCCGCUGGCCUUGAAUUUUUUGCAUGGCAGUGCACGGCCUAGCUAGCUCUCGGUGUAUGUAUCAUAUCUUGAGUUCGUUGUUGACACGUUUUGUACCUCUACGUGCCAGCUGCAUCGUUUCACUCCCGGGAGCGUUCCCUCUAUGUAGAGAGGAGAUAUAGAGGAGAGACGAAUACACACACAUGCGAUUUUCAUUAGUGCCGAGCUGUUUCUCCGGCGACCCCAUCUCAAUGACUGCGUGCAAAACCGUCCGAGAGUGCGUGCCUCCAAAAUACGUGCUCCUUGAGAACCCGAUUUUGCCUUUAUUUGCGUGAGUCAAACCAAAUAUGCUAGACACAUGGACCUUUAUGGAUGAGCUGACUUGUCAUUUUCUAAUUAGGCUAAAUAACCCUCUUCUCCUAGUUAAUGGGCCCCCCUGAUUUUAACUGAUGGGGGUGGGCGCUAAGGCCCGUAAAGCCCCGUAAUCCUCUGUUGAUGUAGCGAAGCCGGAGUCAAACUGUUGAAAAAUAUAGGGUACAACCCGAGUUGUCUUUCCGUACUGUUGUCCCGAAGAGAAAUUUGACAGGAGAGAAAAAAAACAACGACCACAGGGGAGUCGAACCCAAGACCUUCUGAUCCGAAGUCAGACGCGCUAAUCCACUGCGCUAUGCGGUCACUAUGCUGGUAAAACAUUAACACAGUACUGGAGAUCGCGGUUUAUCAAGUUCAGAGUAAGGACGUACACACAAAGAAAGCACAACACGUAAUCCACUGCGCAAGGCCAGAACCAAUGAUCUCCAGGAGCUAGUAAUAAUUGCAAACCGUUCAACAGAUAAAUGCAAUAAGAUAUUCACAGAUUUCAGGGGGCGCAGAACAAUACCAUCCUGGUUACAACCAGAAACACAGACAAUCACCAUUCACGGUGGUAGAUGCAGUAGAAAACUGAAUUAUAACAGAAUGCUUCAUUGACAAGUCUGGAACUACGAUGAAACAUGCAAGUAAUUAAAUUUAAAAAAUUGUACCCCAAGGUGUUCUACAAGGUAGCAAAGGGAAAAAUCUGCAGCUUCUCAUUGUCAGCUACAACAAAGGGUGCAAACAGGAAACACACUAAAAGUUGACUAUUAAGAUGACCACUUAUCAAGCGGUCAAAUCAAUUCUCCAGUAAAGCAAAGCAAGUAGUGAUAUGAGGCAUAAAUAUUGCUAAAUAUCAAAUACAGAGAAGACCAUAAGAGCAUCUCAACUAGCCUCCUCAGGACGCCCCACAGGACACCUUUUUAGGCUCGGUUUUAGGCUUGGACGGCACUUUUCGUCGAAAAACGGCCCAGCCACGCCCCCAACGCCUCCCAGGACGUCAAAAUAGCGCCGGCAAACUCAGGCGAAACCCGACGCGUUGGGGUCUCUUGGGGGCGCCGCCGGAAGUUUCGGCGAAUCCUGUCUCACCAGAUGUCCUUUUUCUUGGCCCACUUAAUCAUUCUCCUCACAAACUUUUGCGUGGGGUGGGGUGUGACUGGGAAGAUGCCCUCUUUAUUUCGCCGGAUGACCCCCAAGACACCAACUUUUUUGGUUCGGUGAUGUUCUUGAGGGUGCCAACGGCUGGAGAUUCUCUAAGGCGGAUUGGCAAAUAUUUCAGGAGCAAAGUAAAACGACUUGGUAACUGUAGCAUCAACACAACCAAUAGCCCCUUUCAGCCGGAAAGUUCAUCGAAACAAGAAUCCCAUUGUUAGAUUGUGGAGGAAAAUGAAGCCUUCUCAGGAUGUUUGCUCUCUGAGCCGUCAGAUUGGCCGUCCAAAAAGAUCCAGGCCGUUGGAUCUUGAUGGAUGGAUGUGGGCCGUUGGACGAAACUGAUGUUACAACCAAUGAAUAGUGCUGCAUCUUUCUUACUUCUGGUUUUUUUCCAUAUCUCGCUGACUGGUGAGCCAAGCCCUGGGUGGUCCACCACUCUCAGUGACUCUGGAGCCCUGUGCGACCGGUGCAAUUUCAAGUGGGCGCGGGGUCAUGCCACCGCGUGUAAAAUUGGGUGGCCGCCGAGGGUAAUUUCGUCAAUCCAUGUUAUUGCCCUCGCGUGGCGCUUCAUGUAUGGCUGGUCAUGCUUAGAGGCGAGACAGUGAUUGGAAUCGGAGGAAUCCUAGCCGACGGCAUCGUUCCUCUGCCCUUCCUCUCUCUGGCCCGAGCCACCACCUCUCUGCGCCUCCCCACCGGAUCCUAUUGCCAAUGCUCAAGUCUUGGCGAACACCCGACGAUGGUCGAUAAGGAGAUCCAGCGCGAGUCGCUGCCGCCGCAUCUUCUCCACCUCCAGCGCAUCAUUCCCCGAUCUCUUGUGCUCCCCCGCUCCCCUGUCUGGCGGUGCUCCCUACCGCCGCCGUCACGACAUCUUCUCCUCCCCCACCGUCGGUCAAAGGAGAAAGGAAGAAGUGGUCGAACAGGCCCGGGGCAGCAACCUCACGAAAUGAUUACAACAACAAAAAUAAUGAAGAUCAGAGCGUCGAAUAUAGAAGACACGAAGGAGGAAAGGAAGAUGCGCCGCCUGGCCGCUGCUGCUCAACAAGCGAGUACAGAUCAAUCUGAUCUCCACGCUAUGUCUAUCUCCGCUUGCCUAGAUCAUAUCAAUCUUAUCUCAACGCUAUGUCUAUCUUCGUUUGCCUAGAUAAUAUCAAUUUGAUCUCCACGCUAUGUUUAUCUCGGAUUCUCCGUUUGCCAACAAUAUUCAUGGAGAGAUGCAUAUCAAACUCAUGGAGAAUGAUGAAUUCCUGCCUCGGGAAUCCAUAUCAGUUAUGACAGAGGCGUGAGGAUUUACAGCUCGGCCAGAUCUUUCUUUCUUGUUUGCAAUCACGUAAUAAGAGGGGGCAUGUUAAAAAACCCUCAUAUAAAUAAGAUAAGAUGCACGUGAGAAAAAAAAUAGUGUAUGUCAUAGGUGGGUAAUUUUUUUCCUUCUUUUUUUUGCGAGAUAAUUUCUUUCAUCUUUAAUGUAAAUAGGUAAUGGUUGAGAUCCAACAGCACACAUGCACACCCUAUCCCUAUGAGUACCUCCGAAAGACUGAACCAACAUAUCAUCUUAAAAUUUACGAAGUCACUGUAGGCACAUCGUCGUCGACGGGAACGGCUCCUUUCACUGAAUGAGCAUCGUCGGAAAUCCUCAAAUAAAUCCAGCAAUAAAUGCGAGCAUCAGGAUUUGAACCCUGGUAGGCUAGGGAUACCACAGUCCCUCUAACCGUCUCGUUUUUUAAGAUAUUAAAUUGAGGGUCGGAUAUUUCUGAUUAACAUGAGCAUUUCUAGCUUAUUUCCCUAUUUUUGAACCGUAUUUUUGUUUCAGUAUAUUGUAGAUAUACGCUCCAAAUACUUGACUAUGUUUUACUGCGGUUGACAUAUCGGAACAACACAGUGACGAUGUUGUGUACACAUCGUAAAGUCAGCGGCCUUCUCUCGCUGGUCGCUGCAGGAGAAGUGCUCGUCAAUUUCUGCGGACCGUGCUUUUGCUCGGCCGCCGCACAUUGGAAGCGACGAGAGAGCGAAAGUUUGGCGGCUACAAGAGAAUGAACAAUCUGGUGGGUAGUGGGCUCCAUACAUAUAUGCGAGUAUACUUUUUCAGUUUGUCUAAUUUACAUCUAGAUGUUUUUUAAUAAUGUCAUAUAUAAUCUUUUACAAAUACAUAAUGCAACAAUAAAAAAUAAAAAAAACUAGAAAAAAAAAUCACAAAUAGAGUUGACAUCAGUUUAGAUGUGACAUAACUAUGUCAUAUGUAGAUGUGUCCUAAACAGACCUAUACUUUUUUGUGCAAUCCAAUAGGGUCAAGCAUGGUUUGUCUACGCACAUUGCAUGCAUAUCUUCCCGCUUGCCACGAAUCCGGUGUGCAAAGAUCACACUUGCUCCGUAGAAUCCAACCCACCAUAUAAUGACACGCACACGCGUCGAUCCAGACAUCCACUUCCACACUGACAAACAAAGAUGACACGAGUGCUCCUCCUCGUCCUGGCCGCGUCGCUCGUUGCGCUGGCGUAUUCGUCAAAAACGCGAGUUUUCCUCUAAACCCUAGAACCCCUGGCGGCGACUAGGUUUUGGGUGGAUCUCGACGGCGGCCGCUGAAUCCAUCGGCGGGCCGCAAGGAAAAGCUCGGGGACGAUGGCAACAUCGGCUGCCGGCAAAGGAUGGAAGAGGAGCGGUGCCCUAUCCCCUCGCUCCGCGCGGGCGCAGAUGGAGGAGGCACUUGGCAAGCUGGACAUCUCCGAGGAGGAGGCGACGCCUCUGGUGAUCGACGAUGCCAACGAUGAUGCUCCGGCAAAGUGGCUACUGGCAGGGAAGGUUUUGCACCGGAAUCUCCUCCACAUACAAACGAUCUGCAACGCCUUAUGUCCUGCAUGGGGAAACCCUAGGGGGCUGGAAUUCCGGCCCCUAGGGGAGAACUUGUUCGCUGCUGAAUUCGACUCCAAGCGAGAUCGAGAUCGCGUCUGGGAAGGCGCUCCUUGGCACAUUAGCAAAAACGCGGUGAUCCUGGAGUACUUUGAAGAGCACAUGCAGCCGUCGGAACUCAAGUACGACAGGUUGCCGGUCUGGGUUAGGGUAGUUAAUCUACCUUUUAACCUCAGGAAUAACACAAGAGGCUUGGCGAUAGCGCGCCAGAUUGACAAAAAUGCUGCCAUCGCCCAGAUUGAUCCAGUGGGGGGGGGGGUUCCUCAGGGCACGAGUCACCAUCGACGUGCUCAAACCCCUCCGCAGAUGGAUUGUCAUUGAAUCAACCAAGAGAGAUCAAGUGGACUGCUAUGAUAUUGAGUAUCAAUAGAUACGCCACUUCUGUUUCUCUUGUGGACGAUUAGGUCAUGCCGAUCUCUUCUGUCCCACCCCAGGGACAAGGGAUGCUAAUGGCGAUCUUCCCUUCAAGGUAAGCCUCCGGGCGCCCGAGGAUCGGAAGAAAGGUUUUUCUGGGGAGAACUUGACAAAGGCGAAGCCAGAGUCGCAGCGCAGCACACGAGAAUCACGCUCGUCUAGUUCCAAGCAGAAAGAUGGGGUUGAAGUGACCUCUCCUGUCAAGAGCCCAUCUCUGAACAAGAGGAAAGGAGGGCCACCUACUCAAGUCUAUCAGAAAGUGGUGACAACUCCCCUUGCUAUCACAUAGAAAGGAGAAGCGCUUGAAAACGAAAAUGAUCAGCGGGGAGUGGCUCCAGUUGGAGAGACAGAGGAUCUGGGAUCCGUCUUUGUGGAGAGAGAAACAAAGAAGAAGAAACCGACACCCCCUUCGUCGGAAACAUCGGCAGCGACUGCUAGUCAGCGCUGCCAGUCGCAAUGAGUACUAUCAGCUGGAACUGUCGAGGGCUUGGGAACCCUCAGACAGUUCGAGAGCUUCGCAAGAUUGUGAAGCAAGAAGGACCCGCCCUUCUGUUCGUAAUGGAGACCAAGAUCAAGGGCAAAAGAGUGGAAGAUCCGAAAUUUACUUUAGGUUUUUCUGGUUGUUAUGCCGUCGACAGCGACGGGCUUAGUGGAGACGUUAGUCUGAAUAAUUUCAGUCAAUCUCACAUUGAUGUAUCUGUCAAACAGGAUAAUAAAACUUGGCGUUUCACUGGUUUCUAUGGAGCGCCACGAGUGGAAAAUAGACAUCACAGCUGGCGGUUUCUCUGCACGCUUUUUGCUGUCCCGCAUGAUGCAUGGAUCUGCAUGGGUGAUUUUAAUGAAACGAUGCAAGCGGACGAGCAUUUCAGUGUUAAUGCGCGGCCGGAAUACCAGAUGAGGGCGUUCCGGGAUGCGGUUGACGAUUGUUCCUUACAAGACUUGGGAUGGAGAGGUAUUCCCUAUACAUGGGAUAACAGAUAACCUGGACUCGCAAACGUGAAAGCCAGGUUGGAUCGAGUGCUUGCCAAUGCGGGGUUUCUGAACCUGUUUCAGUUUACUUCGGUCAAGCAUUUAAGCAGUGUGGAGUCAGACCAUUGCUUCGUCGUAGCCGAACUCAGAACAAGUUUGAAUAACAGUUGGCCUCGAGCAAAACGAAGCUUCAGAUACGAAGAUGUAUGGCAAUCUCAUAGUCAGUAUGACCAGCUCGUGCGCAAUUUAUGGCAAGCCGGUGCUGGCCAGAGAGGUUUGCAAGGUGUAGUGGAUGCACUAGGGACAGUGUAGAAAGAUCUAGGAGCCUGGGGCGAGCGAGAAUUUGGAAAUCUCUCAAAGAAAGUUCGCAAAUUUCAGAAGCGCCUAGACCGGCUACGGAGCGCCUCGAUGGGCCGAGGGCCUACGGAGGAGGAGCUAGCGGUAGCAUCGCAACUGCGAGAAGCCAUGAGACAAGAGGAGAUCUGGCUUAAGCAAAGGUCGCGAGUGCUCUGGUUACGGGUGGGAGAUCGCAAUAACGGAUACUUUCAAGCUCAAGCCGCCCAUCGCAAGAGGAUUAACCGUAUCACUUCUCUGGAAAAUUCACAAGGCCAAAUUCUGCAAGAUCCAGAGGAGGUGAAGGAGGAAAUUAGCAACUUCUAUCACGCUUUGUAUCAGACACAAGGUUUCGAACCCAUGGAUGAACUUUUGAACUGCGUGCAACCCAGCAUCACCGAGCAAAUGAACGAUCAUAUUAAUAAACAAUAUGUGGCGGCAGAAGUGAAAAAGGCCCUGUUUGACAUGGCGCCAUCCAAGGCCCCGGGGGUCGAUGGUUUUACAGCAGGUUUUUACCAACGGCAUUGGGAGAUCCUUGGCGAGGAUAUUACAAUGGCCGUGCUAGAGUUCCUGAACGGAGGAGAAUUACCUUUGGGACUGAACGACACUUCCAUCACAUUGAUUCCCAAGGUACGACAUCCACAAAAAAUUUCUCAGUUCAGGCCGAUUGCACUAUGCCCUGUCCUUGAUAAGAUUGCAGUGAAAGCAAUUGCAAAUAGAGUUCGAGGGAUUUUGGAUGAGGUGAUUGGAGAGGAACAAAGCGCCUUCGUCCCGGGACGCUUAGUCACAGAUAACAUACUGGUGGCGUACGAAAGUAUUCAUGCUAUCAAGAGGCGAAAGAAGGGGAAAAAUGCAUGUUGCGCGGUGAAGCUUGACAUGCUCAAAGCAUAUGAUAGAGUGGAAUGGCAUUAUCUCAAGGCGAUGCUCUUCAGGCUGGGCUUCGGUGAUAACUUUAUUCGUUUGAUUAUGAAGUGUGUGACUUCAGUCCGGUUCACGAUCAAGGUUAAUGGAGAUCUUCUCCCUUAUUUUACCCCUUCAAGGGGGCUUCGUCAAGGAUGCCCCAUGUCACCAUACUUGUUCUUAAUAUGUGCUCAGGGCCUUACAUCACUCCUGAAUAAUUUUGGUGGCGCAUAUGUUGAUAGAGGCAUCCGGGUGAGCGUUCAUGCACCGUGGGUUAACCACCUACUAUUUGCUGACGACAGCUUGAUUUUCCUCAGUGCAAAAUCUCAAAGCACAGAGAUGCUCAAUGAGAUUCUCCGGAUUUACGCUGAGUGUUCUGGACAGGCAAUGAACCGAGAGAAAAGUUCGAUCUAUUUCAGUGCCAACAUGGGACAGCCCCUACGACAGAGUUUGAAGCAAUCCCUUGGCAUUUUCGUGGAAGCUUUCUCUGAACGUUACCUGGGCCUCCCGACGGCGAUUGGCAAAAUCACCAGUGGGACUUUUGAUCACAUGGUGGACAGGUGUCGCGAUAAAAUGCGUGGCUGGUCAGAGCGAAACAUGGCCUGUGCGGCUAGGGAGGUUCUUCUCAAGACAGUCGUCCAGUCGAUUCCCACUUUCAGUAUGAGUUGUUUCCUCCUGACUAAGAAAGUUUGCAAGUCGAUCACUUCCUGUAUGGCUAAGUACUGGUGGGGCAGUUCGAUCGACAAACGUUCCCUACAUUGGCUCUCUUGGGAAAAGCUGGAGGUGCCGAAAGUGAAGGGCGGCAUGGGUUUCCGCAACAUGCAAGGUUUCAACCUAGCGAUGCUUGGGAAACACGGCUGGCGCCUUCUCACCAGACCGGAUUCUUUGUGUGCUAGGGUACUGAAGGGCAAAUAUUAUCCUCACACGGAUUUUCUUAAUGCGACAGUUCCGGCCAGAGCUUCGGCAACCUGGAAGGCCAUAGUUGCAGGGCGAGAUGCAUGACAUGUUGGUCUCAUUCGUCGAGUAGGCGAUGACUCAACCAUCUCAACAUGGACAGAUAGUUGGAUUCCGAAUACGACCGCACUGAAACCCUCGGGGCGCAUCGGCACUGCGUCGUUAACAAGGGUCUCAGAUCUUAUUGAUGAAUACACGGGGAACUGGAAUGAACAACUUGUCCGUCAGAAUUUCUUGCACCCGGACGCGGUAGCCAUCCUAAAUAUACCACUCAAUCCGGCGGGUGGUGAAGAUACUUUGGCCUGGGCUUUGGAGAAGUCGGGUAUCUACACUGUGAAAUCAGCGUAUCGUUCUCUUAUGACUCGCAAUGAGCUUGGCUCUUUAGAGGAAGGGGCGAUUACAGAAACUUCAUCAGCUAACAAACAGUUGUGGACUGCUUUAUGGCGACUACGAGUCGUUCCCAAAGUUCGGGUAUUUUGGUGGAGAGUUCUCCGAGGGAUACUCCCUGACUCGACCACCUUGCGCUAUCGUCACAUCAAGCAGUUGGGUCUGUGCGAUGUUUGCAAAGCGAUGGACGAGGACAUGCUACAUGCACUAAUCCAUUGUACUCAUGCAAAGGCUUUCUGGGCUGCCGCUAAGGACAGAUUCCAGCUCUCUCUCCCACGCUUGCACCAUGACACGUGGGCACCUGAUAUUCUGCUUGAUCCUAUGUUCAUUGAUGAGGAAAGAUGCAAGAUAAUUACCAUUAUACACAACAUUUGGUCGUCACGGAACAAUUGGACUCAUGAUCGUGAAGGUUACAACCCUGUUCAAGCGUUGAAGUGGAUUCACGAGACCUUGGCGAUCCUGGAACUUCCUUCCUUGGUAAGGAAAGCGAGGGCGGGUCAGUGCUGGAGGCCACCUGAAGCUGGUUGGCUCACUAUAAACACUUACGGCGCACUUAUGUUGAGGACAUGAAGGGAGGAGCAGGAGGCGUGGCUAGGUCACACAUUGCGUUCCUUGGUGCCUGGUGCAAACCUCUGGUUGGCAUUACGGACCCCUUCAUUGCGGAGUUGUUUGCUCUUCGAGACGGGAUGAUUUUUGCGCAACUUCGUGGUUUCUCACAUGUGAUCAUGGAGAUUGACUGCCUGGAGCUAGUUGAUCUAUGAAAAUCGCGCAGCAACACAAGAUCAGUUGCUGCGCCUAUCUUGAAUGAAUUAGAGGAAAUUGGUGCUACCUUUGCUUCUCUUUCGGUUACUCAUGUGAGUAGGGAAGCUAAUAUGCCGGCGCAUCAGUGUGCUCGUCUAGCUAGUACACUGGAUGGCACCGAGAGUUGGCUUGAUGCAAGCCCUGAUUUUUUGGUUUCUUGCCUGCGGGCUGAUUGUAACACUAUGAUCCUACGUUAAUAAAGUUCCUGAAUUCGACGAAAAAAAAAGGACCCCGCUACCUCCCUCUACACAAUCCCCUUCCACCAGGGCGCCAGCCUCGUCCUUGACAUAGCCGGCCCGCUGGUCUGGUCCACGUGCCAGCGCGGCGAUCUGCCGACAGAUAUCCCGUGCAGUAGCCCCAGCUGCCUCCUCGCCAACGCCUACCCCGCCCCGGGCUGCCCCGCGCCCAGCUGCGGCAGCGGCAGCCACGACAAGCGGUGCACGGCGUACCCAUACAACCCGGUCACCGGCGCGUGCGCCGCCGGGAGCCUCGCCCGCACGACGCUCGUAGCCGACACCACCGACGGGAAUAACCCGGUGAGCGAGGUGUACGUCCGGGUCCUGGCGGCGUGCGCGCCGAGGAAGCUCUUGGCGUCGCUGCCCGGCCCGGGGCUCCACGGGUGUAGCCGGGCUCGGGGGCUCCGGCCUUGCGCUGCCGGCUCAGGUGGCGUCCACCCAGAAGGUCGCCAACAAGUUUCUCCUCUGCCUCCCCAGCGGCGGCCCUGGCGUGGCCAUCUUCGGCGGCGGCCCGCUCCCGUGGCCGCAAUUGACGCAGUCGAUGCCGUACACGCCGCUCGUCACCAAGGGCGGCAGCCCCGCGCACUACAUCUCCGUCAAGGCCAUCCAAGUGGAGGACACCCGCGUCUCCGUCUCAGAGCGCGUGCUCGCCACCGGCGGCGUGAUGCUCAGCACGAGGCUGCCCUACGCCUUGCUCCGCCACGACGUGUACCGCCCGUUGGUGGACGCGUUCACCAAGGCCCUGGCGGCGCAGCCUGCCAACGGAGCGCCCGUGGCGCGCGCCGUGAAGCCUGUGGCACCGUUCGAGCUGUGCUACGACACGAAGUCGCUGGGCAACAACCCCGGCGGGUACUGGGUGCCGAACGUCGGGCUGGCGCUCGACGGCGGGAGUGACUGGUGGAUGACUGGGAAGAACUUCAUGGUGGACGUCAAGCCGGGGACGGCGUGCGUUGCGUUCGUGGAGAUGAAGGGGGUGGAGGCCGGCGACGGCAGGGCGCCGGCGGUGAUCCUCGGAGGAGCCCAGUUGGAGGAGCUCGUGCUCGACUUCGACAUGGAGAAGAAGCGGCUCGGGUUUCUCAGGUUGCUACACUAUAUGGAUUGCAGCAGAUUCAAUUUCACUCGAAGCGCUUAGAACUGUCACUGCCUGUAAUGAUAAGUUUGUAUAUCUACGGUAUAUUAUUCGACCACUCCCUGAAUAAUUCAGGAUGGACGCGGUCCGGGCCGGACCGGUCCGGUCCCUAACCGAGCCUCCCUUUGGACCGGCCGAAACUGGCACGGACCGGAUCCUGUUUCCUAGGACCGGACCGGCUGCGCCUCAGCUCGGUGCGGACCGAAGGGACCGACUGGACCGAGUACAGUUUGUGCGUGGGAGUGCGCUGGAAGCCUUUUUAGAACUAUUUUGACAACAAAUUUGAACGUAUAGAUCAUUAGGUUGCAAAAGAGGUUCAAAUGGACGAAAAAUAAGCAAGUUUGCAACAAAAACAGCACAGGAAGGUGUCCAACUGAAGAAAGUUCAGAGGGACUGAACAAAUACCAACUGAAGAAAGUUCAGAGGGACUGAACAAUUACCAACUGAAGAAAUUUCAGAGAGAUGGAACAAGUACAAACUGUCGGCGUGGACAUGCAGGACUUCAGGUGCACGUGCAGCAGCUCCGACCCCCGCGUCCUCCAGCUUUGUGCUCGACGGCGGCUAACAGGCGAGGAGGUGGUCGAAGACGGGCAGGUGGUGUUGGGGAACGUAGUAAUUUCAAAAAAAUUCCUACGCACACGCAAGAUCAUGGUGAUGCAUAGCAACGAGAGGGGAGAGUGACGUCCAUGUACCCUCGUAGACCGUUAAGCGGAAGCGUUAUAACAACGCGGUUGAUGUAGUCGUACAUCUUCACGAUCGACCGAUCCUCAGCACCGAACGUACGGCACCUCUACGUUCAGCACACGUUCAGCUCGGUGACGUCCCGCGAACUCACGAUCCAAUAGAGCUUCCGGGAAGAGCUUCGUCAGCACGACGGCAUGGUGACGGUGAUGAUGAUGCUACCGACGCAGGGCUUCACCUAAGCACCGCUACGAUAUGACUGAGAUGGAUUAUGGUGGAGGGGGCACCACACACGGCUAAGAGAUCAAUAGAUCAAUUGUUGUGUCUUUGGGGUGCCCCCCUACCUCUGUAUAUAAAGGGGGGAGGAGGAGAGGGUCGGCCAAGGGAGAGGCGCGCCCAAGGGGGGGCAAUCCUACUCCAAUUAGGUUUGUCCUCUACCUUUCCUAUUCCAAGAAGGAGAAGGGGGAAGGAGGAGGUGGAGAGAAGGAAGGAGAGGGGGGCCGCCGCCCCUUCCCCUUGUCCAAUUCGCAUUGGGGCAAGGGGGGCCGCGUGCCACCUCCUGGCUGCCCUCUCUCNNNNNNNNNNNNNNNNNNNNNNNNNNNNNNNNNNNNNNNNNNNNNNNNNNNNNNNNNNNNNNNNNNNNNNNNNNNNNNNNNNNNNNNNNNNNNNNNNNNNNNNNNNNNNNNNNNNNNNNNNNNNNNNNNNNNNNNNNNNNNNNNNNNNNNNNNNNNNNNNNNNNNNNNNNNNNNNNNNNNNNNNNNNNNNNNNNNNNNNNNNNNNNNNNNNNNNNNNNNNNNNNNNNNNNNNNNNNCGGUGUCCAAACAUAGUCGUCCAAUAUAUCGAUCUUUACGUCUCGACCAUUUCGAGACUCCUCAUCAUGUCCGUGAUCACAUCCGGGACUCCGAACUACCUUCGGUAUAUCAAAACAUAAAAACUAAUAAUACCGAUCGUCACAGAACUUUAAGCGUGCGGACCCUACGGGUUAGAGAACUAUGUAGACAUGACCGAGACACGUCUCGGGUCAAUAACAAAUAGCGCAACCUGGAUGCUCAUAUUGGCUCCUACAUAUUCUACGAAGAUCUUUAUCGGUCAAAUCGCAUAACAACAUACGUUGUUCCCUUUGUCAUCGGUAUGUUACUUGCCCGAGAUUCGAUCGUCGGUAUCUCAAUACCUAGCUCAAUCUCGUUACCGGCAAGUCUCUUUACUCGUUACGUAAGGCAUCAUCCCGCAACUAACUCAUUAGUCACAUUACUUGCAAGGCUUAUUGUGAUGUGCAUUACCGAGAGGGCCCAGAGAUACCUCUCCGACAACCGGAGUGACAAAUCCUAAUCUCGAUCUAUGCCAACUCAACAAGUACCAUUGGAGAUACCUGUAGAGCACCUUUAUAAUCACCUAGUUACAUUAUGACGUUUGGUAGCACACAAAGUGUUCCUCCGGUAAUCGGGAGUUGCAUAAUCUCAUAGUCAUAGGAACAUGUAUAAGUCAUGAAGAAAGCAAUAGCAGUAAACUAAACGAUCAAGUGCUAAGCUAGCGGAAUGGGUCAAGUCAAUCACAUCAUUCUUCUAAUGAUGUGAUCCCGUUAAUCAAAUGACAACUCAUGUCCAUGGCUAGGAAACUUAACCAUCUUUGAUUAACGAGCUAGUCAAGUAGAGGCAUACUAGUGACACUAUGUUUGUCUAUGUAUUCACACAUGUAUUAUGUUUCCGGUUAAUACAAUUCUAGCAUGAAUAAUAAACAUUUAUCAUGAUAUGGGGAAAUAAAUAAUAACUUUAUUAUUGCCUCUAGGGCAUAUUUCCUUCAGUCUCCCACUUGCACUAGAGUCAAUAAUUACACAGUAGUGAUUCUAACACCCAUUGAGUAGUGGUGUUUAUCAUGUUUUGCUCGUGGAAGAGGCUUAGUCAACGGGUCUGCAACAUUCAGAUCCGUAUGUAUAUUGCAAAUCUCUAUGUCUCCCACCUGGACUUGAUCCCGGAUGGAAUUAAAGCGUCUCUUGAUGUGCUUGGUUCUCUUGUGAAAUCUGAAUUCCUUUGCCAAGGCAAUUGCACCAGUAUUGUCACAAAAGAUUUUCAUUGGUCCCGAUGCACUAGGUAUGACACCUAGAUCGGAUAUGAACUCCUUCAUCCAGACUCCUUCAUUUGCUGCUUCCGAAGCAGCUAUGUACUCCGCUUCACACGUAGAUCCCGCCACGACGCUUUGUUUAGAACUGCACCAACUGACAGCUCCACCGUUCAAUGUAAGCACGUAUCCGGUUUGCGAUUUAGAAUCGUCCGGAUCAGUGUCAAAGCUUACAUCGACGUAACCAUUUACGACGAGCUCUUUGUCACCACCAUAAACGAGAAACAUAUCCUUAGUCCUUUUCAGGUAUUUCAGGAUGUUCUUGACCGCUGUCUAGUGAUCCACUCCUGGAUUACUUUGGUACCUCCCUGCUAAGCUAAUAGCAAGGCACACAUCAGGUCUGGUACACAGCAUUGCAUACAUGAUAGAGCCUAUGGCUGAAGCAUAGGGAACACUUUUCAUUUUCUCUCUAUCUUCUGCAGUGGUCGGGCAUUGAGUCUGACUCAACUUCACACCUUAUAACACAGGCAACAACCCUUUCUUUACUUGAUCCAUUUUGAACUUUUUCAAAACUUUGUCAAGGUAUGUGCUUUGUGAAAGUCCAAUUAAGCGUCUUGAUCUAUCUCUAUAGAUCUUGAUGCCCAAUAUGUAAGCAGCUUCACCAAGGUCUUUCAUUGAAAAACUCUUAUUCAAGUAUCCUUUUAUGCUAUCCAGAAAUUCUAUAUCAUUUCCAAUCAGCAAUAUGUCAUCCACAUAUAAUAUUAGAAAUGCUACAGAGCUCCCACUCACUUUCUUGUAAAUGCAGGCUUCUCCAAAAGUCUGUAUAAAUCCAUAUGCUUUGAUCACACUAUCAAAAAUUUUAUUCCAACUCCGAGAGGCUUGCACCAGUCCAUAAAUGGAUCGCUGGAGCUUGCACACUUUGUUAGCUCCCUUUGGAUCGACAAAACCUUCCGGCUGCAUCAUAUACAACUCUUCUUCCAGAAAUCCAUUCAGAAAUGCAGUUUUGACAUUCAUUGGGAAAAUUUCAUAAUCAUAAAAUGCGGCAAUUGCUAACAUGAUUCGGACAGACUUAAGCAUCGCUACGGGUGAGAAAGUCUCAUCGUAGUCAACUCCUUGAACUUGUCGAAAACCUUUCGCAACAAGUCGAGCUUUGUAGACAGUAACAUUACCGUCAGCGUCAGUCUUUUUCUUGAAGAUCCAUUUGUUCUCUAUGGCUUGCCGAUCAUCGGGCAAGUCAACCAAAGUCCAUACUUUGUUCUCAUACAUGGAUCCCAUCUCAGAUUUCAUGGCCUCAAGCCAUUUUGCGGAAUCUGGGCUCACCAUCGCUUCUUCAUAGUUCGUAGGUUCACCUUUGUCAUGUAACAUGACCUCCAGAAUAAGAUUAUCGUACCACUCUGGUGCGGAUCUUACUCUGGUUGACCUACGAGAUUCGGUAGUAACUUGAUCUGAAGUUUCAUGAUCAACAUCAUUAGCUUCCUCACUAAUUGGUGUAGGUGUCACAGGAACCGGUUUCUGUGAUGAACUACUUUCCAAUAAGGGAGCAGGUACAGUUACCUCAUCAAGUUCUAUUUUCCUCCCACUCACUUCUUUCGAGAGAAAACUCCUUCUCUAGAAAGGAUCCAUUCUUAGCAACGAAUGUCUUGACUUCGGAUCUGUGGUAGAAGGUGUACCCAACUGUCUCCUUUGGGUAUCCUAUGAAAACACAUUUCUCCGAUUUAGGUUUGAGCUCAUCAGGAUGAAACUUUUUCACGUAAGCAUCACAACCCCAAACUUUAAGAAACGACAACUUUGGUUUCUUGCCAAACCACAGUUCAUAAGGCGUCGUCUCAACGGAUUUUGAUGGUGCCCUAUUUAAAGUGAAUGCAGCUGUCUCUAAUGCAUAACCCCAAAACGAUAGUGGUAAAUCGGUAAGAUACAUCAUAGAUCGCACCAUAUCCAAUAAAGUGCGGUUACGACGUUCGGACACACCAUUAUGUUGUGGUGUUCCGGGUGGCGUGAGUUGUGAAACUAUUCCGCAUUGUUUCAAAUGUAGACCAAACUCGUAACUCAAAUAUUCUCCUCCACGAUCAGAUCGUAGAAACUUUAUUUUCUUGUUACGAUGAUUUUCCAGUUCACUCUGAAAUUCUUUGAACUUUUCAAAUGUUUCAGACUUAUGUUUCAUUAAGUAGAUAUACCCAUAUCUGCUCAAAUUAUCUGUGAAGGUGAGAAAGUAACGAUACUCGCCGCGAGCCUCAAUAUUCAUCGGACCACAUACAUCAGUAUGUAUGAUUUUCAACAAAUCUGUUGCUCGCUCCAUUGUUCCAGAGAACGGCGUUUUAGUCAUCUUGCCCAUGAGGCAUGGUUCGCAAGUACCAAGUGAUUAAUAAUCAAGUGAUUCCAAAAGUCCAUCAGUAUGGAGUUUCUUCAUGCGCUUUACACCAAUAUGACCCAAACGGCAGUGCCACAAAUAAGUUGCACUAUCAUUAUCAAUUCUGCAUCUUUUGGCUUCAACAUUAUGAAUAUGUGUAUCACUACUAUCACAAAUAGACCACUCUUUAAGGGUGCAUUACCAUAAAAGAUAUUACUCAUAUAAAUAGAACAACCAUUAUUCUCAUAUUUAAAUGAAUAACCGUCUCGCAUCAAACAAGAUCCAGAUAUAAUGUCCAUGCUUAACGCUGGCACCAAAUAACAAUUAUUCAGGUCUAAAACUAAUCCCGAAGGUAGAUGUAGAGGUAGCGUGCCGACGGCGAUCACAUCGACUUUGGAACCAUUUCCCACACGCAUUGUCACCUCGUCCUUAGCUAGUCUUCGCUUAAUCCGUAGUCCCUAUUUCGAGUUGCAAAUAUUGGCAAUAGAACCAGUAUCAAAUACCCAGGUGCUACUGCGAGCUCUAGAAAGGUACACAUCAAUAAUAUGUAUAUCACAUAUACCUUUGUUCACCUUGCCAUCCUUCUUAUCCGCCAAAUACUUGGGGCAGUUCCGCUUCCAAUGACCAGUCUGUUUGCAAUAGAAGCACUCAGUCUCAGGCUUAGGUCUAGACAUGGGUUUCUUCUCUUGAGCAGCAACUUGUUUGCCGUUCUUCUUGAAGUUCCCCUUCUUCUUCCCUUUACCCUUUUUCUUGAAACUGGUGGUCUUGUUGACCAUCAACACUUGAUGCUCCUUCUUGAUUUCUACCUCCGCAGCCUUUAGCAUUGCGAAGAGCUCGGGAAUUGUCUUAUCCAUCCCUUGCAUAUUAUAGUUCAUCAUGAAGCCCUUGUAGCAUGGUGGCAGUGAUUGAAGAAUUCUGUCAAUGACACUAUCAUCCGGAUUAACUCCUAGUUGAAUCAAGUGAUUGUUAUACCCAGACAUUUUGAGUAUAUGUUCACUGAUAGAACUAUUCUCCUCCAUCUUGCAGCUGUAGAACUUAUUGGAGACUUCAUAUCUCUCAAUCCGGGCAUUUGCUUGAAAUAUUAACAUCAACUCCUGGAACAUCUCAUAUGCUCCAUGACGUUCAAAACGUCGUUGAAGUCCCGGUUCUAAGCCGUAAAGCAUGGCACACUGAACUAUCGAGUAGUCAUCAGCUUUGCUCUGCCAGACGUUCUUAACAUCGUCAGUUGCAUCUGUAGCAGGCCUGGCACCCAGCGCUGCUUCCAAGACGUAAUUCUUCUGUGCAGCAAUGAGGAUAAUCCUCAAGUUACGGAACCAGUCCGUGUAAUUGCUACCAUCAUCUUUCAACUUUGCUUUCUCAAGGAAUGCAUUAAAAUUCAACAGAACAACAACACGGGCCAUCUAUCUAGAACAACAUAGACAAGCAAAAUACUAUCAGGUACUAAGUUCAUGAUAAAUUUAAGUUCAAUUAAUCAUAUUACUUAAGAACUCCCACUUAGAUAGACAUCCCUCUAAUCAUCUAAGUGAUCACGUGAUCCAUAUCAACUAAACCAUAACCGAUCAUCACGUGAAAUGGAGUAGUUUUCAAUGGUGAACAUCACUAUGUUGAUCAUAUCUAUUAUAUGAUUCACGCUCGACCUUUUGGUCUCAGUGUUCCCAGGCCAUAUCACACCCUACACAAUGAUAUCGUCAAGACGAGAACCAUUAAACUGCGCCAAUUAGGGGUCUCAAGCAUGAUUCCUCUUUUUUUCGCUGCAAUAUGUGAAAUUUGCAGUAGAUAGAUCAAUCCGAGAAUGACGUUUGGCUCCCGGGUUCGCGCACUCCCAUGUGAAUAGUAAACAAAAAUAUAUAAUAAAUGUUUUGAAAAAAUUCUGAAAUAUUUUUUAGAUGUUCGUGUUAGUGUCGGAAGCGUACUUGAAAUUUUUCAUGCGAAACGAAGCAGUUGUGUUUCGCCAGUGAAAAAAACAAAUUUAGGGUGAAAUUUUGGGGUAACAUUUGGUGUUUAUUUUUUUGGCCUGCAAAUUUGUGUAGGGUAACGCAGCAGAAAACAAAAAAAUCUCCGACCUACACAUCAGCCCAGGACCACUAUGGAGACUGCAUACAAGGUUUGAUCUUUUUCAUUACCGACUCAUAGCGCAGCGGAAGUAGAGUCGAUGACGAUCGGCGGUGCAGAUCCCCGCAGCAAGGAUUUACAACCUCCCAACCGCGAGGAUGUAUACCCUCACCUGCCCCUCGGACAGCCCCCCGGGAGGCGGUCGGACAGUCCCCCGGACGGUGUCGCGGACAACCCUUCGGGAGGAGCUUCGAAACUCGGGCGAUCACUCGGACAGCCCUUCGGGAGGACCUUCGAAACUCGGACGGUCACACAGACAGCCCUUUGGGAGGCACUCUCGAACUAAGAGCGAAACCACGAUCUCUCUACAGAGUUGCACACAUACGGUGUCAUCUAUCCGGCAGGGCUUCGCUGUCCAGAACUAGUUCCUCUCGGAACCCAUACAGCCUUUCGGCUCUACGAAACUAUUUCGCUGGGAGGGAGAGAGAAAUCCAGAUCAUGCAUGGCACUUGUAUGUGAGAAAGAGUGAGUGUGGAGAGUGCAUCUCCAUCUCUAUUUAUAGGAAAACCCAAGGGGAAAGGUGGGACAUGGAAACCCAAAAUACCUAUGUUUUAUGUCACACAUAAAGGGCAUUAUGGGGAAGCAAGUGGGGCUCCAUGGAGCAGCCCCUCUUGGACGUCCAAAACCCUUGUGGGACCCCCCAAAAUGGGUUCCCGUCCUUCCAUGUCAUCCCUAGAUAUUUUAGGGCAAAGCCCAAAAAGGUGGCUUUCCAUAAAGUAACCAAGCUGAUUUCGCUAUUCACGACGACAUUUUUCAGUGUCCGUUCGAACCGAAAAUAUUUAUGUGGGCUUAGAAUAUUUCCAGUACCCACUAAAAUAAUUUUCGACGUGUUCCGAAACAAUUCCGGAUUAGUGAUUUUCAUCUGCGAAAAGCAACCAAACCGGUUCCGGCAGCUCCAGAACAUUUCCGGUUUUUAUCCCGGAAAAUUCCUAGAAGUUUCCAGAAUAAUUCUGGCACCCUCCAAGAAUUAUCAGGCGUGUCCCGAAACCAAUUUAACAAUGGUAUACCCCGAAACAACGUUUCGGCCGGCUUUACGAAACUAUUUCGAUGUUCUCUCUCCGGAACUCUUCCACUGUCUCCGAAACUUUUUCGGCGAAUUUCUCUCAGACUCCCUAUCUAGUAUUCAACAGAUAGAUGACCCUUAAGCAUGUGACCCUAUAGGUUCGGUGAAGUAUAGACAUGACCGGAACCCUUUCCGAUCAAUGAUCAACAUCGGAGCCAUGGACACCCAUAUUGACCCCUAUACCCACACACAUGAAUAUUCGAGUGAACCUCCAGUUGCCGUGUGCUAUUCCUGUUGCUUCGCGAUAUGUUACAAAUACCCGAGGUGAGAUGUAUUGGCAUCCCCGUGGAUCAACAACUUUGUCCACUAUGCCAGUUACCUCGUUACCGGUAUUGUUCUCUUUUCUCGUUCCUGUGUUCCGGCAUCCCUGUGAUCAAAUCACAAUGUGUCUGGCCAGACGAUGAUGGAUACCGUAACACCAAGAGGGCCCAGAGAUAUAUCUCCAUCAAUGGAGGAGCAAAUCGCAAUCUUGAGCUAUCAAGUUACUUGACAUACUUUUCAUGAACACGCAAGCCGCCGUAAUAGCCACCCAUUUACGGAUGACCUUUAACAAACCCCAAAGUUCAUGAAGCAAGCAUGAAGAAACUCGAUACUCUCAUGGUCUAAGGAAUUAUCCAAACGUAAACUUCCUCUGUGUUAUUAACCAUUAACUUGUGACGAAGGUACCUCAUAGCAUAACAUUAAAUGGGUUGAUUCAACCACAAGUGUUCUACUAACAUUGUGUCCCCAAAGUUGCCGGCAUAGUCAUGCCCAUGAUCAGGAAAAUAGAACCAUCAUGCAACACUUGAGCUAGUCUUAGAGGCCAGACUAGGAAUACAUUUUGCCGUUUAUUAUUCCAUACGUGCAUAUGAGUCUUCCUCCAAGCCUCGUGUCACUGUAGACUCGAGAACCAUAGCAGUUAUAGCAUGGAACAUAAACAUAAUGAUGAACAUGGAGAUAAAUAAUAAGAUUUAUUAUUGCCUCUAGGGCAUAUCUCCUACAAUUUGUAUGUAGGAUUUGGAUGUGACAAGUAACACAUAGAAUUUCUGUUGAUUUUUUUAUAUUUAAAAAUAUAUUUUCACGUGCUCCCGGGAGCACUAACGGAUUUCGGGAUCCAUGUAAUUGUGUCAGCAAGAUAGCAGUGCAGGUUCUUUGCGUGAGCGAGCUAGCAUGCAUCGAACAUCGCCUUUGCGCGAAAGAGUGGGAGCAAUAACGCAUUGGACCACGGCCAUCCGAUCCAAGCUUUCUUUUUAGUUCUGCUCAUCAAUCUGGCUCCACCCGGGGCAGGGCAUCUGAGCUACUCGUAUCUGACCAAUCUUGGCUACUAUUAUCUGAAGUGUUCUCGCCAUUUUUUGUUCCGAUGAUCAGUGAUAUUAGCCCACAAGUUUGCCCACUUUAUGUUUUGUAAGUUCAAUGCGUGAUUGCUUUUAUUUUAGUUGUAUGCCCCUUGAAUUGAAAUAUGUGUUCAGUGCGAGUUGGAUGCGAUUCGAUGAGGUUAGCUAGAUAUUGACAUCCCUCUCUCAUUAUUUUGCAAUAGAGAUUGGGUUAGGCAGGGAAGGGGAGUAUUUAUAAAUUUCUAAAUUGUUAGAAAUCAUAUUCUAGUUCACAUAUUGCCAAAAUGCAGAUGAAGAUGUAGCCAUGGCAAAUGGGGUUUACAAAGUUUUAAGUAGCAAUUUUUAGAUGAUAACUCCUAGGUUUGUGACAUGGCAAAUUGGGUUUUGUAGAGUAUUAAGAUGAUAACUCCUUUUGUUUUGUGUCAUGGCAAUUUUUGGUUCACGAGGUGAAAAUUGUUGGAAGUCACAUGGGCAAUUGUAGAAAACCUUUUUUAUGUUCUAAAUCUGAAAGCAAUGCAUACAACCUAUAUUUUGUGGGCAAACACUUCGGAAUUUGUCCCAUUUUCCUUCAUUUUUUCUGCCCCAUUUUCCCUUAAUUUUUUCCAUGGACACUUAUGUUUAGUACUACAUCUAUGUAAUAGCAUUGCAACUUCAACAUGUUUUUGCCAUGUUCCCUUCAGUUUUUUUUGUUAGAUCUACCUUCACUAUAUGUCAAUUUUACUUGCGUUUCUAGCUACUAAACUAUACAUGGAAAACUUUUCUGAUUCUUUUGCCAUAUGCACUUGAAGUUCUAUACUAUAUUCUCAAUAACUUUCCAUAUGCCAUUUUCCUAUUGCUUUGUUCUUUUUCUAAUGAACAAAAUCCUUUAGAAGUUGCCAUCUUCUAUGAGAACAUUUCUCUUCCUAAAAUUUUCCAUUUGCAAAUGAAACUUGUGGCAAAUUCAUAUGCUACCAUAAAAGCAAUUUUCCAAGGAAAAAUAUUUAUGACAAAUUUAGUUUAUAGAUCAUGGCAAAUUUAGUAACUGACCAUGGAAAAUUUAAUUUAUGUAUCAUGGCAAACUUGUUCUUACCAUGGCAAUUUUCACUUUUCAAAUCACGUACACUUUAGUUUCAUGGUCUUCUUUUGAGAAUCAUGUAAAUUGGGUUCUAUCUAGCAUGGUUAGUUUUACCAUCAUGACGAAAUUGACCUAAAUCUACCAUCAUCACGAACUUGCAUACAUUCUUUGGAUUAAUGCCAUUUUCCUAACCACAGGCAAGCAUCUCAUGUGCAUCAUGACAAAUUUACACCACUUUGUCCACCAUGGCAAACUUACACACAUGUUUUUUGCCAUUAACAUGUGCUUUUAAGACCGUCGCAAUUUCUUUUCUUUUUGCAACAUGGCAAAAACUACUUUUUAUGGGACCAUGGCAAUUUUAUUUUAUGGGUCAUGGCAAUUUUAGUUUAUGCAUCACAGCAAAUUUAGUGCAUGGGCCAUGGCAAUUUUCAUUUUUUAUGGACCAUGGCAAGUUUGCUUUCUGGGCCAUGGAAAAUUUGAUUCAAACAUCAUGGCAAUUUCAGUUAAUGUACCGUGACAAAUUUAUUCCAUUUUUUGCCAUGGAAAUUUUGAUAUUGGACCAUGGAAAUUGUUUUGCUUGUUUCAUACACAAAACCAUGUAGUUUUUGCCAUGGAGAUUUGUGUUCACUUAAAAAAUGCCAUAGUAUUUGCAAUAGAUUUACCACCAAUAUUAAAAAAAAUUACAAUGUUCCUUUCAUAAAAAUUUCUCCAUAAAAUAAAUUACCGUAAACUCAAAAAGCAUCAUGACAUGUCAAUUAUCAUGUGUUUUUGCCAUUGUAUUUUCUGACACUAAUUUUUUUGUUGAAAUUGAUACUAAAAGUGACAACAUAAAAGAAUUUUUGGCAAGGAAAAACUGCUCAUGGCAAAUUUGUAGUAGCCACAGGAAUUUUAGUAAUUAACCAUCGCAAAAUUUCUUUUAAGUUUAUGGAUCAUGUUAAAUUUUCAUAAUUAACCAUGGCAAAUUUAGUUUCUGAAUCUUGUAAAAUUUAGUAAUUCACCAUGGAAAAUUUAGUUUAUAGAUCAUGGCAAAUUUAUUGUUCUCAUGACAAUAUUCACUUUUUGUGAUCUUGGCAAUUUAGUUGUUGAUUUCUUAUUUGAGCAUCAUGGCAAAAUAUUUGUACGCAUCAUGAAAUUUUUAGUGUAUGGAUCGUGUAAAUUUUUUGGAUCAACUAAAGUUUUAAAUUUAUCUCGACAAAUUUAUUUUUUAUAGGACGUCAAUUUUAUUUUUUCUGUCAUUGUUUCGUACAUGGAGAAUUUCUCAUACUGAACAUGGAAAUUUUAAUUAAAAUACCACCUUAGUUUUUAUUAUGAAUCUGGCAUGGCAAUUCUUUGUUUCAUAUUUUGGUUUUCAUUUGUUCAUUUGAUAUUUUUUUUGGACAUCAGUGAGUCCCGAACCAAUUUGACCAUGUCGAAUCGAAUGUUUUUAUGGCAAUUUAUAUUUUUUGACCAUGGCAAGUUUAGUUGGUAAGCAUUGCAAAUCCGCCCUCAGUUUGUUUUUGCAAAAAAAAAUUGUGCUUGCCAACUAAUCUUGGCAUCCUUGUGUCAACUAAAGUUGCUAUAAAAAACGUUCGAAUUGCCAUGGGCAAAUCCCGAACUUUGGGAUUUAUCAUUUCCAAUAUAUUUUUCGUGGUAACAUUUGCCAUGUCAUUUUUCUAAAUAUAGAUUCUCUUCCAUGACAAUUCUAGAAAUUUGCCAUGUGAUCAAGAUCAGUGUUAUUGUUAGAAUAUUUCUGUUUAUAUUGUUUGGCAUUUUUUGGCUGACCACAUAGCAAUUUUUCCCUAGGGAAUUUGGGUCAGUUUUGUCUAGUUUUUGGCUUAGGUAAUUAGUGAGAGAACUGGGGAGUAUAAAUCAGUGUGCACAAACUCGUUGUUUUUGUGUAGCUAUUCAAAAUGAGUUGAAGUUUUGUUUUGGACAAAAUAUAAUUUAAAAUGUGGAAAACAUGUGUCAUGGAAAUUUUGUUGGAUUUUGUCUAGCUAUUAAAAAUGAGGUCCAAACACCAAUUUUGAAGUCUUGAGUCGUAACAAACAAUGAGCCUUUUUUUGGCCCAGUUGGAGGCUGUUAAGGCCCAGCCGAAGUCUGUUUUCGUGCUGCUGGGGGAACUGUCGAAAUCAGUAAUUAACUAGAAGAACGCCCGUGCGUUGCAAAGGGGCCACAUUAAAUUUAAAAGUUCAAUACCAAUUAUGUUAAUAUUAUAUUUAAUAUUCUCAUACAUAUUAAGUGACAUUGACGACUUUUUUACCAUCAAAUUCUCACACACACACCCUCUCCCUCCCUCUUCCUCACUGUCUCUCCCCCUCUCCCUCACUCGGGAGGUGGGACGAAAAUAAACCCGGAACGGAGACUACCAACUGAGACAUUAGGAGUAGAGAUCAUUUAGUUGAUAAGAAUAAAUAAAAAACGGUAUUAAAAAGGAGAAACAGAUUAGAAUACAUUGAAAAACCAAAAGGACGACGUAAAAGGGGAUUCGCCCUGCCCCCCGGGCCUUGCCACCGAACCGGCUCAGUGGUCCAGUCCCCGCGCGGUCGUCUUCUCUUGUUCCCCGAGCCGUGUCACUACAGAGCCGGGCUCCCGCCCGACCACCUCGCUGGCAUCGAAGGGGAAUGGAUAAGGGUGACGCCCUUCUUCCCUGCCCCCAUGGCCUCACUCCUCCUCGACGCCCCCUCCCAAAUCCACUACUCCUCCUCGCUCGCUCGAUCCCGUCGAUCUGGACGAAGUCAGACGCCACGGCCACCAUGACCGACCCCGUCCACAUGGCCACUGCCCUCCCUGCGGGCUAGGAGCUUGUCGAGGAGCUCCGAACGCCUUCGCUACUUCGUCUGCGCCAAUGAGAUCAAGUCCAGCACCCCCGCAUCGACAUCGCUGCCGUCUUCCUCAACCUUGGGCCACCGCGACAUUGUCGUUCGAUCCGCGCCGCCCCGAGCUCCCAUGUCUUCCCCUAGGGCGCCAUUGACACCGCCAUGAUCUCCUCUUGCCUUUCCCUGUUUCCCCUCUCGUUUGCUCUCGUUAGGUAUUUCGCCGUGGCCGAGAACCACCGUCCGCCAUGGCCAUUGCAGGGGUAGCCACCGAGCUCCUCGGAUUGACCCCGUGGCACAUGCCCGCUCCUAUGCACGCCCAUGCCCGAGCCUGUCGCUCUUCUUCCGCGCCCGCGGGGCCACUCCCUCUCCAUGCCCACGCCCGUGCUACACCGUGUCGGUCGCGCCCGCCGCUGCCGUCGUGCUGGCCGCAGCCACCGCACCACUGAGCCCCGCGCGACACACACCCUGGUCGUGCGCCACACUCUCGCUGGCUGCGCUCGCCCCGUCUACUGCCGCCUAGCCCUUCGCUCGCCCCGCUGUCGCGCCCCUGCCUCACGCCGCCUCAAGUCGUGGCCAUCUUCUGCCGGCCGCCCCCUCAGCAACGCCGGCCGCAUCUCUGCCCUCCACCGUCGGCCGCUCGCCUCGCCUGCUGCGUGUUGCUUCCUGCUGCUAUGCACUGCUCUACUGCUGGUACGCUGCUGCGCCAUGCUCUCGACACCACCGUGGACAAAUGUGGCGGAGGGAUUGUUAAUGGAGUACGAGAAGGAGGUGGCGGAGAAGGUGUGGAGAGGCAGGAGGUCUGGGGCGGUGUCACCUGGCUGUGGUGGAGGUGUUUUUGCGAGAAGGAGCCGGAGUGGAAGGAGAGGUCACAAUUGGAAAGAAUCUUAAAAAAAACAUAACCCGGAGAUCUCAGUUCAAAAAAAUGCUAAUAUCGAUGGAGGGGUGAUUUCCUUCAAUAGGUGGAAAACAUAGGAAAUAUUGGUUGUUAUCAAGGAAAGUAAAAAUUUACGAAAGUUAGGAUUUUUGAACCGAUUUCUAUGCAAAUGGGGUUUUAUUGUUUGGUAACGUGAUAUCAUUACCUGCCUGUUUGUGACGUGUCUGAUUACGAAAGUUUGCAAAUGUUAAGAAACUAUUUAUUGGGAGGAAAGUUGUGACGUGUCUGUUAUUUGUUUCCUAAAACAAAUUUCACUAAUAAGAGAAAUCGAUUGAUUUAGAUAAGUUAGGAAAAUUAGAUUAAAAUGUAUUAUUUGUUUCCUGAAAAUCUGUUAUUUGUUUCCUAAGACAAAUUGAACCAAUAAAAGGAAUCGAUUGAUUUGCAUAAUUUAAGGAAGUUAGAUUAAAAUGUAUUAUUUGUUUCCUGAAAAUCUGUUAUUUGUUUCCUAAGACAAAUUGAACCAAUAAAAGGAAUCGAUUGAUUUGCAUAAUUUAAGGAAGUUAGAUUCGUGAUUUGUUAUACUUUAGGAAAGUUCUGGUUGUAACAAAGAGUGGAGAGAAAAAUAAACCGAUGGACCAGGGUGGGAGGGGGUGGUGGGAGGAGAGACAAAAAAAAACAGCGAAAAUAAACCGCGGAUCAGGGUGGGAGGGGGUGGUGGGAGGGACGAAAAAAAACCAGCGAAAAUAAACCGCGGAGACGAUUCACCAACUCGUCCAUUAGGAGUAGAGAUAAGUACUCCUUCCAAAGAUUACUCCCACCUCUUCAGGUUGCGACAAGUGGCGAUCCGUUUAUUCAAAAUGUUUUAUGUCUUAAACUGUGCGUAUAAAUCUCGAACCGUUCUCACCAUUGGAUUCCUCGUAUUGAGAUCUUAAAAACUAUAUCUCAUAUUGAUAGGUUUUGAUGAAGUCCUCUGUCACGAAAAAAUGGACGAAAAACCCGAAUCGAGAGCCUCUUUUUUCCCGUUCCGAAAGCCGUUCUCGAGACGCAUGGCCGUGUCUCUCAUGGAAGUAAAUCCGUGGCUCUCGCGAAAGCAAAACCGUGCCUCUCGUGAAAGGGAAAUAACACAUUUGUCUUUGUUUUUCCUUUUGUGAGAGGCAUGGUUUUGCAUCCGUGAAAGCCACGAUUUUGCUUUUGCGGGAGGUGCGGCCAUGCCUCUCGCAAACAGAACAUUGCCAAAAAAAAGUGUUUUUUUUCAUUUUUGAGAAAAUGUGUUUUUUUUCAUUUUUGAAAGGUACGGCCGUGCCUCUUGAGGAAGCAAAACCCUGCCUCUCGCGGAAGCAAAACCGUGCCUCUCAUGAAAAUAAAAAAUAUGAGAAAAUGCGUUUUUUUGUUCCGACAGGCCUCAUCGAACAAAACCGUUCGGUGGGGCGAUCGGGGAACGACUAGUUCGGCGUGAGGUGGUUAAAAAUCUGACGUUCUGUGGUUAUCCUAGUUGAUGGCCCAUCGAAUUUUACUGGCAGCAGGAGAGAAGUGCAUAGGAAAGGACUUCAGAGCGAUAGUACGGCGCCUACACGAGAGAAAGAACAAUGUUUCCCUCAAAAAAAAAGAAAAAAAAAAGAACAAUGUGGUGGGGUACUGAGCCCCACAUGCGUGGACUGGAUGCGAGUCCGAUUUGACCGCAACUUGUGGGAUCAGGUUGACGCCUAGGUUCAGCAUGGUUUGUCUACACACAUUGCAUGCAUAGCUUCCCGUCAUCAUCCCGUGUCGCCGUUGAAUCCGGCGGGCCGAGCUCGCACUCGCGCUCACAUGCUCCGGAACCCACUAUAUGAAGAGACGCACACGCACAUGCUCCAGACCAUCUCCCCCCACUGGUGCGAGCAAAGAUGGCACGGGUCCUCCUCCUCUUGCUGGCCGCCUCGCUCGUUGCGCUGGCGUCGUCCAAAGGUCUUCCGGUGCUCGCUCCGGUCACCAAGGACACCGCCACUUCCCUCUACACAAUCCCCUUCCACGACGGCGCCAGCCUCGUCCUCGACGUCGCCGGCCCGCUCGUCUGGUCCACGUGCGACGGCGGCCAGCCGCCGGCGGAGAUCCCGUGCAGCAGCCCCACCUGCCUCCUCGCCAACGCCUACCCCGCCCCGGGCUGCCCCGCGCCCAGCUGCGGCAGCGACAAGCACGACAAGCCGUGCACGGCGUACCCGUACAACCCGGUCACCGGCGCGUGCGCCGCCGGGAGCCUCUUCCACACCAGGUUCGCAGCCAACACCACCGACGGGAGCAAGCCGGUGAGCAAGGUGAAUGUCGGGGUCCUGGCGGCGUGCCCGCCGAGCAAGCUGCUGGCGUCGCUGCCCCGGGGCUCCACGGGCGUUGCCGGGCUCGCGGACUCCGGCCUGGCGCUGCCGGCGCAGGUGGCGUCUGCGCAGAAGGUCGCCAACAGGUUCCUCCUCUGCCUCCCCACCGGCGGCCCUGGCGUGGCCAUCUUUGGCGGCGGCCCGGUCCCGUGGCCGCAAUUCACGCAGUCGAUGCCGUACACGCCGCUCGUUACCAAGGGCGGCAGCCCCGCACACUACAUCUCGGCCAGGUUCAUCGAAGUGGGGGACACCCGCGUCCCCGUAUCGGAGGGCGCGCUCGCCACCGGCGGCGUGAUGCUCAGCACGAGGCUGCCCUACGCCGUGCUCCGCCGCGACGUGUACCGCCCGUUGGUGGACGCGUUCACCAAGGCCCUGGCGGCGCAGCAUGCCAACGGAGCGCCCGUGGCGCGCGCAGCGGAGCCUGUGGCGCCGUUCGGGGUGUGCUACGACACGAAGACGCUGGGCAACAACCUCGGCGGGUACUCGGUGCCCAACGUCCAGCUGGGGCUCGAUGGCGGGAGUGACACCUGGACGAUGACCGGGAAGAACUCGAUGGUGGACGUCAAGCCGGGGACGGCGUGCGUUGCGUUCGUGGAGAUGAAGGGGGUGGAGGCCGGCGACGGCAGGGCGCCGGCGGUGAUCCUCGGAGGGGCCCAGAUGGAGGACUUCGUGCUCGACUUCGACAUGGAGAAGAAGCGGCUCGGUUUUAGCAGGCUGCCGCACUUUACGGGCUGCGGCGGCCUGUAAUAAUAAGUCUGUUUAACGAUAUAGUGUAUUCGUCGACUACUGCGUGUAAUAAAUAAGGAAAACACUUUCCAUCAAAGGUCUGAUAAGAACCAGUCAUCAGACCCAUCGUCGUCCGUCGAUUCUGGUUGAAUCUCACGGUCAAGAUACCUCUUAUCCAGUCGCCCUUUAAAGAAAAAUCAUGUCAUUCCUAAUGACCCGCAUUCGCCGCCCAUAACCCCCUCCAAAAUCUCCCGCACGAAUAUCCCUCCUAGGCUCCGACCCUCUCCCCUCCGUAUCUCUUGCCUCACACACCUCCCUAAUAUCGCCGCCAACUGCACCGACCUCGCGUCCUCGUCCUAUGCGAUUGCGUCCCCCAUUGCAUGCUACAUCCACGCGUCCUCGUCGACCAAACCAGGCACCUCAACGCCCAGAUUCAUUCUCCUCCUCCUCCCCAUUGAUGCGGCCUCAGUUCAUGUAGCAGUAGGUGCACUACGCCGUCACUAGGGCAUUUCUAACCGAUCCCCUAAAAACAACCCCCCCCCCCUCCCACCCCACCGCGUCGUCUCCUCUGAGGCGACUCGGGGGACAACCCUAGCCGCCGUGUUUAGCCCCCUCCCCUCCCUUCCCCACCCCUUCGUCGCCGUCAGAGGAACCCAUCGGCACGCCCGCGGGGCUCUGAUGAAGGUGGCAGCGGGGAACUCGGUGGCUCCACCCCGUGUGAAGGGGCUUGGCUUCCGGGGCGCCGGCCCCGGGCGGCGGUGCGCGACGUGGCCUGUGCGGCGGGCGGCGGCGGCGGGUGCAGGUGGGCUGCCUCCAUGGCUGUGCGGGCAGCGUGAAGGCGGCAGGCGUGGUCUGCGGCGGUGGCCCCUCGCGGACGAUGUGCCAUGUAGAAGAGACCCUCAACUUCGAGUGCGUUGACCCAUGCCACGUCGACAGAGGGCCCAACCGGCUGGCAAGAAAAUACAUUGGUGAUCCUAAAAGUUUUUGGGUAGUGUCGCUUUAGUCCUACUUCUUUCAAACUGCACGUUUAGGUCCUAAUUCUACUGUAAGUGGCUCACCCGAUGUCCUUUUUCGCACGAUCAUUCACAGACCUGCUUGGUUGCGCGUUGACCCACGCCACGUCCAUUUAGGGUCAUUAGCAGAUGAGGAACAUUGCCAAAAACCCUAUUUUUUUCGCUGUUAUCGUCCCGUAGCUAUGUGAUUUCCUCUAGUCUGCCACAAUCACUAGCUGUAGGCAUUGAUUUAGUUCGAUUUGCACUGUUUUAUUAGGUUCCUCAAACCGCUUGCUUCGAUUUGGGGUUAGGCAGUAGGUGUCGGUGUCAAAACUGGCUGAUUCCGGGUAGGGGGUCCCGAACUGUGCGUCUAAGGAUGAUGAUAACAGGAGACGGAGGACACAAUGUUUACCAAGGUUCGGGCCCUCUCUAUGGAGGUAAUACCCUACUUCCUGCUUGAUUGAUCUUGAUGAAUACGUGUAUUACAAGAGUUGAUCUACCACGAGAUCGUAAUGGCUAAAACCCUAGAAGUCUAGCAUGUAUGACUAUAUCUCUAUCCGGACUAAGCCCUCCGCUUUAUAUAGACACCGGAGGGAUCUAGGGUUACACAAGGUUGGUUACAGAGAAAGGAAUCUUCAUAUUUGGCCACCAGGCUUGCCUUCCACGCCAAGGAGAAUCCCAUCCGGACACGGGUAGGGUCUUCGGCCUUUGUAUCUUCAUAGCCCAUCAGUCCGGCCCAUGUACCAGGUCGGACACUCGAGGACCCCUCAGUCCAGGACUCCCUCGGUAGCCCCUGAACCAGGCUUCAAUGACGAGGUGCCCGGCGCGCAGAUCGUCUUCGGCAUUGCAAGGCGGGUUCCCCUUUCCGAGUACUCCAAGAUAAUCCUCGGUCGAAACGAACGUGUCCGGAUCUGCAAUACAGGUACCACACACACACAACCGUAGAGAGUAUAACAUUUCACGAGUCCCAUCUGCUGACAACUUUUUGCAAGAUGACAUCACGUCUGCCCGGUCAUUAUUUUGAACUGUUUUCUUCUGCCGUUUCAUGUUUCGAGACGCGGUUUCCAUUGGCACGUCUUGUCAAAGCAGAGAUCGUGUCCUCUCAUUGCGGGAUUCUCAUCAAUACGGGCGUGGGUAAUCCAACCGUGCCAUUUGCACAGCCCUUGGGAAUAGACGAGCUUUAAGGCGAGUGGGGAGGAGUUCAAUAUCUACUGCCUUUAUAAGGAGAUAAGGACUCCUUUCUUCACCCACGUCUUCCUUCUUCCUCUGCCCUUCCAUUCUCGAGCUCCAGCGCCCAAGUUCUCGUUUCCUACACCCCGAGCAAGUUCUCAACCGAACUCUUUCCUCAACAUCUCGGCGUUCAUUGUCGUGUGUGAGGCUUUCCUCCGCAUCCAGCCCCACUUCGGCUUGUGGCUGAAGAUCUUGAACGUGAAGCCGAAGGUGGUGGACGGCCAACACUCGUUGUGUGGAGGAGCCAUGGUGAGCAAGAUGCCCAACGUCAUAUGGCCCAAGGGCACGUUUGUGGAGACUGUCAAGGAGUGGCAGAAGCUGUGGUUUUAUAUCACAGAACCCCGCGACACCACCUGGGCCGCGGCUUCCGAAUUCAAGUCCGGAGCUCCAAUGCGGCUGACCUCCUGGAUGGAGAAGGGCCCAAAUUGGUCUUCGUCGAACGAGCUGAUUGCGCUGCAAACGCGCAUCCAAAGAAUGGUGGACAAAAACAUCAAGCUCGUCGACGUGAUCCAGGUGAUGUUAGUUCGCCGGAUCCUCCCCUGCCAAAGCCGAACUUCCCCUUUAUGGGAAUUCGAUCCGGAGAAGCACCCAACCCUGGCGGGGCUCUUCGGAACCACUCACGAAGAUGCCUGGAAGUUGCUCUUCAAGGGCGACGAGAAGCCGCCGGCCAUAGACUCGGACCGUGAGCACGAUCUUGCCCAUCCCGCGAAUGCGGUAAGUCCUCCACAUCUCAAAGUGUACCCUCUACUUGCUUGUUCAAGGAGGGUAACUAAACCUUACUGAUUCGUUCUUUCAGGUAUGGACAGAGAGGGCGGAGCAGAUUCGAAGUUCGGCUCCGCUGCCCGAAGAACCAGUCAUCCCGCUCCUAGCGAUGAUGCUGGUCCCGGCGCCCUAUCAGCCGCUGGAGAAGAAGGCCAAGAAGAAGGCCAAGGGGGGCCGGGGCGGCCCCCGCCGCAAGGGCGCUUCGGACGUGAUGUCCGAGGAGAAGACUCACUCCUCCGUCGCUGAAGAUGACGACGAGGAGGAGGAGGAAAGCAACCCUCCCCUGAUGGGGGGAGGAAGAAGAGGGCGGCCUCCACAAAUUUUGAGGCAGAGGCGCCCAAGAAGGGGAAAGGCUCCCUUGCGGGUAACACCACGUGGGACGUCGACAGCAGUCCGGAGCAACGCCUCCGGGACAAGCCCCUGGCCGCAUCGUAAGCACUGAUAAAUUCGUGUUCGUAUAUCCAGCCUCUCCUCUUCAUUGUAUUAACAUGGUUAGUUAUGCUAUUGCAGUCCGGCCCACGACAGCUCCCCGUGAACCUCAUCGGGAGGUUCGCUGAAUUCAAAGGCGAUGGCCAACGAGUCACCGCCGGCUGCUCACGCUCGCCCGGCCAAGGGCGACACCGAGGUGUCGUCCCGAAGGACCCUCCCUGGCCAGGGAGAGGUUCAGGAGAUCGCCAGCGCAGCGCCAGAGGGUGAGACCUCGGCCGCCGGACACAUGGGGGGACAGAUCCCCAUGGGGACUGAUGAUGGGGGCCAGGUUCAAUUCGGCCCCCAACCGAAUACGGUUUCGGAGACCCACAAGGCUCCGGAAUCCGGCAAGCAGCCUCCCUCGAAAGAAGGAGGUGUGCCCAUCCCGCCGGUGACCUCUGUCCAGCCAGAGGCACCGGGCAAUCUGUUGGAAGCGCUACGAGGCGCUUCCAUUGUGGAUGAACACCGUAUCUUUAUGGGUACGGUGAUUGAGAAGGUUUAGUCCGUCAAAAGCGGACUGACCGAAGCCUGUAGCGGCCUGCUGACAGGUUUUGAGGUAAGCGACGCAAAAAGAGAAAAGUCCCAAUAUAGACAGUAGCCCCUGAGACACUGUCCGGUGUUCGGAAAGAAAAGCCGGACAGGGGAUUAAUUAAUUUUCGCAGGGAACUAACUAAAUGUGUCUUAUAUGAAUAAGCAGGCGUCGUUGCUGGCCGCGACCUCACACACUGCCGAAGUCUCCGGACUAAAGCAGAGGCUGGAGCGGGCCGAGGGAGAGCUCGGCCAAGCGAGGAAGCAGCUGGAAGAGCAGCAAGGUAUGCAAUAAAUCGCUAUAUAUUCCGAAAGAAUAAAUGAUGUGUAUUGACUAUAAUGUCAUGAUUUGUGUAGGAGCGAUGACCAAGGUCGAUGCCCUUAAAGACGCCCUGGCCAAAGCCGAGGAGAAAGUUGCCAAGGAGCAAGCCGCCCGCAAAAAGCUCAAGGCCAAGCUCAACGAGGUCCAGCAAGAGCUCCAGGACGUGGUGAAAAAGUGCGAUGCCUUGGAGGGCGAUGUAUCGGCUCGAGAGACCGAACUUGCCAAGGCUCGCCAAAGUGCGGAAGUGGCCCGGGUUGAAGCCCAGGGCGCCCUCCAGGAGAUCCAGGAGGCCAAGAAGAUUGCGGCGGGUAAGGCAUUUAGUAUGCAAAGAAAGUAUGUGAAGAAGAAGUAUUUCUUACUAACCCGAAUUCGGAGUUCCCCAGGGGCGUUUGCGGACCUGCCGCGCAGCGUGUCAGACGAUGCGGAGUUCUUCCGAGCCGAAGAAGGGAGCUCGACGGAGAAGCUGUUCUGGUCACAGUACCUUGCACCGGAACAUCCAGUGCCCUUCACCGAUCAGCUCAAACAGCUGGUCGAGCUGCAUAGGGUGGCCGAACUAGCCAUGAAGGAUUUGAUAAUCCGGUUGUGGCCUGCCGAAGCUAUACCCAGCAGCUACUUCGGCCUCGUGAAGCGGCUGGUGAAUGCCUGUCCUCGGCUGGACGUCGUCAAGCGGUCGGUCUGCAUCGAGGGCGCGCGCCUGGCCUUCAACUAUGUCAAGGUGUGGUGGGCGAAGAUGGAUGCCGUCAAGCUAGCGACCGAGGGACCGCCUGACGGCAAGGAGCACCGCACACCCGAGCGAUAUUUUGGAGACGUCCUGGAGGGGUCUGAUAUGUCUCCAACGUAUCUAUAAUUUUUGAUUGUUCCAUGCUAUUAUAUUAUCUCUUUUGGAUGUUUAUGGGCUUUAUUAAACACUUUUAUAUUACUUUUGGGACUAACCGGUUGACCCAGAGCCCAGUGCCAGUUCCUGUUUUUUCCCUUGUUUCAGUGUUUCGAAGAAAAGGAAUAUCAAACGGAGUCGAAACGGAAUGAAACCUUCUGGAGGAGUUAUUUUUGGAAGGAAAGCCACCCGAUUAACUUGGAGUGCACGUCAAGAAAGAAACGAGGGAGGCACGAGGUAGGGGGGCGCGCCCUCCACCCUCGUGGGCCCCUCGUGGCUCCCCUGACAUAUUUCUUCCGCCUAUAUAUAUCCAUAUACCCUAAAACCUUCGGGGAACAGAAUAGAUCCGGAGUUCCGCCGCCGCAAGCCUCUGUAGCCACCAAAAACAAAUCAGGACCCUGUUCUGGCACCCUGCCGGAGGGGGGAAACCUCACCGGUGGCCAUCUUCAUCAUCCCGAUGCUCUCCAUGACGAGGAGGGAGUAGUUCACCCUCGGGGCUGAGGGUAUGUACCAGUAGCUUUGUGUUUGAUCUCUCUCUCUCUCGUGUUCUUGAUUUGGCACGAUCUUGAUGUAUCGCGAGCUUUGCUAUUAUAGUUGGAUCUUAUGUUUCUUCUCCCCAUCUACUCUCUUGUAAUGGAUUGAGUUUUCCCUUUGAAGUUAUCUUAUCGGAUUGAGUCUUUAAUGAUUUGAGAACACUUGAUGUAUGUCUUGCCGUGUGUAUUUGUGGUGACAAUGGGAUAUCACGUGAUUCACUUGAUGUAUGUUUUGGUGAUCAACUUGCGGGUUCCGCCCAUGAACCUAUGCAUAGGGGUUGGCACACGUUUUCGUCUUGAUUCUCCGGUAGAAACUUUGGGGCACUCUUUGAGGUUCUAUGUGUUGGUUGAAUAGAUGAAUCUGAGAUUGUGUGAUGCAUAUCGUAUAAUCAUACCCACGGAUACUUGAGGUGACAUUGAAGUAUCUAGGUGACAUUAGGGUUUUGGUUGAUUUGUGUCUUAAGGUGUUAUUCUAGUACAAACUCUAGGGCUGUUUGUGACACUUAUAGGAAUAGCCCAAUGGAUUGAUUGGAAAGAAUAACUUUGAGGUGGUUUCGUACCCUACCAUAAUCUCUUUGUUUGUUCUCCGCUAUUAGUGACUUUGGAGUGACUCUUUGUUGCAUGUUGAGGGAUAGAUAUAUGAUUCAAUUAUGUUAUUAUUGUUGAGAGAACUUGCACUAGUGAAAGUAUGAACCCUAGGCCUUGUUUCAACGCAUUGCAAUACCGUUUACGCUCACUUUUAUCAUUAGUUACCUUGCUGUUUUUAUAUUUUCAGAUUACAAAAACCUAUAUCUACCAUCCAUAUUGCACUUGUAUCACCAUCUCUUCGCCGAACUAGUGCACCUAUACAAUUUACCAAUGUAUUGGGUGUGUUGGGGACACAAGAGACUCUUUAUUAUUUGGUUUCAGGGUUGUUUGAGAGAGACCAUCUUCAUCCUACGCCUCCCACGGAUUGAUAAACCUUAGGUCAUCCACUUGAGGGAAAUUUGCUACUGUCCUACAAACCUCUGCACUUGGAGGCCCAACAACGUCUACAAGAAGAAGGUUGCGUAGUAGACAUCAAGCUCUUUUCUGGCGCCGUUGCCGGGGAGGCUAGGUAAGCGGCACUCACACCCCGUCAACUAAGCUCUUUUCUGGCGCCGUUGCCGGGGAGGUGAAUGCUUGAAGGUAUAUCUUUAGAUCUUGCAAUCGAAUCUUUUUGUUUAUUGUUUUAGCACUAGUUUAGUUUAUAAAUGAAAACUACCAAAAAAAUGGAAUUGAGUUUGCCUCAUACGCUUCAUCUUUUUAAUAUCUUUCGUGAGUAUGAUGGAAAGAAAAAUUGUGCCAAAGUGUUAGAAGAAGAAUUACAUAGAAUGCUUGGCAUAAAAUAGGUGAAUGAUGAGCAUGAAUGCAAUGUUGUUAGUAUGAAUUCCUUGAAUAUCCAUGAUGCUAAUGAUAUGCAAAGCCACAAGCUUGGGGAAGCUAAGUUUGAUGAAGAUGAUAUUUUUUGUCCCCCAAGCUUUGAUGAGCAAAUUUACUAUGAUGAAAGCAUGCCUCCUAUCUAUGAUGAUUAUUGUGAUGGCACAUAUGCUAUAAAGAAUAAUGAUAACCAUGAAACUUGUCAUCUUGAUCUUAAUUUUCAAUCAUAUGAUAGUUAUUUUGUUGAGUUUGCUCCCACUACUAUUGAAGAGAAGAAUUUUGCUUAUGUGGAGAGUAGUAAAAUUUCUAUGCAAGUAGAUCAUGAAAAGAAUGCUUUAGGUGCUGGCUAUAUUGUUGAAUUCAUUCAUGAUGCCACUGAAAAUUAUUAUGAGGGAGGAAUAUAUGCUUGUAGGAAUUGCAAUAAUAUCAAGUUUCCUCUCUAUGUGCUUAAAAUCUUGAAGUUAUGCUUGUUUGCCUUCCUAUGCUAGUUGAUUAUUGUUCCCAUAAGUUGUUUGCUCACAAAAUCCAUAUGCAUAGGAAGUGGGUUAGACUUAAAUGUGCUAGUCAUAUUCUUCAUGAUGCUCUCUUUAUGUUUCAAUUCUUAUCUUUUAUGUGAGCAUCAUUGAAAUCAUCAUGCCUAGCUAGGGGCAUUAAACGAUAGCGCUUGUUGGGAGGGAACCCAAUUUUAUUUUAGUUUCUUGCUUUUUGGUUCCGUUUAGGAAUAAAUAAUCCAUCUAGCUUCUGUUUAGAUGUGGUUUUGUGUUUUAAUUAGUGUUUGUGCCAAGUAGGACCUUUGGGAAGACUUGGGUGAAGUCUUUAUGAUCAUGCUGUAAAAAACAGAAACUUUAGCGCUCACGAGAUUAGCUAAAACGUUUUACUGGAGAGUGAUAUUUAGUUGAUUCUUUUUGCAUAUGAUUACUAAACAAAUUCCUCAGGUCCACCAAUUUAGUUUAGAAUUUUUGGAGUUCCAGAAGUUUGCGUUAGUUACAGAUUACUACAGACUGUUCUGUUUUUGACAGAUUCUGUUUUUCGUGUGUUGUUUGCUUAUUUUGAUGAAUCUAUGGCUAGUAAAAUAGUUUAUAAACCAUAGACAAGUUGGAAUACAGUAGGUUUAACACCAAUAUAAAGAAAUAAUGAGUUCAUUACAGUACCUUGAAGUGGUGUUUUGUUUUCUUUCGCUAACGGAGCUCACAAGAUUUUCUGUUAAGUUUUGUGUUGUGAAGUUUUCAAGUUUUGGGUAAAGAUUCGAUGGACUAUGGAAUAAGGAGUGGCAAGAGCCUAAGCUUGGGGAUGCCCAAGGCACCCCAAGGUAAUAUUCAAGGAUAACCAAGAGCCUAAUCUUGGGGAUGCCCCGGAUGACAUCCCCUCUUUCGUCUUCGUUCAUCGAUAACUUUACUUGGAGCUAUAUUUUUAUUCACCACGUGAUAUGUGUUUUGCUUGGAGCGUCAUUUUAUUUUCUUUAGCCUUGCUUGCUGUUUGAAUAAAAUAUCAAGAUCUGAAAUUCUUAAAAUGGGAGAGUCUUCACGUAGUUGCAUAAUUAUUCGACUACUCAUUCAUCUUCACUUAUAUCUUUCGGAGUAGUUUGUUGUUUGCUCUAGUGCUUCACUUAUAUCUUUUAGAGCAUGGUGGUAGUUUUAUUUUGAAGAAAUAGAUGAACUCUCGUGCUUCACUUAUAUUAUUUUGAGAGUCUUUAGAACAGCAUGGUAGUUUGCUUUGGUUAUGAAACUAGUCCUAAUAUGAUGGGCAUCCAAGAUGGGUAUAAUAAAAACUUUCAUAUAAGUGCAUUGAAUACUAAGAGAAAUUUGAUACUUGAUGAUUGUUUUGAGAUAUGGAGGUAAUAAUAUCAAAGUCGUGCUAGUUGAGUAGUUGUGAAUUUGAGAAAUGCUUGUGUUGAAGUUUGCAAGUCCCUAGCAUGCACGUAUGGUAAACGUUAUGUAACAAAUUUGAAACAUGAGGUGUUCUUUGAUUGUCCUCCUUAUGAGUGGCGGUCGGGGACGAGCGAUGGUCUUUUCCUACCAAUCUAUCCCCCUAGGAGCAUGCGCGUAGUGCUUGGUUUUUGAUGACUUGUAGAUUUUUCCAAUAAGUAUGUGAGUUCUUUAUGACUAAUGUUGAGUCCAUGGAUUAUACGCACUCUCACCCUUCCAUCAUUGCUAGCCUCUUCGGUACCGUGCAUUGCCCUUUCUCACAUUGAGAGUUGGUGCAAACUUCGCCGGUGCAUCCAAACCCCGUGAUAUGAUACACUCUUUCACACAUAAACCUACUUAUAUCUUCCUCAAAACAGCCACCAUACCUACCUAUUAUGGCAUUUCCAUAGCCAUUCCGAGAUAUAUUGCCAUGCAACUUUCCACCAUUCCGUUUAUCAUGACACAUUCAUCAUUGUCAUAUUGCUUAGCAUGAUCAUGUAGUUUACAUAGUAUUUGUGGCAAAGCCACCAUUCAUAAUUAUUUCAUACAUGUCACUCUUGAUUCAUUGCAUAUCCCGGUACACCGCCAGAGGCAUUCAUAUAGAGUCAUACUUUGUUCUAGUAUCGAGUUGUAAUCAUUGAGUUGUAAAUAAAUAGAAGUGUGAUGAUCAUCAUUUUCUAGAGCAUUGUCCCAAUUUAGGAAUAAAAAAAAGAGAGAGAAAGGCCAUAAAAAAAGAGAAGGCCCAAAAAAAGAGAGAAAAAGAGAGAAGGGACAAUGCUACUAUCCUUUGCCACACUUGUGCCUCAAAGUAGCACCAUAAUAUUCAUGAUAGAGAGUCUCUUGUUUUCUCACUUUCAUAUACUAGUGGGAAUUUUUCAUUAUAGAAAUUGGCUUGUAUAUUCCAACAGUGGGCCUCCUCAAGUGCCCUAGGUCUUCGUGAGCAAGCAAGUUGGAUGCACACCUACUUAGUUUCUUUUGUUGAGCUUUCAUAUAUUUAUAGCUCUAGUGCAUCCGUUGCAUGGCAAUCCCUACUCCUUGCGUUAACAUCAAUCGAUGGGCAUCUCCAUAGCUCAUUGAUUAGCCUCGUUGAUGUGAGACUUUCUCCUUUUUUGUCUUCUCCACAUAACCCCCAUCAUUAUACUCUAUUCCACCCAUAGUGCUAUGUCCAUGGCUCGCGCUCAUGUAUUGCGUGAAAGUUUAUAGGUUUGAGAUUACUAAAGUAUGAAACAAUUGCUUGGCUUGUCAUCGGGGUUGUGCAUGAUGAGAGCAUUCUUGUGUGACGAAAAUGGAGCAUCACUAAACUAUAUGAUUUUGUAGGGAUGAACUUUCUUUGGCCAUAUUAUUUUGAGAGGACAUAAUUGCUUAGUUAGUAUGCUUGAAGUAUUAUUACUUUUAUGUCAAUAUGAACUUUUAUCUUGAAUCUUUCGGAUCUGAAUAUUCAUACCACAAUUAAGAAGAAUUACAUUGAAAUUAUGCCAAGUAGCAUUCCACAUCAAAAAUUCUGUUUUUAUCAUUUACCUACUCGAGGACGAGGAGGAAUUAAGCUUGGGGAUGCUGAUACGUCUCCAACGUAUCUAUAAUUUUUUAUUGUUCCAUGCUAUUAUAUUAUCUGUUUUGGAUGUUUAUGGGCUUUAUUAAACACUUUUAUAUUACUUUUGGGACUAACCUAUUGACCCAGAGCCUAAUGCCAGUUCCUGUUUUUUUCCCUUGUUUCAGUGUUUCGAAGAAAAGGAAUAUCAAACGGAGUCGAAACGGAAUGAAACCUUCUGGAGAAGUUAUUUUUGGAAGGAAAGCCACCCGAUAGACUUGGAGUGCACGUCAGGAAAGAAACGAGGGAGGCACGAGGCAGGGGGGCGCGCCCACCCCACUGGGCGCGCCCUCCACCCUCGUGGGCCCCUUGUGGCUCCCCUGGCGUAUUUCUUCCGCCUAUAUAUAUCCAUAUACCCUAAAACCUUCGGGGAACAGAAUAGAUCGGGAGUUCCGCCGCCGCAAGCCUCUGUAGCCACCAAAAACCAAUCGGGACCCUGUUCCGGCACCCUGCCGGAGGGGGGAACCCUCACUGGUGGCCAUCUUCAUCAUCCCGGCGCUCUCCAUGACGAGGAGGGAGUAGUUCACCCUCGGGGCUGAGGGUAUGUACCAGUAGCUAUGUGUUUGAUCUCUCUCUCUCUCUCUCGUGUUCUUGAUUUGUCACGAUCUUGAUGUAUCGCGAGCUUUGCUAUUAUAGUUGGAUCUUAUGUGGAUUGAGUUUUUCCUUUGAAGUUAUCUUAUCGGAUUGAGUCUUUAAUGAUUUGAGAACACUUGAUGUAUGUCUUGCCGUGCGUAUUUGUGGUGACAAUGGGAUAUCACGUGAUUCACUUGAUGUAUGUUUUGGUGAUCAACUUGCGGGUUCCGCCCAUGAACCUAUGCAUAGGGGUUGGCACACGUUUUCGUCUUGAUUCUCCGGUAGAAACUUUGGGGCACUCUUUGAGGUUCUAUGUGUUGGUUGAAUAGAUGAAUCUGAGAUUGUGUGAUGCAUAUCGUAUAAUUAUACCCACGGAUACUUGAGGUGACAUUGGAGUAUCUAGGUGACAUUAGGGUUUUGGUUGAUUUGUGUCUUAAGGUGUUAUUCUAGUACAAACUCUAGGGCUGUUUGUGACACUUAUAGGAAUAGCCCAACAGAUCGAUUGGAAAGAAUAACUUUGAGGUGGUUUCGUACCCUACCAUAAUCUCUUCGUUUGUUCUCCGCUAUUAGUGACUUUGGAGUGACUCUUUGUUGCAUGUUGAGGGAUAGUUAUAUGAUUCAAUUAUGUUAUUAUUGUUGAGAGAACUUGCACUAGUGAAUGUAUGAACCCUAGGCCUUGUUUCAACGCAUUGCAAUACCGUUUACGCUCACUUUUAUCAUUAGUUACCUUGCUGUUUUUAUAUUUUCAGAUUACAAAAACCUAUAUCUACCAUCCAUAUUGCACUUGUAUCACCAUCUCUUCGCCGAACUAGUGCACCUAUUCAAUUUACCAUUGUAUUGGGUGUGUUGGGGACACAAGAGACUCUUUAUUAUUUGGUUGCAGGGUUGUUUGAGAGAGACCAUCUUCAUCCUAUGCCUCCCACGGAUUGAUAAACCUUAGGUCAUCCACUUGAGGGAAAUUUGCUACUGUCCUACAAACCUCUACACUUGGAGGCCCAACAACAUCUACAAGAAGAAGGUUCCGUAGUAGACAUCAGGGUCUCGUAUUGUGGCGACGCAAUGUGCGAAAGACAUUAUCUUUGAAUGAAUACGUUCAUGUUGUCUCGGUCUUGUAUGAUCAAACAAACUUGUCAUGUAAUAUAAUGUUUGUUUUUAUUAAAAAAAUUACGUCCUGUGCGGCCGUGUGUUAUAAAAUUUGAGGGUUGGCCAGUCGUCGGCUUCUGCCCCCACGUAGGUAGUACGGUGGUGUUCGGGAUGGAAUCUAAACACUCCUGAUCCCAUUGUUUGGUCCUUGAAGGAGGUGUUUAGCGCAACGAACCAGGCAAUCCGACUAUACGGCUUGAACACCCUCACUUAGCCAUAGGAGUUUGACAAUAAAAAUAAAGGUGCAGCCCCUAGUAUCCGAACUAGGAUGCUGUAGACACCUGAUCGGGUAAGUACCGAUCCCUCGCGUAAUGCGGAAAAAAUCUCCAAGGAUUUGAGACCUCCGAAGAGCUGACCGGCUCACGCCGCAUCAUGACAGUCAGUUUUCGGCUUUCUCUACUGAGGUGCUCCAUGGGGUAAACCAGGGCACAAUCGCAGUAGUUCUCCCUUUACUACCUUAGCCGAUUUAGCGGAACGUAAGGUAGCAAGCACAGGAGCCGGGCAACCCAACUAUUGACCAAAGACAUGAUUCGGAGCCAAUGCAUAUAAUGCUAAAUUCGGGGUGCCGAACUGUACUGUAAAAAAGUGUUCGGACUUUGUUGCCGUAGUGCGGGGCGCUAUGAAGCCCCUAGCAAAUGGAAACGUACCAAAGUGUACGGUGCUACUUGAUAAGGUUAUCAACAGAAAAUAAAGGAAAACAGAAAAGGAGCAAAGGUAAUGAGCUAGGGCCGCAGAAUUUGGGCCGCGAACUGCUUUCGUUGCAAUUUUAUUAAUACGUCAAAGCGCAUUGAUACAAAUAGUGCAAUAAGCAACGGGCUAUUUGACAUGCCACGACCAAGGGAGAGCUGCGUGUGGGUCCUGAAAACUGUUGGAAAUAUGCCCUAGAGGCAAUAAUAAAAUGGUUAUUAUUAUAUUUCCUUGUUCAUGAUAAUUGUCUAUUGUUCAUGCUAUAAUUGUGUUAUCCGGAAAUCGUAAUACAUGUGUGAAUACAUAGACCACAACAUGUCCCUAGUGAGCCUCUAGUUGACUAGCUCGUUGAUCAACAGAUAGUCAUGGUUUCCUGACUAUGGACAUUGGAUGUCAUUGAUAACGGGAUCACAUCAUUAGGAGAAUGAUGUGAUGGACAAGACCCAAUCCUAAGCAUAGCACAAAGAUCGUGUAGUUCGUUUGCUAGAGCUUUUCCAAUGUCAAGUAUCAUUUCCUUAGACCAUGAGGUCGUGUAACUCCCGGAUGCCGUAGGAGUGCUUUGGGUGUACCAAACAUCAGAACGUAACUGGGUGACUAUAAAGGUACACUACAGGUAUCUCUGAAAGUGUCUGUUGGGUUGACACGGAUCGAGACUGGGAUUUGUCACUCCGUAUGACGGAGAGGUAUCUCUGGGCCCACUCGGUAAUGCAUCAUCAUAAUGAGCUCAAAGUGACCAAGUGGUUGGUCACGGGAUCAUGCAUUACGGUACGAGUAAAGUGACUUGCCGGUAACGAGAUUGAACGAGGUAUAGGGAUACCGACGAUCGAAUCUCGGGCAAGUAACGUACCGAUUAACAAAGGGAAUUGUAUACGGGAUUGAUUGAAUCCUCGACAUCGUGGUUCAUCCGAUGAGAUCAUCGUGGAACAUGUGGGAGCCAACAUGGGUAUCCAGAUCCCGCUGUUGGUUAUUGACCGGAGAAUCGUCUCGGUCAUGUCUUCAUGUCUCCCGAACCCGUAGGGUCUACACACUUAAGGUUCGGUGACGCUAGGGUUGUAGAGAUAUUAGUAUGCGGAAAUCCGAAAGUUGUUCGGAGUCCCGGAUGAGAUCCCGGACGUCACGAGGAGUUCCGGAAUGGUCCGGAGGUGAAGAAUUAUAUAUAGGAAGUCCAGUUUCGGCCACCGGGAAAGUUUCGGGGGUGACUGGUAUUGUACCAGGACCACCAGAAGGGUCCUGGGGGUCCACCGGGUGGGGCCACCUAUCCUGGAGGGCCCCAUGGGCUGAAGUGGGAGGGGAACCAGCCCCUGGUGGGCUGGUGCGCCCCCCUUGGGCCUCCCCCUGCGCCUAGGGUUGGAAACCCUAGGGGUGGGGGCGCCCCACUUGGCUUGGGGGGCAAGCCACCCCCCUUGGCCGCCACCCCCCUGGAGAUUGGAUCUCCCAGGGGCCGCCCCCCCCAAGGCCCCUAUAUAUAGUGUAGGGGAGGGAGGGCAGCCGCACCACAAGCCCUGGCGCCUCCCUCCCUCCCGUGACACCUCUUCCUCCCCGCUUGCGCUUGGCGAAGCCCUGCCGGGAUCCCGCUACUUCCACCACCACGCCGUCGUGCUGCUGGAUCUCCAUCAACCUCUCCUCCCCCCUUGCUGGAUCAAGAAGGAGGAGACAUCGCUGCUCCGUACGUGUGUUGAACGCGGAGGUGUCGUCCGUUCGGCGCUCGGUCAUUGGUGAUUUGGAUCACGACGAGUACGACUCCAUCAACCCCGUUCACUUGAACGCUUCCGCUCGCGAUCUACAAGGGUAUGUAGAUGCACUUCUCUCUCUCGUUGCUAGAUAACUCCAUAGAUUGAUCUUGGUGAUGCGUAGAAAAUUUUAAAAUUCUGCUACGAUCCCCGACAAAAACAGGUAGAGUGAUCGUUAAAGAAAACACCGAGAAAUUCCCCUAUACGCUUGUGCUUCUUGCCAUCUUGGUGUGUUUAUCCUUUGACAGGACCGGUGACCAGGCCAUCAGGGAAAGCCUGUGGAAAAGAGACCUGAAAAGGGAAAAGAGAAACAGUGAAAGUAUGUGUGUCCGGGAGUGGUCGAGCCGUAUUGCGGGAUCACAAGCUAGUUAUGCCUUCGUCUAUGCCCAUGGUAUUUUGAGUGCGUAGUUAUGUAUGCGCGGUACAAAUGCCGCCACUUGAGUGGGACUGGGGCAGAGGCAAAAUUGCUAGUCGAUCUCUUGAUGAGCCGAGUAUCCUGCUGCGAAAUAGUCAGGACCCUCUUGACAGUGUCCGGGAGCUUGGCCGCCGAAUUAAGGUUCUGCUUGAAAAGGUCGCUCUGUACUUCUACUGCUAAGGCAGCAGUGUGUUCCUCGGUACGGAGGGAACGUUCCGUGUUUCCAUUGACUGUUAUGACGCCGCGUGGUCCGGGCAUCUUGAGCUUGAGGUAAGCAUAAUGAGGCACCGCAUUGAAAAUGCGGUUCGUCCGAGCAGUGCGUGAUAGCCGCUGCGAAAAGGGACGAUAUCAAAGAUUAACUCUUCGCUUCGGAAGUUGUCCGGAGAUCCGAAGACAACCUCUAGCGUAAUUGAGCCCGUACAGCGAGCCUCUACACCUGGUAUGACUCCUUUAAAGGUAGUCUUUGUGGGCUUGAUCCGUGAUGGGUCAAUGCCUAUUUUGUGCACUGUAUCCUGAUAGAGCAGAUUGAGGCUGCUGCCACCGUCCAUGAGGACUCGUGUCAGGUGGAAUCCAUCAAUGAUUGGGUCGAGGACCAGUGCAGCUGAACCGCCAUGACGGAUACUGGUCGGGUGAUCCCGACGAUCAAAGGUGAUCGGGCAUGACGAACAUGGAUUGAAUUUUGGGGCGACUGGUUCUAUCGCCUAGACGUCCCGGAGCGCGCGCUUGCGCUCCCUCUUAGGGAUGUGUGUGGCAUAUAUCAUGUUCACCGUUUUGACCUGAGGGGGAAACUUCUUUUGUCCCCCUGUGUUCGGUUGCCGGGGCUCCUCGUCAUCGUCCUCGCUUUGCGAUCCCUUUUCCUUGUUCUCUGCAUUUAACUUGCUGGCCUGUUUAAAAACCCAACAAUCUCUGUUGGUAUGAUUGGCUGGUUUUUCCGGGGUGUCGUGGAUUUGGCACGGACAAUCAAGUAUGCGGUCCAAGCUGGAUGGUCCCUAAUUGUUUCUUUUAUAUGUCUUCUUCCGCUGACCGGACUUGGAGCCACUGAAUCCGGCGUUGACUGUCGUGUCAUCGGUGUUGUCGCCAUUGUUUCGACGUUUGUGUGUUGCGUCGGAGCUUGCCGUUGCUAUUUUUGCCCUCGAAGGCUCCUAUUUCGCUUGUUGUGUUUUUGCUACGGGCCAGCCAACUAUCCUCCCUCGCACAGAAGCGGGUCAUGAGUGCCGUGAGGGCUGCCAUGGACUUCGGCUUUUCCUGGCCGAGGUGGCGAGCGAGCCAUUCGUCAUGGAUGCUUUGUUUAAAGGCCGCUAGGGCUUCGGCAUCCGGACAGUCGACGAUCUGGUUCUUUUUAGUUAGGAAUCUGGUCCAGAAUUUCCUGGCUGACUCUCCAGGCUGUUGGAAUAUGUGACUUAAGUCAUCAGCAUCUGGUGGCCGGACAUAUGUACCUUGGAAGUUCUCAAGGAAAGCUUCUUCCAAGUCCUCCCAGUUGCCAAUAGAAUUUUCAGGUAGAAUGUUUAGCCAGUGCCGAACUGGCCCUUUGAGUUUUAGUGGGAGGUAUUUGAUGGCGUGAAGGUCAUCCCCGCGGGCCAUGUGGAUGUGGAGAAUAAAAUCCUCGAUCCAUUACUUCGUCAGUGAAGCAAGAGGGUGUGCGGCGCCUCUAUAUCGGGCCGCAUCGCGAUGUACCUCCGAUGGAGUCCGUCUGCGGUUUUCGGCCCGGGCGUGACUAGGUUUGUCACGUCUGAAUAGAUAUCUUGUAUGUCCUGCUCUACUGUCCAGGUCUUGACGAAGGUCAUAUGUAUAACCCCGAGCUGUCUUAUCCCUGCCUUUACGACGAGGUGGGGCAGUCUGGUGUUUGGCUUGGAUUGCCGUUUUAUCCCGACCGCGUGGUGGUCAGUCAGCCGCAUUGCGCGAUGCUGGUGCGGGCUCUGGCGCCUCGUCAUCGAACUGAGGUAGCAGUUUGCGCUUCGGGUAACUUUUGGCUGGGCGUUUAAGGCAGUAUUCCUCGGCUGCCAGGACAUCGGUCCAUCUAUCAUUGAGCAGGUCUUGUUCAGCUUGAAGCUGCUGCUGCUUCUUUUUCAGGCUCCUCGCAGUGGCUAUUAGUUGAAGCUUAAAGCGCUCCUGCUCGAGAGGUUCCUCAGGCACGAUGAAAUCCUCGUUGCCGAGGCUCACCUCCUCUUCGGAGAGCGGAUGAUAACUACCGUCCUCCGAGUCUUCUUCUAUGGCCUGUUCAUCAGGGCUAACUUGCCCGUCUUCCCGAUUGUCUUGUUCGGCAGUUUGUUGGUCGGGGUCUUCUGUGUCUUCGGCACCAUCCAGAGUGUUAUCGUCUCCUGUGCCGGUGUUGCUGUCCUUGCUGCGGCGUGAUUUAGAGCGGCGCCACUGACGACGGCGCUUUGGUUGUGUCUUAGGAGGGUCAUCCUUCGCUGGGUUCUCCUUGUUGUCGCCGCUAUUAUCUUUCGGUGCAUCCACCAUGUAUACGUCAUAUGAGGAAGUGGCCGUCCAUCAUCCGGUGAACGACGGGUUUUGGGCCUCCUCUUCUCCGGCAUCGUCGUCCAUACCGUCGAUGUCUUCGGAGUCGUAGUCAAGCGUGCCGGUUAGGUCUUCGACGGUGGCUAUGAAGUGGGCGGUGGGUGGGAAACAAAAUUCUCCAUCAUCAGCCUCCAGUUCAAAUCGGAUAUAAUUCGGCUGCGAGUCCUCCGCUAGGGAUAGAUUCUUUAACGAGUUCAGCACGUCGCCUAAAGGUGAGUGCCGAAAUAUGUCUGCGGCGCUGAAUUCGGCGAUAGAUGAGCGAUCCUGCUCGACAUAUGCGGACGUACAUGGCUCGGAACUUAUAGCCGGAAACGAGUCCGAGGUUCCGAUGACACAGACAUCACCCAAAGUUAGGUCUGUGUGCGGCUCCAACGCCGCGGAGUCUGCGGACUCCGUGGCGGGGUAGAGCUUCCCAUCCUCGGAUGGCGCGUUCUGCUCCGGAUCUAAGGCCCGAGCGGUUACAGGUGCAAUUUCCUGAGUGUGGUCCGAUGAUAGAUUUAAGUCAUGUUCAUCGUGGCAACGGGGAGAGACUGCCGCGGUCUCGAAUCCGUCGAAGAUCAGAUCUCCGCGGAUAUCUGCGACGUAGUUCAAGCUCCCAAAUCUGACCUGAUGGCCAGGGGCAUAGCUGUCAAUCUGCUCCAGAUGGCCAAACGAGUUGGCCCGCAGUGCGAAGCUACCGAACACGAAGAUCUGUCCGGGGAGGAAGGCUUCCCCUUGGACACCAUCGUCGUUGAUGAUUGAAGGAGCCAUUAACCUUUUGAGGACGACACAGUGGAACUCUCAAUGAAAGCACCAAUGUCGGUGUCAAAACCGGCGGAUCUCGGGUAGGGGGCCCGAACUGUGCAUCUAAGGAUGAUGGUAACAGUAGACGGGGGACACAAUGUUUACCCAGGUUCGGGCCCUCUCUAUGGAGGUAAUACCCUACUUCCUGCUUGAUUGAUCUUGAUGAAUAUGAGUAUUACAAGAGUUGAUCUACCACGUGAUCGUAAUGGCUAAAACCCUAGAAGUCUAGCCUGUAUGACUGUAUCUCUAUCCGUACUAAGCCCUCCGGUUUAUAUAGACACCGGAGGGAUCUAGGGUUACACAAGGUCGGUUAUAGAGAAAGGAAUCUUCAUAUUUGGCCACCAGGCUUGCCUUCCACACCAAGGAGAGUCCCAUCCGGACAUGGGUAGAGUCUUCGGUCUUUGUAUCUUCACAGCCCAUCAGUCCGGCCCAUGUAACAGGUCGGACGCCCGAGGACCCCUUAGUCCAGGACUCCCUCAGUAGGAGCUUGUGGAGGAGGCAGCGUUGCCGACGCUGCUGCAACACUCCUCUUCGUCACCUGUUUCCUUGACGAGGAGCUUGCUGCCCCAGCCAUGGUGAUGGUGUGGGCGAGAGAGAGAGAGAGAGAGAGAGAGAGAGAGAGAGAGAGAGAGAGAGAGAGAGAGAGAGAGAGAUUCGGUAGGGGUUGGGAAAUGUCAAGAGGGAGGGUUACAAGGGGCUUUCUGUAAAAAAAAGAGCAACCACAAUGGCCUCUAAGUUGACGUGGCCUGGGUCAACGCGUCACGCAAGCAGGUCAGCGCAAGAUCGUGCAAAAAAGGACCUCAUGUGAACCACUUACUAUAGAAUUAGGAUCUAAACAUGCAUUUUGAAAGAUGCAGGACUAAAGUGACACUGCCGAGAAACUUUUAGGACCUCCGGUGUAUUUUUCUCGCCUGGCGAUUGGGACCUCGAACAUAUCUACAAAUUUAGUUAUGUUGAUAAAAAUUUAAAUUGUAAAUGCAUGAAAAAAAGAAACAGUUGAGUUAAAAAUUCAUAUUUGUGUUCUUGUGUCCAUGUUUAGUCCUUAUCAAAGAAUGAAAAUGAAUUCCAAACAUGAGGGUGCCAGGAGACGACCCCGAACAUUAAGUGUUUUUUAGUUGUGGAAAAUGCAAACGAAGUCAGAAAAGAAUGAAACUUGGCAUGAUGCCCACAUAUCACACCUAGAGGCUAAGGUAAAUGUUUGAGAAGGUUCUCAAAAGUUGUGCCGUACAUUACUUAGAAAGCAGACAAUCUUCAAGGAAAGAUCAUGGUUUCGAGAUGGAUCAUAUCUUGAGUUGUGCCGUGUCAUCUUUGAAGGCAAAGCGGCUGCUGCUUUAUCCGCUGGCCUUGAAUUUUUUGCAUGGCAGUGCACGGGCAAGCUCUCGGUGUAUGUAUCAUAUCUUGAGUUUGUUGUUGACACGUUUUGUACCUCUACGUGUCAGUUGCAUCAUUUCACUCCGGGGAGCGUUCCCUCUCUGUAGAGAGGAGAUAUAGAGGAGAGAUGAAUACACGCACAUGCGAUUUUCAUUUGUGCUGAGCUGUUUCUCCGGUGCCCCAAUCUCAAUGACUGCGCGCAAAACCGUCCGAGAGCAAAAUUGCUAGACUCACGGACUCGUUUUACUUAAUCAACGGACUUUCCUUCCCCCCUUUCACUAAUCUUGCCCCCCCCCCUCCCCCCCUGAUUUUCAGGGGGGCCAGCGUCCCCUAAUGCCCAAUUAACGAAACCCACGUCAGUCCAGCCCUGUAAAACGCCCGUGCAUGUAGCAUUGCUCGUCCGAGAGAGCGUGCCUCCGAAAACCGUGCUCCUUGAGAACCUGAUUUUGCAUGUGUUUGCGUGAGUCAAACUGUUGAAAAAAAAGAGUUAAAUACGCUAGAGGUGCCUCAACUUGUCUUGCACGGUCAGUUUGGUGCCUAAAGUUGUAAAAUACAUAAAACUGAUGCUCGAACUUGUCCAGUCGUGCAAAUACGGUGCCUCCAUUCAUAUCCAGACGUACGUCUAGUCCGUGUGGCGUGCCCAACAUGGCGGUGGCCCAACAGUCGGUGGCUAAGAGCGGGGAAGUCGCUGGGUGGCCCGCACAUUAGGAAUUUUAAAGAAAACCUUAAAUUUUAUUUAAUCAUGUAGGAAAGUCCUCAAAUUUACGGACUGUCUUGCACGCACAGGGUGUUCACCAGGCCAUAAUGUGCUUAGUAGAUAUAGACCAGGUCGAACUUUAUAUAUUGCGUUGCUAUGCAAAAUGUAAUUUUGAAGCAGCGGCACAUUCUGCCCAUUUUUCCGAAGGUCAAAGAAAUGGAUUUUUACAGCUACAGAACUUCAGACUUUUUUGUUCAUGCACACAUAGAAGUGUAAUAUAUCCAGGUUUUUUUUUUCAAAAUCUGUAUUUGUAUGUGAGAGAUACAAAAAGGACAAAUACAUCCAAAAAUCAGCUAAUUUUUGGCCGGAUUUUUGUUUUUUUUGCAGGGUAUAAUAUAACAAAAUCUCAAACAAAACUUGAAAGUCACUUAGAGCACAUGCAUACGUUUUUGUGUGAAAUUUAAAAAAAAAAUUAUGAAACUUUUAGCCAGUUUUUAAACUUUCAAGAAAAAACGUGCUCAGUGACCACCUUGCUCCAAAUUUCUGCUUUGGUUGCUAUGUACCUCUCAUAUGGGUCUGCACACUUAAUUUUCAAGUUCUUUAUUUUUAUUUUUCAUAUUAUUUUUACCAUUUGGAAAAAGAAAUGUAAUAACAAAUUACAAUUGCCAUAAACUUAAAGAAAGUGUUAGUGCAUUUGAAAAAUGUUCAACAUGUUUCUGGAAAAUGUUUCACAUGUACUCAAAAAUUAUAAUGCAUUUUUGAAAAAUGUUCGGCGUCCAUUAAAAAAGUUUACAACAUGUAUUUUCAAAAGAGUUCAACGUGAGUUAAAAAAUAUUGUGUAAAUUAUCCUUACAUUUCUACAAACACAGUUCACAUGUUUGAUUCAUUUCUAGAAUUUAAUAUUAUUCCACAAUAAUUUUUCAAUACAGUUGAAUAAUUUAUCAAAUACAAUGUUGUCAAUUUGUUACUAAUUGGGUAUUAUAGAAAUACAAUGAAGAUAAACAAUAAUUGUGUGUGUUUGUGGUCUCGAAUGAAGAAUCAUAAAUUUAGACAAUAAUUUCUAAUAUCAGUUGAAUAUUUAAAUCCACAUAAAUUAAGUUCUUGUCUAACUCUUCGAAGUACACAAUAAUGAAAAUGAAAAAAUAUUUAAAAUAUAAAAUAUAAAAUAUUGAUAAUCGUAUUUUUCAUAUGGGAAAAUUUAUGUGUUAUGAAACAAAACAGGAACUUUGAAAAAAUAAAAAAAGAUGAAAAUUGCAGAGUGAUACGUGGAUUGUAAUAACAGAGCUUCGUAGCUUAGAGUUUAACUCGAAGAAUACUCCGGCCGGCUGGCCAGAUCGUGCCGUUGUUGAACAUGACGUGCCAGGUGGCUUUUUGAUUGAUUAAAUAAAACGUGAGGGCGGUUUUUUAAAAAAAUCCCCACGUGCGGGCCACCCAGCGCCUCUUAGCCACGUUUGUACGCCACUCGGGCUAGACGUACGCCCGGAAUAUGAACGGAGGCACCGUAUUUACACAGCCUGAUAAGUUCGAGCACCAAUUUCAAUAAGUUGAGGCACCUUCGGUGUAUUUAACUCAAAAAAAAGGUACAACCCGUGGUCUAAUGAGAGUUGUCUUUCCGUACUGUUGUCUUGAAGAGAAGUUUGACAGGAGAAAGAACCAAAACAACGACCACAGCGGGAGUCGAACCAACGACCUCAGUCCACACAAAGAUGGUCGAAAGCACAACACGUAAUCCACUGCGCAAGGCCGGAACCAAUGAUCUCCAGGAGGUAGUAAUAAUUGCAAACCGUGCAAGAGAUAAAUGCAAUAGGAUAUUCACAGAUUUCAGGGGGCGCAGAACAAUACCAUCCUGGUUACCGGUGGUAGAUGCGGUAGAAAACUGAAUUAUAACAGAAUGCUUCAUUGACAUGUCUGGAACUACGAUGCAACAUGCAAGUAAUUAAAUUUAAAAAGUAGUACCCCAAGGUGUUCUACAAGGCAGCAAAGAGAAAAAUCCUCACAUUCUCAUUGUCAGCUACAACAAAGGGUGCAAACAGGAAACGUACUAAAAGUUGACUAUUAAGAAGACCACUUACCAAGCGGUCAAAUCAAUUCUCCAGUAAAGCAAGUAGUGAUAUGAGGCAUAAAGAUUGCUAAAUAUCAAGUACAGAGAAGACCAUAAGGCGGAUUGGCAAAUAUUUCAGGAGCAAAGUAAAACGACUUGGAGUUGGCCGUUUCCUCUAGGGUUUCCCUAGGGUCUACCCAUCCUCCGACGGCGCCGCCGGAGUCCACAUAGUUUCUACGUUGAUCUCAUCGGAACUCGAUCGCGGGCAGAACAACAGACGCCCGCGCCACGCUGACACGCGUUUGCAUGGAGGAACGCGAAGGCCAUAAGGAGACGGCGGGACUAAAGGAAGCGAAAGAGAAGAUGCAGGUGGGAGUAGAGAGGCAGGAAGGAGAUGGAUCGGGGAGCUACCAGGCGGCAACCUUGGGGGUUGAAACUUCGGCGGCGGCGGCGGAGGGCUUGCAGGAGGGCGAUCUGAAGGUUGAUGAUGAGGAGGACUGGGUUCACCGCGGAUCUGGGCCAACCCUGGAAGAUGCUUUUGAUGGUAUGAAUUUGCAUGGAGAAGAGGAAGAAGACCUAGAUUUAUCAGGUGAGGUUGAGGAUCUGAUCAGGGAGGUUCGGUGGCUCGCACUUUUUAGGGUUCAUACCAUGAGGCCCUUUAGCCAUGCGGCUCUCUUGAAUUCUAUGAGGAACGCAUGGGCUUGUGCGCAAGGCGUAACUUUCAACAUUAAGGGGCCAAACCCAUUUUUGGCUCAGGUUCAUUGUCUGGGUGACUGGAAGCGUGUGAUGGACGGUGGGCCGUGGCAAUCCAGAAGAGAUCCAGUGAUCCUGGUGGAGUAUGAUGGAUUUACAAACGUGGACGAGUAUGCCCUAGACAUGUAUCCAUUAUGGGCGAGAGUUAAAGGGUUACCGGAUGGUUUAACGAGGAAGAAGGAGUUAGCAGAGAAGGUGGCGAAGAAAGUAGGCAAUCCACCGUUCACGGUUAUCGUUAAUGAGGGUAGGAUAAAUCCCUCGAAUCAUCUACGAGUCAAAGUGUUUGUUAAUGUCAAUCAACCUCUGGUUAGGUUUGUCCCAAUCAUGCUCAAAGAGAGGAAGAAGUACCCGGUCAGCUAUGAAAAACUGCCGGACUUCUGCUUCUAUUGCGGCUGUAUGGGCCAUGUGCUUGAGGAGUGCGGGGAUGGUACUCAUGAUUUGGCCUCCUGUGAGUGGGGUGAUUGGCUACAUUGGGCAAAUGAACCGGCUGGAGGUGGUGCUAGAGGUGGAAGGGGAGGUGGUGGUGGAAGAACAGGCGUUGGGAGAGGGGGUGGUCCCUUUAAUGGCCCUCCCAGAGGGGGAAGAAGUGGAGAUGGAGGUAGAGGGGUCAGAGGGGGAGAAGCAGGAGUUGUAGGUGGAGGAGCAGGAGUUGUGGGAGGGAGCAUGGCGGGUAAGGGGAACCUUGGUUCAAUUGACAUGGACAUAUCAGUUGGGAAUCAAUUGUUGUCGGGGGAGGAUGGCAGGGGAGCCCGCAAGAGGUUAGUUAGUGAAGAUGGCACCAUCACAGUGAGGGGUCAACCGCUGCCAAAUCUGGUCGGGAAGGUCAAUAAUACAGUUCUUAUGAUUGAGAGUGGAGGAGAAACGGUGGAGAUAGUGGUACCGGGCCCUUCAAAUAGUACUCCGGGGAAACACCCUGUCGUCAAGGGGAGGAAGCAAGGAGUAGGGGAGGAAGAGGGUGAAGAUCAAAUGACAAAUGUGGCGGCCUCCGGCUCGGAGGACCGCCGAGCCCAAUGAAUCUCCUAAGAUGGAACUGCCGGGGAGGGGGGAAUACCCCGAUAGUUCAAGAGCUGGCGACUCUUUGUCAGUCGCAUUCCCCCACUUUGGUGUUUUUGUGUGAAACAAGGCAGAAGGCGGACAAGUUGAAAAGAAUCCGAGCGAGGUUGGGCUUGAAGGGUUUUUGCGGCGUGGAUAGUAAUGGUAUGAGCGGCGGUCUGGCUCUAUAUUGGCAUGAAUCUUAUGACGUCCAAAUUCUAGACAAGAAGGAAAGAUACAUUGAUGCCUUGGUGCGAAUUCAUCCGGAUGCUGAGCAAUGGAGAGUAACUUGCAUGUAUGGAGAACCCAGAGUGGAAAAUAGACCGGCAAUGUGGUCGGCGUUACAAAACCUGAAAACUGUCAUUGACCGGCCUGUUUAGUUGUCGGUGAUUUUAACGAGGCUAUGUGGAACUUUGAGCACAUGUCUACCACGCCAAGACCCGAAGCACAAAUGGUGGCCUUCAAAGACAUGUUGGAGGUGUGUGAGUUGGUUGAUCUAGGCUUUAUUGGAGUUCCAUUCACAUAUGAAAAUAAACGUAGUGGUGCAAGUAAUGUCAAAGUCCGGUUGGACAGAGCGGUGGCAUCCAAUGAUUGGAGGAAUUUGUUCGCGUACUCGUCGGUUGUUCAUAUCCCUUCUCCUUGCUCAGAUCAUAUAGCCAUUUUGGUAAAGGGGUCAGCUGACCCGGGUCCGACAGGGAAGAGCAACAGAAGAUACGAGCUUUUUUGGGAACGGGACCCUAUGUUGCCGAACAUAAUAAAGGAAGCAUGAGAGGCUGUAGGCGGCGUUCAGAACGUGGCUCAGUUGCGCGAUGCACUAUCCAAGACCAUGAGCUCAUUGGGAUUAUGGAGUAAAAAAAUUGGUAACAUCAGGAGAGAGUUAGCAAAGUCUCGGACUCAGUUAGAGGAACUGAUGAACAUGAACGCAGACAGAGCAGAGAUCAGGGUUGUAACAGACAAGAUGAACGAACUCCUUUACCAGGAGGAAAUGUUAUGGCUACAACGGUCAAGAAUAACAUGGUUGAAAGAAGGCGAUAGGAAUACCAAAUAUUUCCAAAGCAAGGCAGGGUGGAGAGCGAGGAAGAAUAAAAUUCGGGAGCUUACUGAUAGCAUUGGGGUGGUGCAUACAGAUAGUGUGGUGAUGGGGGAGAUGGCGAAUGAGUAUUUGCAAAAUAUAUUUAAGGCUGAUCCAACCAUAAACCCGUCUCCAAUACUGGACCAUGUGGAGGUCAAACUAACUGAGGGUGAUAAUGCCAGGCUGGUUGCUCCUUUUUCUGAUAAGGAGAUAUCAGAUGCUCUUUUCCAAAUUGGCCCUUUGAAGGCCCCGGGACCGGAUGGUUUUCCGGCUCGUUUUUUCCAGAGAAAUUGGAGUACACUCAAGGAUGAUGUUAUUGCUUCGGUAAAGGAUUUCUUUCAGACAUGCAUUAUUCCAGAAGGGGUAAACUCAACUUCUAUUGUUCUUAUCCCUAAAAUUGCUAAUCCAUCAAAGUUGUCUGAUUACAGGCCUAUCAGCUUAUGUAAUGUUAUUUAUAAGGUCAUCUCUAAGUGUUUGGUUAACCGGUUGAGGCCUUUAUUGGAUGACCUUAUUUCUCCGGAACAAAGUGCUUUCAUCCCAGGAAGGAUGAUUACAGAUAAUGCCUUGAUAGCCUUUGAGUGUAUUCAUUACAUCAAGCAAGAAAAGGACCCCACAAAAAGCUUCUGUCCUUAUAAACUAGAUUUGUCAAAAUCAUAUGAUCGAGUGGAUUGGGUCUACUUGAGGCAGGUGAUGCAAAAGUUGGGUUUCUCUCAUCGAUGGAUUGAUUGGGUAAUGACGUGUGUUACAUCGGUGAGGUAUUCAGUCAAGUUCAAUGGAACCCUCUUGGAUUCAUUUGCACCGUCGUGUGGCCUUCGGCAAGGUGACCCACUCUCACCAUUUUUAUUUCUGUUUGUGGCGGAUGGACUUUCAACUAUUUUGAAAAAUAAGGUGAAUAGGGGAGAGCUCUCACCGGUGAAAAUGUGUAGAAGAGCCCCGGGUAUUUCCCACCUUUUGCUCACUGACGAUACGUUGCUGUUUUUCGAGGCUUCUAGGAGGCAAGCAGAGUGUGUGAGGGCAGCACUACAAGAGUAUGGUGCAGCUACUGGGCAAAAGCUAAACUAUGAUAAAUGCUCAAUAUUCUUUGGUAAUUCAUGCCCAACCACACGCCAAGAGCAGAUCCGAAAUGCCCUGCAGGUCACUAGUGCAGCUUUUGAUGAAAGGUAUCUUGGCCUCCCGACCCCAGAUGGCCGAAUGUCCAAAGGCAAAUUUCAGAACCUUCAGGCCAGCCUAACAAAACGUCUGAUGCAAUGGGGGGUGGCCUAUUGGCUCAGCCAGGUAGAGAGGUGUUGAUUAAAUCAGUGGCCCAAGCAUUACCUACUUAUAUUAUGGGUGUAUUCAAACUUCCGUUUUCAAUAUGUGAUGAUUUGACGAGAAUGGUGCGGAAUUUUUAUUGGGGAUCUGCAAAAGGGAAGGGGAAGGUUCAUUGGAAAAAAUGGGACUAUCUUCUCCAACCAAAAGACAGGGGAGGUGUGGGCUUUCGAGACUUCGGUUAUUUAACCAAGCAUUGCUAGCUCGGCAGGCUUGGCGGCUUUUGUCCAAUCCGGAUAGUCUAUGUGCCCAGGUUCUUAAGGCAAAGUACUAUCCAUAUGGCAAGCUAGAGGAUACGGUCUUCACAGGGAACGCAUCGUCGUCGUGGCAAGCUAUUAGUCAUGGCCUUGACCCGUUGAAGAGCGGAUUGAUUUGGAGGGUGGGAAACAGGAGAAAUAUCAGAGUGUGGAGGGCCAACUGGAUCCCGAGGCCGUUCUCCUUCAAGCCGGUCUCGUUGCAGGGCAGAUGCUGAAUUCGCUUCGUGUCAGAUUUUCUUAAUGCAAAUCGGUCUUGGAAAGUGGAGCUAUUGUUGGAAAUAUGCCCUAGAGGCAAUAAUAAAUGGUUAUUAUUAUAUUUCUUUGUUCAUGGUAAUUGUCUAUUAUUCAUGCUAUAAUUGUAUUGUCCGGAAAUCGUAAUACAUGUGUGAAUACAUAGACCACAACGUGUCCCUAGUAAGCCUCUAGUUGACUAGCUCGUUGAUCAACAGAUAGUCAUGGUUUCCUGACUAUGGACAUUGGAUGUCAUUGAUAACGGGAUCACAUCAUUAGGAGAAUGAUGUGAUGGACAAGACCCAAUCCUAAGCAUAGCAUAAAAGAUCGUGUAGUUUCGUUUGCUAGAGCUUUUCCAAUGUCAAGUAUCUUUUCCUUAGACCAUGAGAUCGUGCAACUCCCGGAUACCGUAGGAGUGCUUUGGGUGUGCCAAACGUCACAACGUAACUGGGUGACUAUAAAGGUGCACUACGGGUAUCUUCGAAAGUGUCUGUUGGGUUGGCACGGAUCGAGACUGGGAUUUGUCACUCCGUGUGACGGAGAGGUAUCUCUGGGCCCACUCGGUAAUGCAUCAUCAUAAUGAGCUCAAUGUGACUAAGGCGUUAGUCACGGGAUCAUGUAUUGCGGUACGAGUAAAGAGACUUGCCGGUAACGAGAUUGAACAAAGUAUUGGGAUACCGACGAUCGAAUCUCGGGCAAGUAACAUACCGAUUGACAAAGGGAAUUGCAUACGGAUUGAUUGAAUCCUCGACACCGUGGUUCAUCCGAUGAGAUCAUCGUGGAACAUGUGGGAGCCAACAUGGGUAUCCAGAUUCCGCUGUUGGUUAUUGACCGGAGAGGCGUCUCGGUCAUGUCUGCAUGUCUCCCGAACCCGUAGGGUCUACACACUUAAGGUCCGGUGACGCUAGGGUUGUAGAGAUAUAUGUAUGCGGAAACCCGAAAGUUGUUCGGAGUCCCGGAUGAGAUCCCGGACGUCAUGAGAGGUUCCGGAAUGGUCCGGAGGUGAGGAAUUAUAUAUAGGAAGUCAAGUUUCGGCCACCGGGAAAGUUUCGGGGGUUACCGGUAUUGUACCGGGACCACCGGAAGGGUCACGGGGGUCCACCGGGUGGGGCCACCUAUCCCGGAGGGCCCCGUGGGCUGAAAGUGGAAGGGAACCAGCCCUUAGUGGGCUGGGGCGCCCCCCUUGGGCCUCCCCCCAUGCGCCUAGGGUUGGGAACCCUAGGGGGGGAGCUUCCCCCUUGCCUUGGGGGGCAAGGCACCCCUUCCCCCCCACUUGGCCGCCGCCCCCCUUGGAGAUCUGAUCUCCCAAGGGCUGGCGCCCCCCNNNNNNNNNNNNNNNNNNNNNNNNNNNNNNNNNNNNNNNNNNNNNNNNNNNNNNNNNNNNNNNNNNNNNNNNNNNNNNNNNNNNNNNNNNNNNNNNNNNNNNNNNNNNNNNNNNNNNNNNNNNNNNNNNNNNNNNNNNNNNNNNNNNNNNNNNNNNNNNNNNNNNNNNNNNNNNNNNNNNNNNNNNNNNNNNNNNNNNNNNNNNNNNNNNNNNNNNNNNNNNNNNNNNNNNNNNNNNNNNNNNNCAAACCUACAGCCUUGGGCGCCUCCCUCUCCCCCUGUUACACCUCUCCGUCUCGCAGAAGCUCGGCGUAGCCCUGCCGGAGACCCGCUACAUCCACCACCACGCCGUCGUGCUGCUGGAUCUCCAUCAACCUCUCCUUCCCCCUUGCUGGAUCAAGAAGGAGGAGACGUCGCUGCACCGUAUGUGUGUUGAACGCGGAGGUGCCGUCCGUUCGGCACUCGGUCAUCGGUGAUUUGGAUCACGGCGAGUACGACUCCGUCAUCCACGUUCAUUGGAACGCUUCCGCUCGCGAUCUACAAGGGUAUGUAGAUGCACUCCCUUCCCCUCGUUGCUAGUAGACUCCAUAGAUGCAUCUUGGUGAGCGUAGGAAAAUUUUAAAUUAUGCUACGAUUCCCAACAGUGGCAUCAUGAGCCAGGCCUAUGCGUAGUUACUAUGCACGAGUAGAACACAAAGAAGUUGUGGGUGUUGAGUUUGCCAAUUCUUCUUGCCGCUACUAGUCUUUUCUUGUUUCGGCGGCAUUGUAGGAUGAAGCGGCCCGGACCGACCUUACACGUACGCUUACGUGAGACAGGUUCCACCGAUUGACAUGCACUAGUUGCAUAAGGUGGCUAGCGGGUGUCUGUCUCUCCUACUUUAGUCGGAACGGAUUUGAUGAAAAGGGUCCUUAUGAAGGGUAAAUAGAAAUUGGCAAAUCACGUUGUGGUCAUACGUAGGUAAGAAACGUUCUUGCUAGAAACCUACAAACCACGUAAAAACUUGCAACAACAAUUAGAGGACGUCUAACUUGUUUUUGCAGCAAGUGAUAUAUGUGAUAUGAUAUGGCCAGAAGAUGUGAUGAAUGAUAUAUGUGAUGUAUGAGAUUGAUCAUAUUCUUGUAAUAGGAAUCACGACUUGCAUGUCGAUGAGUAUGACAACCGGCAGGAGCCAUAGGAGUUGUCUUUAUUAUUUUGUAUGACCUGCGUGUCAUUGAAUAACGCCAUGUAAAUUACUUUACUUUGUUGCUAAACGAGUUAGCCAUAGAAGUAGAAGUAAUCGUUGGCGUGACGACUUCAUGGAGACACAAUGAUGGAGAUCAUGAUGAUGGAGAUCAUGGUGUCAUGCCAGUGACAAAGAUGAUCAUGGUGCCCCGAAGAUGGAGAUCAAAGGAGCAUAAUGAUAUUGGCCAUAUCAUGUCACUAUUUGAUUUCAUGUGAUGUUUAUCAUGUUUUUGCAUCUAAUUUGCUUAGAACGACGGUAGCAAGUAGGAUGAUCCCUUAUAAUAAUUUCAAGAAAGUGUUCACCCUAACUGUGCACCGUUGCGAAGGUUCGUUGUUUCGAAGCACCACGUGAUGAUCGGGUGUGAUAGAUUCUAACGUUCGAAUACAACGGGUGUUGACGAGCCUAGCAUGUACAGACAUGGCCUCGGAACACACGCAAUACACUUAGGUUGACUUGACGAGCCUAGCAUGUACAGACAUGGCCUCGGAACACGGAGGACCGAAAGGUCGAGCAUGAGUCGUAUGGAAGAUACGAUCAACAUGGAGAUGUUCACCGAUCUUGACUAGUCCGUCUCACGUGAUGAUCGGACACGGCCUAGUUGAACUCGGAUCAUGUUACACUUAGAUGACUAGAGGGAUGUCUAUCUGAGUGGGAGUUCAUUAAAUAAUUUGAUUAGAUGAACUUAAUUAUCAUGAACUUAGUCUAAAAUCUUUACACUAUGUCUUGCAGAUCAAAUGGCCAAUGUUGUCCUCAAUUUCAACGCGUUCCUAGAGAAAACCAAGCUGAAAGAUGAUGGCAGCAAUUAUACGGACUGGGUCCGGAACCUGAGGCUCAUCCUCAUAGUAGCCAAGAAAGAUUAUGUCUUAGAAGCACCGCUAGGUGAAGCACCAAUCCCUGAGAACCAAGAUGUUAUGAACGCUUGGCAAACACGUGCUGAUGAUUACUCCCUCGUUCAGUGCGGCAUGCUUUACAGCUUAGAACCGGGUCUCCAAAAGCGUUUUGAGAAACAUGGAGCAUAUGAGAUGUUCGAGGAGCUGAAAAUGGUUUUCCAAGCUCAUGCCCGGGUCGAGAGAUAUGAUGUCUCCGACAAGUUCUUCAGCUGUAAAAUGGAGGAGAACAGUUCUGUUAGUGAGCACAUACUCAGAAUGUCUGGGUUGCACAACCGCUUGACUCAGCUGGGAGUUAAUCUCCCGGAUGACGCGGUCAUUGACAGAAUCCUCCAGUCGCUUCCACCAAGCUACAAGAGCUUUGUGAUGAACUUUAAUAUGCAGGGGAUGGAAAAGACCAUUCCUGAGGUAUAUUCAAUGCUGAAAUCAGCUGAGGUAGAGAUUAGAAAAGAACAUCAAGUGUUGAUGGUGAAUAAAACCACUAAGUUCAAGAAGGGCAAGGGUAAGAAGAACUUCAAGAAGGACGGCAAGGGAGUUGCCGCGCCCGAUAAGCCAGUUGCCGGGAAGAAGUCAAAGAAUGGACCCAAGCCCGGGACUGAGUGCUUUUAUUGCAAGGGAAGUGGUCACUGGAAGCGGAACUGCCCCAAAUAUUUAGCGGACAAGAAGAAGGCCGGCAACAUCCAAGGUAUAUGUGAUAUACAAGUAAUUGAUGUGUACCUUACCAGUACUCGUAGUAGCUCCUGGGUAUUUGAUACCGGUGCGGUUGCUCAUAUUUGUAACUCAAAGCAGGAACUACGGAAUAAACGGAGACUGGCAAAGGACGAGGUGACGAUGCGCGUCGGGAAUGGUUCCAAGGUUGAUGUGAUCGCCGUCGGCACUCUACCUCUGCAUCUACCAACGGGAUUAGUUUUAAACCUCAAUAAUUGUUAUUUAGUGCCAGCUUUGAGCAUGAACAUUGUGUCUGGAUCUCGUUUAAUUCGAGAUGGCUACUCAUUUAAAUCCGAGAAUAAUGGUUGUUCUAUUUAUUUGAGAGAUAUGUUUUAUGGUCAUGCCCCGCUGGUCAAUGGUUUAUUUUUGAUAAAUCUCGAACGUGAUGUUACACAUGUUCAUAGUGUGAAUACCAAAAGAUGUAAAGUUGAUAACGAUAGUCCCACAUACUUGUGGCACUGCCGCCUUGGUCACAUUGGUGUCAAGCGCAUGAAGAAGCUCCAUGCAGAUGGACUUUUGGAGUCUCUUGAUUACGAAUCAUUUGACACGUGCGAACCAUGCCUCAUGGGUAAGAUGACCAAGACUCCGUUCUUCGGAACAAUGGAGCGAGCAACCAACUUAUUGGAAAUCAUACAUACCGAUGUGUGUGGUCCAAUGAGUGUUGAGGCUCGCGGAGGAUAUCGUUAUGUUCUCACUCUCACUGAUGAUUUAAGUAGAUAUGGAUAUGUCUACCUGAUGAAACACAAGUCUGAAACCUUUGAAAAGUUCAAAGAAUUUCAGAGUGAGGUUGAGAAUCAACGUGACAGGAGAAUAAAAUUCCUACGAUCAGAUCGUGGUGGAGAAUAUUUAAGUCACGAGUUUGGUGCACACUUAAGGAAAUGUGGAAUAGUUUCACAACUCACGCCGCCUGGAACACCUCAGAGAAAUGGUGUGUCCGAACGUCGUAAUCGCACUCUAUUGGAUAUGGUGCGAUCUAUGAUGUCUCUUACCGAUUUACCGCUCUCAUUUUGGGGUUAUGCUUUAGAGACUGCCGCAUUCACUUUAAAUAGGGCUCCAUCGAAAUCCGUUGAGACGACACUGUAUGAAUUAUGGUUUGGGAAGAAACCUAAGCUGUCGUUUCUAAAAGUUUGGGGAUGCGAUGCUUAUGUCAAGAAACUUCAACCUGAAAAGCUCGAACCCAAAUCGGAAAAAUGCGUCUUCAUAGGAUACCCUAAGGAAACUAUUGGGUACACCUUCUACCUCAGAUCCGAAGGCAAGAUCUUCGUUGCCAAGAACGGGUCCUUUCUAGAGAAGGAGUUUCUCUCGAAAGAAUUGAGUGGGAGGAAAGUGGAACUUGAUGAGGUGAUAGUCACCCCUUCCGAACCGGAAAGUAGCGCAGCGCGGGAAAGUGUUCCUGUGGUGCCUACACCGACUGGGGAGGAAGUUAAUGAUGAUGAUCAUGAAGCUUCGGAUCAAGUUACUGAACUUCGUAGGUCCACAAGGACACGUUCCGCACCAGAGUGGUACGGCAACCCUAUCCUGGAAAUCAUGUUGUUAGACAACGGUGAACCUUCGAACAAUGAAGAAGCGAUGGCGGGCCCGGAUUCCGACAAAUGGCUAGAAGCCAUGAAACCCGAGAUAGAAUCCAUGUAUGAAAACAAAGUAUGGACUUUGACUGACUUGCCCGAUGAGCGGCGAGCCAUAGAAAACAAAUGGAUCUUUAAGAAGAAGACGGACGCGGAUGGUAAUGUGACCAUCUACAAAGCUCGACUUGUCGCUAAGGGUUAUCGACAAGUUCAAGGGGUUGACUACGAUGAGACUUUCUCACCCGUAGCGAAGCUGAAGUCCGUCCGAAUCAUGUUAGCAAUUGCCGCAUACUAUGAUUAUGAGAUAUGGCAGAUGGACGUCAAAACGGCAUUCCUUAACGGCUUCCUUAAGGAAGAGUUGUAUAUGAUGCAGCCGGAAGGUUUUGUCGAUCCUAAGAAUGCUAUCAAAGUGUGUAAGCUCCAGCGCUCAAUCUAUGGGCUGGUGCAAGCAUCUCGGAGUUGGAACAUUCGCUUUGAUGAGAUGAUCAAAGCGUUUGGGUUUACACAGACUUAUGGAGAAGCCUGUGUUUACAAGAAAGUGAGUGGGAGCUCUGUAGCAUUUCUCAUAUUAUAUGUGGAUGACAUAUUAUUGAUGGGAAAUGAUAUAGAAUUCUCGGAAAGUAUAAAGGCCUAUUUGAAUAAGUGUUUUUCAAUGAAGGACCUUGGAGAAGCUGCUUAUAUAUUAGGCAUCAAGAUCGAUAGAGAUAGAUCGAGACGCCUCAUUGGUCUUUCACAGAGUACAUACCUUGAUAAGAUAUUGAAGAAGUUCAGUAUGGAUCAGUCCAAGAAGGGGUUCUUGCCUGUAUUGCAAAGUGUGCAAUUGAGCACGGCUCAAUGCCCGACCACGGCAGAAGAUAUAGAAGAGAUGAGUGUCAUCCCCUAUGCCUCGGCCAUAGGGUCUAUUAUGUAUGCCAUGCUGUGUACCAGACCUGAUGUAAACCUUGUCGUAAGUUUGGUAGGAAGGUACCAAAGUAAUCCCGGCAAGGAACACUGGACAGCGGUCAAGAAUAUCCUGAAGUACCUGAAGAGGACUAAGAAUAUGUUUCUCGUUUAUGGAGGUGACGAAGAGCUCGUCGUAAAGGGUUACGUCGAUGCUAGCUUCGACACAGAUCUGGAUGACUCGAAGUCACAGACCGGAUACGUGUAUAUUUUGAACGGAGGAGCAGUAAGCUGUUGCAGUUGCAAGCAAAGCGUCGUGGCGGGAUCUACAUGUGAAGCGGAGUACAUGGCAGCCUCGGAGGCAGCACAGGAAGCAGUCUGGAUGAAGGAGUUCAUUACCGACCUAGGGGUGAUUCCCAAUGCGUUGGGCCCAAUGACUCUAUUCUGUGACAACACUGGAGCUAUUGCCCUUGCAAAGGAGCCCAGGUUUCACAGGAAGACCAGGCAUAUCAAGCGUCGUUUCAACUCCAUUCGUGAAAGUGUUCAAAAUGGAGACAUAGAUAUUUGUAAAGUACACACGGACCUGAAUGUAGCAGAUCCGUUGACUAAACCUCUCCCUAGGGCAAAACAUGAUCAACACCAGGACGCAAUGGGUGUUCGAUUCAUCACAAUGUAACUAGAUUAUUGACUCUAGUGCAAGUGGGAGACUGUUGGAAAUAUGCCCUAGAGGCAAUAAUAAAUGGUUAUUAUUAUAUUUCUUUGUUCAUGGUAAUUGUCUAUUAUUCAUGCUAUAAUUGUAUUGUCCGGAAAUCGUAAUACAUGUGUGAAUACAUAGACCACAACGUGUCCCUAGUAAGCCUCUAGUUGACUAGCUCGUUGAUCAACAGAUAGUCAUGGUUUCCUGACUAUGGACAUUGGAUGUCAUUGAUAACGGGAUCACAUCAUUAGGAGAAUGAUGUGAUGGGCAAGACCCAAUCCUAAGCAUAGCAUAAAAGAUCGUGUAGUUUCGUUUGCUAGAGCUUUUCCAAUGUCAAGUAUCUUUUCCUUAGACCAUGAGAUCGUGCAACUCCCGGAUACCGUAGGAGUGCUUUGGGUGUGCCAAACGUCACAACGUAACUGGGUGACUAUAAAGGUGCACUACGGGUAUCUCCGAAAGUGUCUGUUGGGUUGGCACGGAUCGAGACUGGGAUUUGUCACUCCGUGUGACGGAGAGGUAUCUCUGGGCCCACUCGGUAAUGCAUCAUCAUAAUGAGCUCAAUGUGACUAAGGCGUUAGUCACGGGAUCAUGCAUUGCGGUACGAGUAAAGAGACUUGCCGGUAACGAGAUUGAACAAAGUAUUGGGAUACCGACGAUCGAAUCUCGGGCAAGUAACAUACCGAUUGACAAAGGGAAUUGCAUACGGAUUGAUUGAAUCCUCGACACCGUGGUUCAUCCGAUGAGAUCAUCGUGGAACAUGUGGGAGCCAACAUGGGUAUCCAGAUCCCACUGUUGGUUAUUGACCGGAGAGGCGUCUCGGUCAUGUCUGCAUGUCUCCCGAACCCGUAGGGUCUACACACUUAAGGUCCGGUGAUGCUAGGGUUGUAGAGAUAUAUGUAUGUGGAAACCCGAAAGUUGUUCGGAGUCCCGGAUGAGAUCCCGGACGUCACGAGAGGUUCCGGAAUGGUCCGGAGGUGAAGAAUUAUAUAUAGGAAGUCAAGUUUCGGCCACCGGGAAAGUUUCGGGGGUUACCGGUAUUGUACCGGGACCACCGGAAGGGUCACGGGGGUCCACCGGGUGGGGCCACCUAUCCCGGAGGGCCCCGUGGGCUGAAAGUGGAAGGGAACCAGCCCUUAGUGGGCUGGGGCGCCCCCCUUGGGCCUCCCCCCAUGCGCCUAGGGUUGGGAACCCUAGGGGGGAGCUUCCCCCUUGCCUUGGGGGGCAAGGCACCCCUUCCCCCCCACUUGGCCGCCGCCCCCCUUGGAGAUCUGAUCUCCCAAGGGCUGGCGCCCCCCCACCAGGGGUCCUGUAAAUAGUGGGGGGGAGGGAGGGCAGCAAACCUACAGCCUUGGGCGCCUCCCUCUCCCCCUGUUACACCUCUCCGUCUCGCAGAAGCUCGGCGUAGCCCUGCCGGAGACCCGCUACAUCCACCACCACGCCGUCGUGCUGCUGGAUCUCCAUCAACCUCUCCUUCCCCCUUGCUGGAUCAAGAAGGAGGAGACGUCGCUGCACCGUACAUGUGUUGAACGCGGAGGUGCCGUCCGUUCGGCACUCGGUCAUCGGUGAUUUGGAUCACGGCGAGUACGACUCCGUCAUCCACGUUCAUUGGAACGCUUCCGCUCGCGAUCUACAAGGGUAUGUAGAUGCACUCCCUUCCCCUCGUUGCUAGUAGACUCCAUAGAUGCAUCUUGGUGAGCGUAGGAAAAUUUUAAAUUAUGAUACGAUUCCCAACAGCUAUUACAAAAGUAUUUUCUGCCGGCUGAUGUGAUUGAGAUUUUGAAGAUUCGAGCUUCACCAAGGUUGGAUGAGGAUGUGAUUGCAUGGGCCCCUGGGAGACAUGGAGUUUUUUCUGUAAAGUCGGCAUAUCAGUUUGCGCUUCAGGAAUUGUACGGAGCGAGCACAGCCUCGUCCAGUAACUCGGCUUCAGGAGGAAGGAGUUGUUGGAAGCUUAUUUGGAACAGUGCAGUUCCUCCAACGAUCCGUAACUUUGCAUGGCGUCUGGCGACGGAUGCUCUUCCUACGUGGAAGAACAAGAACAAAAGAGGGCUUGAGCUUGUGAGCGGCUGUCCGAUUUGCGGUAUAGAGAUAGAGGACAAUUUCCACCCUUUUCUGAGAUGUCAGCGGGGGAGGGAUCUGUAUAAGGAGAUGGCGAAGGUAUGGAGGUUGCCGGUGAUCGAAUCCUUUGUGCCCAAUGGGAGGGAAUGGCUUCUCCAUGCGCUGGACUCCCUAAGUGAGCUUGAUCGGUGCAAGGUUUUGCUCAUUUUCUGGAGAAGUUGGUACGUGCGGAAUGAAAUCAUACAUCAUAAACCAGCCCCGGACAUGGAUGUAUCCGUGAAUUUCCUGAGAAGAUAUUUGGAUGAAUUAGUGGGGAUCAAAAUGAACCAUGGUAUGGAUGUGGCUAAAGGUAAGGGAUACCUGACUUUUGAUCACACUAGAGAAGUGAGGGAGAUUCAGAGUGCUGGCCCAGUGUGUAAGUGGCAACCCCCCGCCGAGGGCUGGGUAAAACUAAACACGGACAGGUCCUUUGUUGAUAGUGAUCUUGCGGGCACUGGUAUGAUUCUCCGAAACUCCAGUGGAGGGAUUAUUUUUUCGGCAUGCAGAUCGCUAUUUUCUUGCAGAGAUGUGGUUGAAGCAGAACUAGGUGCAAUCAUGGAAGGUUUAUCGCUGGCUAUACAACGCUCCGAUUUGCCUAUUGUUAUCGAAUCGGAUUCCAACUUGGCAGUGUCUAUGGUAUCCUCUGGCGAAGUUGAUCGUUCAAUUUAUGCUGCUUUGGUUAAUGAAAUAAGACUGCUGAUGCGUCUUAGACAAACUUGUGUUACUCAUAUUAUGAGAGUCCAGAAUAAAGCUAGUGAUAGUUUGGCUAGGUUUGCUCGAUUUGAGGGGCGAACUAUGACUUGGCUGGGAUCUGGGCCAGAGGAGGUAUUGGGUAUAUCCCUUGAUGAUUGUAAAGACAUUGAUAUUUGAGUAAUACAAGUGUUCUCGCAAAAAAAAGUAAAACAACUUGGUAACUGUAGCAUCAACACAAUCAGUAGCCCCUUCAGCCCGAAAGGUCAUCGAAACAAGAAUCCUAUUGUUAGAUUGUGGAGUAAAAAGGAGCCUUCUCAGGAUGUUUGCACUCUGAGCCAUUGGAUUGGCUGUCUAAACAAAUCCAGGCCGUUGGAUUCUUGAUGGAUGAUCCUUGCCGUUGUCUCGAAACUGAUGUUACAACCAAUUAAUAGUGUUGCUUCUUUCUUACUUCUGGUUUUUUUCCUUAUCUCGCUGACUGGUGAGCCGCGCCCUGGGUGGUCCACCACGAUCAGUGACUCGGGAGCCCUCUGCGACCGGUGGGGGUUCAAAUGGGCGCGGGUUCAUGCCACCGCCUGUAAAAUUGGGUGGCCGGCGAGGGCAAUUUCGUCACUCCAUGUUAUUGCCCUCGUGUGGUGUUGGAGAACGUAGUAAUUUCAAAAUUUUCCUACGCACACACAGGAUCAUGGUGAUCCAUGCAACGAGAGGGGAGUGUGUGUCCACGUACCCUCGUAGACCCAAAGCGGAAGCGUUAUGACAACGCGGUUGAUGUAGUCGUACGUCUUCACGAUCCGACCGAUCCAAGUACCGAACGCACGACACCUCCGAGUUCUGCACACGUUCAGCUCGAUGAUGUCCCAUGAACUCCGAUCCAGCAAAGCUUUGCAGGAGAGUUCCGUCAGCACGACGGCGUGAUGACGGUGUUGAUGAUGCUACCGACGCAGGGCUUCGCCUAAGCACCACUACGAUAUGACCGAGGUGGAAUAUGGUGGAGGGGGGCACCGCACACGGCUAAGAGAUCAAGAGAACAAUUGUUGUGUCUAUGGGGUGCCCCCUGGCCACGUAUAUAAAUGAGUGGAGGAGGGGGGAGAGGGCCGGCCCCUAUGGCGCGCCCUGGAGGAGUCCUACUCCCACCGGGAGUAGGAUUCCCCCCCCCCUUCCAAGUAGUAGGAGUUAAGGAAUGGGAAGAGAGAAGAGAAGGAAGGAGGGGGCGCAGCCCCUCCCCCUAGUCCAAUUCGGACUAGGCCUUGGGGGGCGCGCAGCCACUCCUCUCUCUCUCUUUCCCCUAAAGCCCAAUAAGGCCCAUAUACUCCCCAGCGAAUUCCCGUAACUCUCCGGUACUCCGAAAAAUACCCGAAUCAAUCGGAACCUUUCCGAUGUCCGAAUAUAGUCGUCCAAUAUAUCGAUCUUUAUGUCUCGACCAUUUCGAAAAUCCUCAUCAUGUCCCCGAUCUCAUCUGGGACUCUGAACUACCUUCGGUACAUCAAAACACAUAAACUCAUAAUACCGAUCAUCACCGAACGUUAAGCCUGCGGACCCUACGGGUUCGAGAACUAUAUAGACAUGACCGAGACACGUUUCCGGUCAAUUACCAAUAGCGGAACCUGGAUGCUCAUAUUGGCUCCCACAUAUUCCACGAAGAUCUUUAUCGGUCAAACCGCAUAACAACAUACGUUGUUCCCUUUGUCAUCGGUAUGUUACUUGCCCGAGAUUCGAUCGUCGGUAUCUCAAUACCUAGUUCAAUCUCGUUACCGGCAAGUCUCUUUAUUCGUUCCGUAAUGCAUCAUCCCGCAACUAACUUAUUAGUCACAUUGCUUGCAAGGCUUAUAGUGAUGUGCAUUACCGAGAGGGCCCAGAGAUACCUCUCCGACAAUCAGAGUGACAAAUCCUAAUCUCGAAAUACACCAACUCAACAAGUACCUUCGGAGACACCUGUAGAGCACCUUUAUAAUCACCCAGUUACGUUGUGACGUUUGGUAGCACACAAAGUGUUCCUCCGGAAAUCGGGAGUUGUAUAAUCCCAUAGUCAUAGGAACAUGUAUAAGUCAUGAAGAAAGCAAUAGCAACAUACUAAACGAUCAAGUGCUAAGCUAACGGAAUGGGUCAAGUCAAUCACAUUAUUCUCUAAUGAUAUGAUCCCGUUAAUCAAAUGACAACUCAUUUCUAUGGCUAGGAAACUUAACCAUCUUUGAUUCAACGAGCUAGUCAAGUAGAGGCAUACUAGUGACACUCUGUUUGUCUAUGUAUUCACAAAUGUAUCAAGUUUCCGGUUUAUACAAUUCUAGCAUGAAUAAUAAACAUUUAUCAUGAAAUAAGGAAAUAAAUAAUAACUUUACUAUUGCCUCUAGGGCAUAUUUCCUUCAGUCUCCCACUUGCACUAGAGUGAAUAAUCUAGUUCACAUCGCCAUGUGAUUUAACACCAAUAGUUCACAUCACCAUGUGAUUAACGCCCAUAGUUCACAUUGUCAUGUGACCAACACCCAAAGGGUUUACUAGAGUCAAUAAUCUAGUUCACAUCGCUAUGUGAUUAACACCCAAAGAGUACUAAGGUGUGAUCAUGUUUUGUUUGUGAGAAGAGUUUAGUCAAUGGGUCUGCCAAAUUCAGAUCCGUAUGUAUCUUGCAAAUUUCUAUGUCAACAAUGCUCUGCAUGGAGCUACUCUAGCUAAUUGCUCCCACUUUCAAUAUGUAUCCAGACUGAGAUUUAGAGUCAUCCGGAUCAGUGCCAAAACUUGCAUCGACGUAACCCUUUACGAUGAACUUUUUGUCACCUCCAUAACCGAAAAACAUAUCCUUAUUCCACUAAUGAUAAUUUUGACCAAUGUCCAAUGAUCUACUCCUAGAUCACUAUUGUACUCCCUUGCCAAACUCAGGGCAGGGUAUACAAUAGGUCUGGUACACAGCAUGGCAUACUUUAUAGAACCUAUAGCUGAGGCAUAGGGAAUGACUUUGAUUCUCUCUCUAUCUUCUUCCGUGGUCGGAUUUUGAGUCUUACUCAACUUCACACCUUGCAACACAGGCAAGAACUCUUUCUUUGGCUGUUCCAUUUUGAACUACUUCAAAAACUUUUCAAGGUAUGUACUCAUUGGAAAAAUUUAUCAAGCGUCUUGAUCUAUCUCUAUAUAUCUUGAUGCUCAAUAUGUAAGCAGCUUCACCGAGGUCUUUAUUUGAAAAACUCCUUUCAAAUACUCCUUUAUGCUUUCCAGAAAAUUCUACAUUAUUUCUGAUUCACAUAUACUUAUCAGAAAUGUUGUAGUGCUCCCACUCACUUUCUUGUAAAUACAGGCUUUACCGCAAGUCUGUAUAAAACUAUAUGCUUUGAUCAACUCAUCAAAGCGUAUAUUCCAACUCCGAGAUGCUUGCACCGGUCCAUAGAUGGAUCGCUGGAGCUUGCACAUUUUGUUAGCACCUUUAGGAUCGACAAAACCUUCUGGUUGCAUCAUAUACAACUCUUCUUUAAGAAAUCCAUUAAGGAAUGUAGUUUUGACAUCCAUUUGCCAGAUUUCAUAAAAUGUGGCAAUUUGCUAACAUGAUUCGGACAGACUUAAGCAUCGCUACGAGUGAGAAAAUCUCAUCGUAGUCAACACCUUGAACUUUGUCAAAACCUUUUUUCGACAAGUCUAGCUUUGUAGAUAGUAACACUACUAUCAGCGUUCGUCUUCCUCUUGAAGAUCCAUUUAUUUUCUUUGGCUUGCCGAUCAUCGGGCAAGUCAACCAAAGUCCACACUUUGUUCUCAUACAUGGAUCCCAUCUCAAAUUUCAUGGCCUCAAGCCAUUUCGCGGAAUCUGGGCUCAUCAUCGCUUCCUCAUAGGUCGUAGGUUCGUCAUGGUCAAGUAACAUGACCUUCAGAAUAGGAUUACCGUGCCACUCUGGUGCGGAUCUCACUCUGGUUGACCUACGAGGUUCGGUAGUAACAUGAUCUGAAGUUAAAUGAUCAUCAUCAUUAGCCAGAUUUCUGUGAUGAACUACUUUCCAAUAAGGGAGCAGGUACAGUUACCUCAUCAAGUUCUACUUUCCUCCCACUCACUUCUUUCGAGAGAAACUCCUUCUCUAGAAAGGAUCCAUUCUCAGCAACGAAUAUCUUGCCUUCGGAUCUAUGAUAGAAGGUGUACCCAACAGUUUUUUUGGGUAUCCUAUGAAGAUUCACUUCUCCGAUUUCGGUUCGAGCUUAUCAUGUUGAAACUUUUUCAUAUAAGCAUUGCAGUCCCAAACUUUAAGAAACGACAGCUUAGGUUUCUUGCCAAACCACAGUUCAUACGGUGUCAUCCCCACGGAUUUAGAUGGUGCCCUAUUUACCGUGAAUGUAGCUGUCUCUAAUGCAUAACCCCAAAACGAUAGUGGUAGAUCGGUAAGAGACAUCAUAGAUCGCACCAUAUCUAAUAAAGUAUGGUUAUGACGUUCGGACACACCAUUAUGCUGUGGUGUUCCAGGUGGCAUGAGUUUGUGAAACUAUUCCACAUUGUUUUAAUUGAAGGCCAAACUCGUAACUCAAAUAUUUGCCUCUACGAUCACAUCGUAGAAACUUUAUUUUCUUGUUACGAUGAUUCUCUACUUCACACUGAAAUUCUUUGAACUUUUCAAAUGUUUCAGACUUAUGUUUCAUCAAGUAGAUAUACCCAUAUCUGCUCAAAUCAUCUGUGAAGGUCAGAAAACAAUGAUACCCGCCGUGAGCCUCAACACUCAUUGGACCGCAUACAUCGAUAUGUAUUAUUUCCAAGAAGUUAGUGGCUCGCUCCAUUGUUCCGGAGAACGGAGUCUUAGUCAUCUUGUCCAUGAGGCAUGGUUCGCAAGCAUCAACUGAUUCAUAAUCAAGUGAUUCCAAAAACCCAUCAACAUGUAUUUUCUUCACGUGCUUUACACCAAUAUGACCUAAACGGCAGUGCCACAAAUAAGUUGCACUAUCAUUAUUAACUUUGCAUAUUUUGGCUUUAAUAUUAUGAAUAUGUGUAUCACUACGAUCGAGAUCCAACAAACUAUUUUCAUUGGGUGUAUGACCAUCGAAGGUUUUAUUCAUGUAAAUAGAACAAUAAUUAUUCUCUGACUUUAAAUGAAUAACCAUAUUGCAAUAAACUUGAUCAAAUCAUAUUCAUGCUCAACGCAAACACCAAAUAACAUUUAUUUAGGUUCAACACUAAUCCCGAAAGUAUAGGGAGUGUGCGAUGAUGAUCAUAUCAAUCUUGGAACUACUUCCAACACACAUCGUCACCUCGCCCUUAACUAGUUUCUGUUCAUUCUGCAACUCCCGUUUCGAGUUACUACUCUUAGCAACUGAACUAGUAUCAAAUGCCGAGGGGUUGCUAUAAACACUAGUAAAGUACACAUCAAUAACAUGUAUAUCAAAUAUACCUUUAUCACUUUGCCAUCCUUCUUAUCCGCCAAGUAUCUAGGGGCAGUUCCACUUCCAGUGACUAUUUCUUUUGCAGUAGAAGCAGUCAGUUUCAGGCUUGGGUCUAGCUUUGGGCUUCUUCACGGGAGCGGCAACUUGCUUGCCGUUCUUUUGAAGUUCCCCUUUCUACCCUUUGCCCUUUUCUUAAAACUAGUGGUCUUGUCAACCAUCAACACUUGAUACUUUUCUUGAUUUCUACCUUCAUCGAUUUUAGAAUCACGAAGAGCUUGGGAAUCGUUUCUGUUAUCCCUUGCAUAUUAUAGUUCAUCACAAAGUUCUAGUAACUUGGUGAUAGUGACUAGAGAACUCUGUCAAUCACUAUCUUAUCUGAAAGAUUAACUCCCACUUGUAGUACUCAGACAUUCCGAGCACAUGCUCACUAUAUGAGCUAGUCUCCUUCAUCUUGUAGGCAAAGUACUUGUCAAAGGUCUCAUACCUUUCUACAUGGGCAUGAGUCUGAAAUAUUAAUUUCAACUCUUGGAACAUCUCAUAUGCUCCGUGGCGUUCAAAACGUCUUUGAAGCCCCGAUUCUAAGCCGUAAAGCAUGGUGCACUAAACUAUCAAGUAGUCAUCAUAUCGACCUUGCCAAACGUUCAUAACGUCUGCAUCUGCUCCUGCAAUCAGUCUGUCACCUAGCGGUGCAUCAAGGACAUAAUUCUUCUGUGCAGCAAUGAGGAUAAUCCUCAGAUCAUGGAUCCAAUCCGCAUCAUUGCUACUAACAUUUUUCAACUUAGUUUUCUCUAGGAACAUAUCAAAAAUAAAUCAGGGGAGCUAAUGCGAGCUAUUGAUCUACAACAUAGAUAUGCUAAUAUUAUCAGGACUAAAUUCAUGAUAAAUUAAAGUACAAUUAAUCAUAUUACUUAAGAACUCCCUCUUAGAUAGACAUCUCUCUUAUCAUCUAAGUGAUCACGUGAUCCAAAUCAACUAAACCAUGUGCGAUCAUCACGUGAGAUGGAGUAGUUUUCAAUGGUGAACAUCACUAUGUUGAUCAUAUCUACUAUAUGAUUCACGCUCGACCUUUCGGUCUCAGUAUUCCGAGGCCAUAUCUGCAUAUGCUAGGCUCGUCAAGUUUAACCUGAGUAUUCCGCGUGUGCAAAACUGUCUUGCACCCGUUGUAUUUGAACGUAGAGCUUAUCACACCCGAUCAUCACGUGGUGUCUCAGCACGAAGAACUUUCGCAACGGUGCAUACUCAGGGAGAACACUUAUACAUUGAAAUUUAGUGAGAGAUCAUCUUAUAAUACUACCGUCGAUCUAAGAAAAAUAAGAUGCAUAAAAGAUAAACAUCACAUGCAAUCAAUAUAAGUGAUAUGAUAUGGCCAUCAUCAUCUUGUGCUUGUGAUCUCCAUCUCCGAAGCACCGUCAUGAUCACCAUCGUCACCGGCGCGACACCUUGAUCUCCAUCGUAGCAUCGUUGUCGUCUCGCCAACUAUUGCUUCUACGACUAUCGCUACCGCUUAGUGAUAAAGUAAAGCAAUUACAGGGCGAUUGCAUUGCAUACAAUAAAGCGACAACCAUAUGGCUCCUGCCAGUUGCCGAUAACUCGGUUACAAAACAUGACCAUCUCAUACAAUAAAAUAUAGCAUCAUGUCUUGACCAUAUCACGUCUUUGAAAUCCCGAUUCCAAGCCGUUAAGCAUGGUGCACUAAACUAUCAAGUAGUCAUCAUAUUGAGCUAGCCAAACGUUUAUAACGUCUGCAUCUGCUCCUGCAAUAGGUCUGUCACCUAGCGGUGCAUCAAGGACAUUAUUCUUCUAUGCAGCAAUGAGGAUAAACCUCAGAUCACGGAUCCAAUCCGCAUCAUUGCUACUAACAUCUUUCAACUUAGUUUUCUCUAGGAACAUAUAAAAAAUAAACGGGGAGCAACAUCGUGAGCUAUUGAUCUACAACAUAGAUAUGCUAAUACUACCAGGACUAAGUUCAUGAUAAAUUAAAGUUCAGUUAAUCAAAUUAUUAAAGAACUCCCACUUAGAUAGACAUCUCUCUGAUCAUCUAAGUGAUCACGUGAUCCAAAUCAACUAAACCAUAACCGAUCAUCACGUGAAAUGGAGUAGCUUUCAAUGGUGAACAUCACUCUGUUGAUCAUAUCUACUAUAUGAUUCACGCUCGACCUUUCGGUCUCAGUGUUCCGAGGCCAUAUCUGCAUAUGCUAGGCUCGUCAAGUUUAACCUGAGUAUUCUGCGUGUGCAAAACUGGCUUGCACCCGUUGUAGAUGGACGUAGAGCUUAUCACACCCGAUCAUCACGUGGUGUCUGAGCACGAAGAACUUUCGCAACGGUGCAUACUCAGGGAGAACACUUAUACUUUGAUAAUUUAGUGAGGGAUCAUCUUAUAAUGCUACCGUCAAUCAAAGCAAAAUAAGAUGCAUAAAAGAUAAACAUCACAUGCAAUCAAUAUAAGUGAUAUGAUAUGGCCAUCAUCAUCUUGUGCUUGUGAUCUCCAUCUCCGAGGCACCGUCAUGAUCACCAUCGUCACCGGCGCGACACCUUGAUCUCCAUCGUAGCAUCGUUGUCGUCUCGCCAACUAUUGCUUCUACGACUAUCGCUACCGCUUAGUGAUAAAGUAAAGCAAUUACAGGGCGAUUGCAUUGCAUACAAUAAAGCGACAACCAUAUGGCUCCUGCCAGUUGCCAAUAACUCGGUUACAAAACAUGAUCAUCUAAUACAAUAAAAUAUAGCAUCAUGUCUUGACCAUAUCACAUCACAACAUGCCCUGCAAAAAUAAGUUAGACAUCCUCUACUUUGUAGUUGCAAGUUUUACGUGGCUGCUACGGGCUGAGCAAGAACCGUUCUUACCUACGCAUCAAAACCACAACGAUAGUUCGUCAAGUUAGUGAUGUUUUAACCUUCUCAAGGACCGGGCUUAGCCACACUCAGUUCAACUAAAGUUGGAGUAACUGACACCCGCCAGCCACCUGUGUGCAAAGCACGUCGGUAGAACCAGUCUCGCGUAAGCGUACGCGUAAUGUCGGUCCGGGCCGCUUCAUCCAACAAUACCGCCGAACCAAAGUAUGACAUGUUGGUAAGCAGUAUGACUUGUAUCGCCCAUAACUCACUUGUGUUCUACUCGUGCAUAUAACAUCUACGCAUAAACCUGGCUCGGAUGCCACUGUUCGGGAACGUAGUAAUUUCAAAAUUUUCCUACGCACACACAGGAUCAUGGUGAUCCAUAGCAACGAGAGGGGAGAGUGUGUCCAUGUACCCUCGUAGACCGAAAGUGGAAGCGUUAUGUCAACUCAGUUGAUGUAGUCGUACGUCUUCACGAUCCGACCGAUCCAAGUACCGAACGCACGGCACCUCCGAGUUCUGCACACGUUCAACUCGAUGACGUCCCACGAACUGCGAUCCAGCAGAGCUUUGCAGGAGAGUUCCGUCAGCACGACGGCGUGAUGACGGUGUUGAUGAUGCUACCGACGCAGGGCUUCGCCUAAGCACCGCUACGAUAUGACCGAGGUGGAAUAUGGUGGAGGGGGGCACCGCACACGGCUAAGAGAUCAAGAGAUCAAUUGUUGUGUCUAUGGGGUGCCCCCUGGCCACGUAUAUAAAGGAGUGGAGGAGGGGGAGAGGGUCGGCCCCUAUGGUGCGCCCUGGAGGAGUCCUACUCCCACGGGGAGUAGGAUUCCCCCCCUUCCAAGUAGUAGGAGUAGGAGUCAAGGAAAGGGAAGAGAGAAGAGAAGGAAGGAGAGGGCGCAGCCCCUCCCCCUAGUCCAAUUCGGACUAGGCCUUGGGGGGCCGCGCAGCCUCUCCUCUCUCUUUCCCCUAAAGCCCAAUAAGGCCCAUAUACUCCCUGGCGAAUUCCCGUAACUCUCCGGUACUCCGAAAAAUACCCGAAUCACUCGGAACCUUUCUGAUGUCCGAAUAUAGUCGUCCAAUAUAUCGAUCUUUACGUCUCGACCAUUUCGAGACUCCUCUUCAUGUCCCCGAUCUCAUCCGGGACUCCGAACUACCUUCGGUACAUCAAAACACAUAAACUCAUAAUACCGAUCGUCACCGAACGUUAAGCGUGCGGACCCUACGGGUUCGAGUACUAUGUAGACAUGACCGAGACAUGUUUCCGGUCAAUAAUCAAUAGCGGAACCUGGAUGCUCAUAUUGGCUCCCAUAUAUUCUACGAAGAUCUUUAUCGGUCAAACCGCAUAACAACAUACGUUGUUCCCUUUGUCAUCGGUAUGUUACUUGCCCGAGAUUCGAUCGUCGGUAUCUCAAUACCUAGUUCAAUCUCGUUACCGGCAAGUCUCUUUACUCGUUCUGUAAUGCAUCAUCCCGCAACUAACUUAUUAGUCACAUGGCUUGCAAGGCUUAUAGUGAUGUGCAUUACCGAGAGGGCCCAGAGAUACCUCUCCGACAAUCGGAGUGACAAAUCAUAAUCUUGAAAUACACCAACUCAACAAGUACCUUCAGAGACACCUGUAGAGCACCUUUAUAAUCACCCAGUUACGUUGUGACGUUUGGUAGCACACAAAGUGUUCCUCCGGUAAUCGGAAGUUGUAUAAUCUCAUAGUCAUAGGAACAUGUAUAAGUCAUGAAGAAAGCAAUAGCAACAUACUAAACGAUCAAGUGCUAAGCUAACGGAAUGGGUCAAGUCAAUCACAUCAUUCUCUAAUGAUGUGAUCCCGUUAAUCAAAUGACAACUCAUGUCUAUGGCUAGGAAACUUAACCAUCUUUGAUUCAACGAGCUAGUCAAGUAGAGGCAUACUAGUGACACUCUGUUUGCCUAUGUAUUCACACAUGUAUCAAGUUUCCGGUUAAUACAAUUAUAGCAUAAAUAAUAAACAUUUAUCAUGAAAUAAGGAAAUAAAUAAUAACUUUAUUAUUGCCUCUAGGGCAUAUUUCGUUCAUGUGGCGCUUCGUGUGUGGCUGGUCCAUGCGUAAAGGCGACAAAGUGAUUGUAUCGAAGAAACCCUAGCCCACAACAGCGUUCCUCUGCCUUCCCUCCCUCUAGGCUGAGCCACCACCUCUCUGCUCCUCCCCACGGGAUCCUACUGCCGACGAUCAAGUCUUGGCGAGCAACCGACGACGAUGGAUAAGGAGAUCUAGCGCGAGCCGCUGCCGCCACAUCUCCUCCCCCUCCAGUGCAUCAUCCCCCGAUCUCCCGUGCUCCUCCUCCGCCCCGCUCCCCUGCCUGGCGGCGCUCCCUACAUCCGUCGCGGCGUCUUCUCCUCCCCUACCGUCGAUGGAAGGAGAAAGGAGGAGGAAGUGGCGGAACAGGCUUGGGGCAGCAAUCUCACGAAAUGAUAUCGACGGCAAAAAUAAGAUCAGAGCGUCGAAUAUAGAAGACACGAAGGAGGAAAGGAAAAUGCACCGCCUGGCCACGGCUGGUCGACAAGCGAGGACAGAUCAAUCUGAUCUCCACGCUCUGUCUAUCUCCGUUUGCCUAGAUCAUAUCAAUCUGGUCGCCACACUAUGUCUAUCUCCGAUUGUCUGUUUGCCAACAAAUUUCAUGGAGAGAUGCAGAUCAAGCUCAUGGAGAAUGAUGAACAUUCCUGCCUCGAGAAUCCAGAUCGGUUAUGAUAGAGGCGUGAGGAUUUACAGCUCGGCCAGAUCGUUCUUUCUUGUUUGCAAUCACGCAAUAAGAGGGAGCAUAUUAAAAAACCUCAUAUAAAUAAGAUAAGAUGCACGUGAGAAAAAAAUAGUGUAUGUCAUAGAUGGGUAAUUUAGUUCAUCUUUAAUGUAAAUAGAUAGUGGUUGAGAUCCAACAGCUGCGGUUUUUUAAGAUAUUAAAUCGAGGUCCGGAUGUUUCUGAUUAACGCGAGAAUUUCUAUUUCCCUAUUUUUGAACCGUAAUUUUCUUUUAUAUACUCCCUUCAUUCCAAAAAAUAGUGUGCCCGCGCUUUCGGAGGUCCAACUUUGACCAUAAAUUUAACCAACGAGACCGACUGCGGCGGGAGAAAAAAUUAUAUAAUUGAAAACUUCUUUUGGAUACGAAUUCACUGGUAUAACUUUUGCUCCCGCCGCAGUAAGUCUCGUUGGUUAAAUACUUAAAUUUAUGGUCAAAGUUGAAGCACGGAAAUAGAGGAAUCACUAUAUUUUGAAACGGAGGGAGUAGUAUAUAAUAGAUAUACGCUCCAAAUACUUGACUCUAUUUUAACUCUUCAUGAAUAGUUAACCAUGUAUAAUAUGCAAAAUAGAUAAUGUUUUUGAAUAUAAGUCAUGAGUAAAUAAUAUACAGAUGUGAAUAUUUAUAGAUAUUAAGUUAAUGUUUGUAUUCACCACUUCAAAGUUUAAAUAUCCGCGUGUGUAUAAUUCUUUUGUAUUCAUUAAACAUUGUAUCUAAUAUACAUUUAAUUGUUCAUAUUAACUAAAUAUUUUAUAUAUAAUAUACGGGUAUAUAUGUCAGUGAUUUUAUUUACAUAAUAUUGAUAACACAUAUAUAUUGGAACAUGAUUUUUAUUACAUACAUUGUUAAAAUAUCUUAUAAAUAUAGCUUGUGUAAAAUGGGCCGCAAUAUCUGCAGCCCAUUUAAGCUCGACAUGAGUCCUUGCUAAAUAUUUAUAUGGUUGUUAUUACACUCAAAAAAAAUUAUAUGGUUGUUAUCAGUACUGACUCUAUCAAUGAGUAGGGUUGAGUGGUUAGCUUGUUUGUUUUGGUAGCCCCUGGUCGUGGUUCGAAACCUGCACGAAAUGUUUUUCUGUAAAUAUUGACAGACGGGACCCAUUCGGCAUAGAGAAAAAAAAUGCUACGUCCAUAGGGUCUUUUUUGUCAAAAAAAUAUAUUUAUCCUGGCUGACCGCGGACCCCAUGCGCCUAGGCAACACAGAUUCUGUAUAUAAAAACGGGAUAAGCAUCCAUAUACACCGCAACUUUUAACACCAAAGUGAUCAUUUACGCCAAGUUUCAGCACCACCGAUGUAACUGACUCGUAAACUAAUGUUGUAAAGUUUUCCUAGUCGGUGGCCCGCCGAAUUUUACUCGCAGCAGGAGAGAAGUGCUAGUCAAUUUCUGGUGGCCCUACUUUUGCUCGGCCGCCGCACAUAGGAAGGGACGAGAGCGUGAGUGAGAGUUCGGCGCCAAACACGAGAAAGAACAAUGUGGUGGGGUAGCGGCCCCCACAUGCGUGGACUGGAUGCGAGUCCUUUCUGCACGCAACUUGUGGGAUCAUGUUGACGCGUAGGAUCAGCUUGGUUUGUCUAUCCACAUGCAUGCAUAUCUCCCCGUCGUCAUCCCGUGUACGCGUCGCCAUUGAAAACCGUGUGCUGACUGCUGAGGUCGCACCCCAACAUGCUCCGGAGCCCACCCUAUAAAGAGACGCAGACGCGCAUGUCGACCCAGACAUCGGCAAAUAAUUCCACGGUCCAUUGGUGCCAGCAAAGAUGGCACGAGUCCUCCUCCUCGUCCUGGCCGCCUCGCUCGCUGCGCUGGCGUCGUCCAAAGGUCUUCCGGUGCUCGCUCCGGUCACCAAGGACACCGCUACCUCCCUCUACACAAUCCCCUUCCACGACGGCGCCAACCUCGUCCUCGACGUCGCCGGCCCGCUCGUCUGGUCCACGUGCGACGGCGGCCAGCCGCCGGCGGAGAUCCCGUGCAGCAGCCCCACCUGCCUCCUCGCCAACGCCUACCCUGCCCCGGGCUGCCCCGCGCCCAGCUGCGGCAGCGACAGGCACGACAAGCCGUGCACGGCCUACCCAUACAACCCGGUCACCGGCGCGUGCGCCGCCGGGAGCCUCUUCCACACGAAGUUCGUGGCCAACACCACCGACGGGAAUAAACCGGUGAGCAAGGUGAACGUCGGGGUCGUGGCGGCGUGCGCGCCGAGCAAGCUCCUGGCGUCGCUGCCCCGGGGCUCCACGGGCGUGGCCGGGCUCGCGGACUCCGGCCUAGCGCUGCCGGCGCAGGUGGCGUCCGCGCAGAAGGUCGCCAACAGGUUCCUCCUCUGCCUCCCCACCGGCGGACUUGGCGUGGCCAUCUUCGGCGGCGGCCCGCUCCCGUGGCCGCAAUUCACACAGUCCAUGGACUACACCCCGCUCGUCGCCAAGGGAGGUAGCCCCGCGCACUACAUCUCCCUCAAGUCCAUCAAAGUGGAGAACACCCGCGUCCCCGUAUCGGAGCGGGCGCUCGCCACCGGCGGCGUGAUGCUCAGCACGAGGCUGCCCUACGUCUUGCUCCGCCGCGACGUGUACCGCCCGUUCGUGGACGCGUUCACCAAGGCCCUGGCGGCGCAGCCUGCCAACGGAGCGCCCGUGGCGCGCGCCGUGAAGCCUGUGGCGCCGUUCGAGCUCUGCUACGACACGAAGUCACUGGGCAACAACCUCGGCGGGUACUGGGUGCCGAACGUUGGGCUGGCAGUCGACGGCGGGAGUGACUGGGCGAUGACCGGGAAGAACUCGAUGGUGGACGUCAAGCCGGGGACGGCGUGCGUUGCGUUCGUGGAGAUGAAGGGGGUGGAGGCCGGCGACGGCAGGGCGCCGGCGGUGAU
This 98757-nucleotide long non-coding RNA is filed under the name Triticum aestivum (bread wheat). RNAcentral's name for it is "long non-coding RNA (TAES_LNC000790)". The record is from RNAcentral. Lineage: Eukaryota; Viridiplantae; Streptophyta; Magnoliopsida; Poales; Poaceae.